RNAcentral lists this long non-coding RNA (93879 nucleotides) under Lupinus angustifolius (narrow-leaved blue lupine). RNAcentral's name for it is "long non-coding RNA (LANG_LNC000828)". Lineage: Eukaryota; Viridiplantae; Streptophyta; Magnoliopsida; Fabales; Fabaceae. The record is from RNAcentral.
AUGCCUUAGAAACACGGUUCAACCUGCAAAAACAAAAGGUAGAGGCUUAUUACCAUGGCAUAUGAGAAGUGUAUCAAGGGCUCUAUGAUCAAUUACCAAUAUUUGGUCAUGGACCCUCUGCUGGAUUUGAUGCACGAAACAUGUGGCCUAGGGAUAGACCACAAGAAGGAGAAGGUGACAGUGGUACCCAUGCACAAGGAUGUGAAGAAGAUCUUGCUCUUGGGCUCGGCACAUUUUGAUGAAGACACCAAGAUCACAAAUAAAAGAAAAAGGAAGAAGAAUAUGAAGACAUAAAAUAUUCAAGCUUCAAAGAAAUUAUAGAUUAAGUCUUCAAUAGGUACUUUCAUCCUUAUGCUCAAUUUAGAUUUAGUAGCAAUGCUCAAAGAAAUUCAAAGAAAUCAAAAGUAUUUUCAAAAGAAUGAGAUAAAUCAUGACACAAUGUCAAAAAUGCUAAGAAACGAGUUACUCGACCUGAGUAACAGGUUAUUAGAUCUGGGUAACAGGUUACCUGAACUGUGUGAUAGUUGGUAAUAGGUUACUAGAACUACGUAUUAGGUUACUUGACUAAGAAAACAGUUACAAAGCAUAAAUGACACUGAGUAACCAAUUAAUUACUUGUAUUCAUUACCACCUUGGAUAGAAAGUUUUGGCAAUCGAUUACACCAUCGUGACAAUUUAUUACCCAUAGUUGUUGGAAUCUAGAUUUUCAAAUUUUAAUGAACAAUUUUCAUCCAAAGUGAAUGGGUUUCAUUCCAAUCGUGUCUCCUCUUCAUGGAAGGAUAAUUUUGAUGAUUGGAAGCCUAUUUAAAGCCAUUGAGACAAUCAAUUCAAAUAAGAAUUAAUAGAAAUAUUUUUCACAAGUUAGUUAAACAAUUUCUGCACUCUUUUGCAACUUUGUUUCCAAACUUUCAAAUUUUAUGAAGUUGCUUCAAGUGCAAAGUUCUCAAGUUUUUCAAACAUUUUUUAGUAUUGUUUUACUAAGUGUAUUGAGAGCAAAAAAUAUUGCAAGUUAUCACAUUGUCAAAUUUGCAAAGGCAAUCCUGCCAUUGAUAUAUACAUCAUCUUGCUCUUAACUUUUCAUCACAAGGAUAUGGUGAGAAGGGGAAAAGAUGUCACUUGGAAAGAUUGUUUUCCAAUGGUAGAUAUUUGUGAGUGUGUUAGGUACAAGGGUCUCAAAGAGAGAAUUUGUAAUUGAAACUCAAAGUAUCUACUGGAAAAAUCUCUUGUGUGGCAAGAGUACUAGAUGUAACCUUCAGUAAACAAGAAGGUGAACCAAUAUCAAAAUUCUCUAUGUAAUCUUCCUCUACUCUAUUCUCGUGAUUUCAUUCUUGCUUUAACUUGGUUGAUUUCUACAGCAACAUUCCGCUGCACAAACACUUUGAUAUCACAACAGAAAAAUUGACCAUUUCUCUCAAUAACUAAUUCACCCUCCUUGUCUUAGUUGCCAUAUAAUACUUACAUUUGGUACCAGAGCUUAUUUUCGAUAAAUUACUCUCAAACCGAUCCUACUUCAUAGAUGGCCUUCAGAUCAUUUUUGGGAGAAGGUUCCAACAUCAAUUGGCAUCCAAGCUUCGUUGGAGAAUGCUAUGAUUUCUGGAAAAUCAGGAUGAGAAUCUAUAUACAGUCUCAAGACCUGGACAUAUGGAAUGUCAUUGAGGAAGGACCUUAUGAAUCUUUCACUUUUGUUAAUGGUGUAAGGGAAUGAAAGCCAAAAUCCUCUUGGAAUGAUGAAGAUAAGAAGAAAGUCCAAUAUGAUCUCAAAGCUUAGAACAUUCUCACUAUUGAAAAGCGAGAUUUCACUAAGCCAUGAAUUCCCCCUUCAACAACAAAAUAUGUCACUUUGUUGGAAGGGAUUUCCUGAUUGUUGCAAGUUUAUUUUAUUUUAGAAUGAUGAGUGAUGAACAACUUAUUUAUUUCGUGACUUUAUUUAUUUACUCCAUUUUUAGGUUUCUUUUAACCAUACCAUAAAGGUCGGUCUCAUUUUAUUAAGUUAGUCAUACCAUUUCUUAUGACAGGUUGGUAUCAAAGAAUAAAAUGAACAUUCAAAAUCUGCCUGUAGCAUUCACUGUUUGAUGUCUUGUUUAGUUAUUUAAAUGUUGGUUGAUUCGGGUGUAUGUUGGUUAAUAUAGUUGUGGUUGAAAUUUUUGUAUGAAACUUUGUUUCCACACUUCUUUCAUCACAUAUUGAAUACUGGAUGCAUCAUAGUCAAUCACCUUGCUGCUGGUUGUGAGAUACAAACAAGUAGUGUCUAGUUUUACAAGUUUAUUUUUCCAAUUAUUUUGAUUUUGUUGCAUUUAAUUAAAUUAGUCAGGCUUUGAGUUCUGUCCUGAAACGUUUUGUGUAUGUUUCCUAUGGUAUUAGGAUUUUAUUGAAGCAAAGUUUUGGUUGAUUAUUGAAAUUUAACAUGUAUUUCUCUUACUGUCCUACAUGUUUCUUACUGCUGCAUUUAGUGCAUGACUAGGGCAAAUCCUAACUCUUUGCAUCCAAUAAAUCCUGAAAUUGAUAGAACAUUUCAUAGUUUGGUUAGACAAGUUAGGAAUUUAAAUUUAGAUAGUGAGUCUUUUCAUCUUAGUGUUAAUCUACCUGAUAGUGAUACUGAUUAUGCUGUUUCUGUGCAUUCUGCUGUAUCUGUGCAUUCUGUUGCAUACUCUGAUAAUAUGGCUGAACCACCUCCAAUCCCACAUGAGAGGACAUUAAGGGAGCUGGCUGCACCUGAUUUCACAUAUGAAAGCUUGUGUAUCCAGUAUCCCAAUGAGGAUGUACCAUAUGUGCUCAAAACUAGACUAAUCCAUUUUUGCCUAGGUUUCAUGGACUUGCACGUGAAUGUCCUCAUAAGCAUCUUAAGGAGUUCCACAUUGUAUGUUCCACCAUGAAGCCUCGUGAUGUCCAAGAGGAUCACAUAUGGUUGAAGGCAUUCCCACAUUCACUUGAGGGCACUUCAAAAGUUUGGUUGUAUUACUUGACCCAUGGUUCUAUUACUAGUUGGGAUGACCUAAAGAGAAUCUUCCUUGAAAAUUAUUUCCUGCCUCCAGGACCACUGCAACCAGAAAAUAUAUUUCUGGAAUCAGACAACUGCAUGCAGAAGGUUUAUAUGAAUAUUGGGAGAGAUUCAAGAGACUAUGUGCAAGCUGCCCCCAUCAUCAUAUCUUUGAACAACUCCUCCUGCAAUAUUUCUAUGAGGGUCUGAACAACAUGGAGAGGAAUAUCAUUGAUGCUGCUAGUGGUGGUGCACUUGGAGAUAUGACCCCUUUUGAGGCUAGAGGUUUGAUUGAGAAGAUGUCUUCCAACUCUCAACAGUUCAGUGCAAGAAGUAGUGAUGUUAUAGUGGUCAGAGGUGUCCAUGAUGUUGGGACAGAUACGGUGAGGCAAGAUAAACUUGAGAAAACAUUUGAAUCCCUUGCUACCUUAGUCACUCAACGUGCCAUGAAUCAGCAAAAACCUCCACUUGCAGCACGAGUUUGUGGCAUUUGCACCGCAACUGACCAUUAUGCUGAUGUUUGUCCUUCUCUCUUGGAGCCCAAAACUGGUGACCACCCUCAAGCCUAUGCUGCAAAUAUUUACAACAAUAGACCUCAACAAAACAACAGAAUUAUGAUCAUUCAUCAAGCAGAUACAACCCUGGUUGGAGGAAUCAUCCGAAUCUUAGAUGGUCUGAUCCUUCACAACCUCAUCCAGAGGCACCAUUUCAGAAUAAUAAUGCUGCACAAAAUAGACCAUAUGUGCCUCCCCCAAUCCAACAGUAGAGGCAACAACAAGUGAAUAACAAUCCUUCUCCUGGAUCUAGUGAACCUUCAUUAAAAGAAUUGGUGAGGUAAAUGACAUUGCGGAAUAUGAAAUUCCAGCAAGAGACCAGAGCUUCCAUUCAGAGACAAGAGUCCUCUAUUCAGAAUUUGACCAUCCAGAUGGGACAGAUGGUUACUUCAUUAAACACAUUACACUCUCAGAAUUCUGAUACGUUACCUUCCCAAAAUGUGGUCAACCCGAAGAAUAUGAGUGUCAUCACUCUAAGGUCAGGCAAAUAGAUUGAAGUUGAUCUAGCUGCAUCAAAAAUGAAGCAACCAGUUUUAAAANNNNNNNNNNNNNNNNNNNNNNNNNNNNNNNNNNNNNNNNNNNNNNNNNNNNNNNNNNNNNNNNNNNNNNNNNNNNNNNNNNNNNNNNNNNNNNNNNNNNUGCAUAAUAGGUAAUAGAAAAUUUGAGAAUGCCAUGCUAUAUCUAGGUGCUUCGAUUAAUGUUAUGCCUAUGUCCGUUUCAUGUCUCUUUCACUUGGACCUAUGCAACCCAAUGGGGUAGUGAUUCAAUUAGCAAACAAAAGUACUGCUUACCCUGCUGGUUUGAUAGAGGAUGUCUUGGUUCGGGUUGGUGAACUUAUUUUUCCUGCUGAUGUUUAUAUUCUCGAUAUUGAAGACAGAUCCUCCCGUAACACAGUUCAUAUCAUUUUGGGAGGCCAUUUUUUAGAACAGCCCGAACCAAGAUACAUGUCCAUGCUAGAACAUUAUCUAUGGAGUUUGGUGAUAUUAUGGUCCGGUUUAAUAUUUUUGAUGCUAUGAAACAUCCAUAUGAGGACCAUUCUGUGUUUCAUAUUGAUUUACUUGAUGAGUUAACUAAUGAACAUAUCUGCGAUUUCCUUAAUGAUUUUGCUUCUAUGUCAUUGAUAGACUCAUACACUUGUCAUACAUACACCGAUUCUGAAAUGUGUAAUUCUUGUUUGGAUGAGUUUCUGCAUAUUUCUGUUGAUCCAAAUGUUGUAGAAUCAGAUUGCACUAACCCAAUUGCUGCAGACAUCAUCUGUUUUGCAGGCACCUGUAUUGGAUCUUAAACCUUUGCCUGAAAAACUCAAGUAUGCUUACUUAGAUGAUGAUGAGAAGCUUCCUGUUAUUGUUUCCACCUCCCUUGAUGAUGAUCAAGAUGAGAAGUUGUUGCAAGUGUUGAAGAAGCAUAAGAAGGAAAUUGGUUGGACCUUAGCUGGUAUUCCUGGUAUUAGCCCAUCUAUGUGCAUGCAUAGGAUACUCUUGGAAGAUNNNNNNNNNNNNNNNNNNNNNNNNNNNNNNNNNNNNNNNNNNNNNNNNNNNNNNNNNNNNNNNNNNNNNNNNNNNNNNNNNNNNNNNNNNNNNNNNNNNNCCUAUAGGAGGAUGCCUUUUGGCCUAUGCAACGCCCCUGGUACAUUCCAGCGGUGUAUGGUGAGCAUUUUCAGUGAUUUUUUAGAGAAUUGCAUAGAGGUGUUUAUGGAUGAUUUUACAGUUUAUGGAUCUUCAUUUGAUGCAUGUUUGGAUAGUCUAGAUAGAGUUCUUCAUAAAUGUAUCGAAACUAACCUUGUUCUAAAUUACAAAAAAUGUCAUUUCAUGGUAGAGCAAGGCAUAGUUUUGAGGCAUGUGAUCUCAAAUAGGGGAAUCGGGAUAGACCCUGCCAAGAUAGAUGUUAUUUCACAAUUGCCUUACCCCUCUUGCAUGCGAGAGGUUCGUUCUUUUCUUGGUCAUGCAGGUUUCUAUCGUAGGUUCAUUAAAGAUUUUAGGAGGAAGGCUCUUCCACUAUCCAACCUGUGGCAAAAGGAGGUGGUCUUUGAUUUUGAUGAGAGAUGUAUGCAGGCGUUUGAUUGCCUCAAGACAACCUUGACCACCACUCCUAUUAUCCAGGCACCUGAUUGGACAGUCCCAUUUGAGCUGAUGUGUGAUGCUUCUAAUUAUGCAUUGGGGGUUGUCCUUGCUCAAAAAGUGGACAAUCUGCCUAGGGUAAUUUAUUAUGCUUCUAGGACUUUAGAUGCUGCACAUGCAAAUUACACCACAACUGAAAAAGAGCUUUUAGCUAUUGUAUUUGCUCUAGAUAAGUUUAGGUCUUAUUUGCUUGGUUCUAGAAUUGUUGUUUUCACAACAAAACCGAAUCAAUCAACCAACCUUUUUGCUUCCUUGUUUAUGAUUUAAAGAACUAAUGUAUGCUUUAAUAACAAUCCCUAUGGUUCGACAUAACCCUAUAUUAUACUACAAUUGAAUAUUAGAAGGGAUUUAAGAGUUAAUAUAUUAAAGGAAAUAACAAAAUUUUUUAUUUAAAACCAAGGAAUGUACUUCAAAGAGCCUUACUUCCAAACCUUUUAACUGUAACAUGUUACCCGAAUAGAGAAACAUGUUUUUUAAAACAAAGUAACAUGUUACCCAAAACAAAUUAACGAGUUAGUAGAUAACAUGAUUGAGUAACAAAACUAAUUCACCCUCUCUUAGUUUGCUAUCUAUACUUACAAUUGGCCACAUAGAAAAGAUUGGAUAAGAUAGUACUUGCUCCUAUUAGUAUAUCUUAGAUGUCCUCUACAAAGUAUUUCCUAGGUUAAGGUUCAAACAUAAAUCUUCCUCCAAGUUUUUUGGAGAGUGCUAUGAUUUUUGGAAGGUCCAUCAAUCCCUGGUGUAGUGGUAGAUGGAGUCAAGCAGCCAAAACCUAAGGGAGUAGGGUACGAUGAUGAUAAAAUGAGAGUCCAAAAUAACCUCAAGGCCAAAAACACUUUGACCUUGGCACUAGACAUAGAUGAGUUCUUUAAGUGUCUAACUAAAAAUCUUAUAAGGGAUUGUAGGACACUUUAGAGACAAUCCAUGAAGGUACCGAGACGUAAAGAGGUCUAGGCUCAAUACUCUUUCACAAGAAUAUGAGAUGUAUAGGAUGAGGUCUGGAGAGAAAAUUGUAGAUAUUCGAAAGAUAUUUUCUCAUCUUACUAAUCAUAUGAUUGCUCUUGGAAAAGUCUUAACCAAUAGUGACUAAAACCUUAAAGUCCUUAGGUCACUAACAAGGGAAUGACAACCUAAAUUGACAGUCAUUUAUAAAAAGAAAAGUUUAUCCAAAAUGUCUUCGGUUGCCCAUUUUGGAAAUUGUAGGAACAUGAAUUGGAGUUAAGCCCAUUAGAGCAACAUGAAGAACACGAGGAAAAGCACAAGACUAUAUCAUUGAAGACAAAUGUAUAUUCUUGUGAUACAUCACAAAAUAAAGAGUUUGACGAUGUCCACAUGGAGAAUAUGAAUAUACUAGUGAAGAAGUUUAGAAAAUUCCUAAGGAAGAAUAAAAGAUCAAAGGUUGUCCCAAGAAAGCAAUGCCUCAAAGGCAAUGAAGCUUUGACUUCUAGACAAAACUUCACAUAUUUCAAAUGCGACAAGCCUGGACACAUAAAGUUGGACUGUCCAUCUCUAGUAAAGAUGAAUUCUUUGAUGGGAAUACGAAAAAGAAAACCAGGAGAGCCUACAUUAUAUGGGAUGACAAUGAUGUAAGUUCUAACUCAGAACCAGAAAAUGAAUAAUAAACACAUUUAUUCCUUAUGGCCUCCCACCAAUCUAUUGACGAGGUUAGUGAGUAUGAACUUUAUGAUUAAACUUCUUAUCAUGAACUACAAAGUUAUUUUAAUGAACUUCACAAAGAAUCCUUAAAACUUUCAAAACUAUGUUUGAAAUAGAAGAAUGUUAUAGACAUUCUAGAAAGUCAAAAUAAUGCUAAGAACAAUGAUUUGGAAUUUUGAAGUCAAAACUAAUCAAUGAUGUCCAACAAGUGAUACUCUUGAGACUACAAUAGUUUCAUUAAACAAGAGUUAAAUGUGUUAAAAAAGAGUACUCACAAGUUUGACAAUAUAUUAAGCAAUCAAAGACAUACUAAUGACCGAAGAGGUUUAGGCUACACCAAUCAUCGUCAAACAAAUGGUAUGAAGAAAACCAUUUUUAUAAAGACUAAUAGUACUUUCUAGAAUAAUUUUCAUAAAUAAAGUUUUAUUAAAUUUAUUUCUAAAUGUCUAAACAAAAUAUGCAUAAAAAACAACCCACAUGCUUUUAUUGUAAUUGUAUACGCCAUACACCUAAUACUUGUUAUAUUAGAAAAGUUGGUAUUCCAUGUGGCCAAUACAUAUGGGUUAAGAAAAGUGCUAACUACAAAGGAUCCAAUCAUAUUGGGUACCAAAUACUUUUUUUUGUAGGAGUGCUUGAUAGUCGUGACUGAUGGCAAGUCAAAAUAUUUAGUUUUCACUCCAAGAGACAACUGAUUUGCACGUAUGGAAACACCAAGAAGGGAAAACAUCUUGGAGUCGGUCGAGUUGGAUAGCCACCUUCCGCAACCAAUGAUGGAGUCCUAUAUGUUGAAGGCCUUAAGUGUACCUUCUUAGCAUAAGCCAACGAUGUUACAAAGGCUUCAGCAAGGUUUUCAACUCCAACACCUUCAUCAUUGAAGAUAAGGUAACUCAUGAUGCAAAAAUUAUAGGAAAUAAAAUAAUAAUAUCUAUAUGAUUUCCUUAGAUGAUAUUUCCUUUAAAAUUAAAUGUUUAUUUGUUAAUAAUGAUGAUGCAUGACUAUGGGAUAGGAGAAUUGUGCACAUCUAUAUGGAUCAUUUGAACAAAUUAACUUAACAUAAACUAGUUGUUUGUUUGCCCAAAAUAAAAUUUGUUAAUGACAAAUUGUGUGAUACUUGUCAAAAGAUCAAAGAAACAAAAGUUUCUUUUAAGCCUAAGCAUAUAGUUUCUACUGAUAGGCUAUUACAAUUGUUGCGUAUGAAUUUGUUUGGUGAAAAUUACUAUGCUCUUGUAAUAUUAGAUGUUUUUUCAAAGAUUCACAUCGAUAUUAUUUUUAAUACAUAAAAAUGAACCAUUUUAUGCUUUUCGAAAAUAUGCAAAAUGUGUUCAAAAUGAGAAAUCCUUGAAAACCUCCUAUAUUAGAAGUGAUCAUGGGGGAGAAUUUCAAAAUGCCCUAUUUAAAGAGUUUUGUGAUUAACAUGACAUCUCACAUAAAUUUUCAUCACCUAAAUACCACAUCAUAAUGAUGUUGUAGAAAUGAAAAAUAGGUCAUUAGAGGAACUAGCAAGGACUAUGCUAAAUGAAACCAAUCUGCCUAAAUACUUUUAGGCUUAUACGGUAAGUGGUUCUAGUUAUGUUCCUAAUCGAUUUAUAAUUAUAGCUAUUUUAAAUAAAACUCCCCAAGAAUUCUAUAAGGGUAAAAAACUUAACAUUGCUCAUUUUCAUGUGUAUGAUUGUAAAUGUUUUGUUCUAAACAAUGCAAAAGAUAACCUUGGUAAAUUUGAUGCUAAAUCAGAUGAAUGAAUCUUUCCUGGUUAUUCUCUUACUAGCAAAGAAUAUAGAAUUUUCAAAAGAGAACAUUCACCUUAGAAGACUCAAUGCAUGUAUCAUGAGAUGAAACUAACCCCUAUAAGGAGGAACACAUUUUCUUUAAUGAUGACAAUGAUGUUGAUAGAAAUUUACAAAGUACUUCACAACGUGAAGUUCCAAUUAUUGAAGAAUAUGAUUAUCUAGAGAAAAUGAAGUCAAAUGAAUAUCAACAUCAAACUGGAGAGCAAGUACACUCUGACCUACCAAAAUAAUGGAUAACUCAUAGAGAUCAUCUUAUUGACAAUGUUAUUGGUGUAAAAAACAUGGUAGUUUCUAUCUGUCUUAAUAUAAAUGAUGCUUGUCUAAAUAUAACAUUUGUUUCUCAAAUAAAAUCGUCUAAGAUAUAUGAUCUUAUAGAUGAAUAGGACUGGAUUCUUGACAUGGAAGAAUAGCUCAAUCAGUUUUAGAAAAAUAAGGUUGGGGAACUUGUUCCUAGACCUAAGAAUAGGCAAAUCAUAGGAACUCGUUGGGUUUUUAGAAAUAAAUUAGAUAAAAAUGACACAAUUAUUAGAAACAAAGCUAGGUUGGUAGCCCAAGGAUAUAACCAAGAGGAGGGAAUUGAUUUUAGUGAAACAUUCGCUUAUAGGGCUAUACUUGAGGCGACUUCUUUUAGCAUAUGCUUCCAAGUUAAAUUUUCAAUACAUGGAUGUUAAGAGUACUUUCUUAAAGAAUUAUAUAUAAGAGGAGGUAUAUGUUGAACAACCUCUAGGUUCUGAGGAUUACAAACACCUUUCUCAUGUAUAUAAAAUAAAAGAAAACACUUUAUGGUUUUGUUGAAAGCGUAUAUUCGGUGUUUUUAUUUUAGUUGAGAGUUUUCUCCUCUCAACAAAUCGUCCUGAUAGCAGUGCCAAUUUGUUGAAAGGUUAAUACUGUCAUUUUCGUUAUGUUCAUGUUGUAAGUAAGUGAACUCGGUUUUAUUCUUUGUUCGCCAUCUCGGCUUUGUUGAAAUAAAUUCCAACGCCGGUAUAAUGGUUUCAAGAAUAUUCCAGUUACAACUUACUUUCUUAAUAAUCAUGUGAAUAAGUCAUUCCUUCUUUGCCCCAUCUCGGCUUUGUUAGAAUAAGUUCUAACGCCAGCAUAAUGGUAUCGAAGCAAUUACCUAUUACAUAAUUAUUAAGUACCUUUGAAUACCAUCUGCAUUUUGUGGAAUAGAUUCCAACAUCGGUUUAAUGGUAUUCUAAUAUAUAAAAGUGAUGAAUAGUUAGUUGUUAGAUACAAAUAAAUAAAUAAAGAACACAAGAAUAAUAAAUUUAGUGACCUUUUAUUUAUUUACUCCCUUUUGGGUUCAUUUUAUUAACAAAUCACACUUCUUCCUUAAGGAAGGUUGGUAUUAAAGAAUAAAUAAAAUGAGGAAAAUAAAUAACAAUAAAUAAAAAUUAGUACGUUAGUUUCAUCACUUUUGUAUAUUAAAAGGUGUUUUCAACAAAUAACUUUAUUGUUAACACUUUACUAUUUUAAAAUUUACACCUCUUUCAAGAUUCAAUUGUAGUAUAGUAUAGGGUUAUGUCGAACCACAAGGAAUUGCCUAGUAAAAUAAAUCAUGUAAACAUGUCAAAGCACAAAUAAUGGUUUAAACAUAUUUUUGUUGGUUUGAAUGUGAAUAUGAACAAGUACACAUAAUAAACAUACAACUAAAUAUUAAAAAAAUUCUUGAGGAGACAAAUUCUUUUUGAAUAAGGAAAAUAUAUUGUGGGAGAAAUUCCUUCUCCAUCCAAAAUCCUUAGAGUGAAUGCGGAAGUCCUUAUGACCAUGGCUUUGUUCCCACAACCGAAUGUGUAUGCCCAUACAUACACCCGAAUGGAACAUCCAUGAUCCAGACCGAAGAAAUCCCAAUUGAAUUCAUGGUGAAGAUGAAGAACAUACCUUGUUGAGCCAUUUCGGAAUCUCGAAGGUUUGAGGGUGCGAUGAUCUUCCAGAUGAUAGAGCGCCUUACGGUUUUCCUUUAGUUCUCUCUAGAGGGGAAUGAGAGAAUACAUUAGUUUCUGAAAAGUGUUCUUGUGAGGUUAGUUGGAGGAGGCUUACCCUUAUGCCUUAUAAGCCCUUAUGGAUGAGUGGAUAGUGUUAUCCUAUUCUGGAUAACACUAUUCUCAUCCUACCUUAUUCUCCUCCACCUUUACACUUGAAAACCUGUUGCUCUACAAAUGGGGACCAUAACCCAUAAAAGUAACCCCGUAGUGGUUACUACUUUAGUUGCAAUAAUUCUGAUUCAGUCCCUUCAUCAAAUCAGAAAUUGCCUGAAGGUAUCUACACUUAUUAUUAUUUCAUGACACAUAUGCCCUUAGCCACCAAAUUAAUUACUUAAGAUCAUUUUAUAUUUUGGCUAAUUACAUAAUGGCCAUAACACAAUUAUAGAAUUAUAUUUGUGACCCAUAAAUUGUCAGAAAUUCCAACAAUAGAAAGCCAAGAUGCAUGAAAAGGGAAAGACAAACAUGAUCAGGUACUUUUGCAAAAAAAUUAACAUCAACAUGACACAAUUUUUUUUAAGGCAUGGGACAAUAUUUUUAAUGACAAAGGUAGAUGCUAUAGAUUUAUUUAGGGCUGUAAGAAAUAGAGUACAACAUUAUUUGAAAACAAUUUAUUUAUUGAUAAGCAUACUCAUGCAGAAAAGCUUGAGUGCUCACAUCUUUGUCUACACGUGUUUGAGACUAUUGUUAAAAUAGUUAUUUUUUUUGUUAAGUGAAAAUUUUAUUAAAAAGAACAAAAAUUACAAAUAGGAAAAAAUAAAUAUACAAUUCUCGAAAAUGAGAUGAUAAAAAUAUUACAUGGUUCAAAAGAGAUCCACUAAAAUCCAAUCUAACAAAACAACAAUAAUAAUAGCACUCCAAGUAUAAAAUUGAAUUAGAGAUCUACUAAAACCAAAAUAUAAUUGCACCUUUAUAUUUACCUUUAAUCCAAAAUGAUGAUUUUUGUUUACCUUUGUGUUAACUUAUGUGAAGGGUAUGGAGUUAAACUAAGGCGAUUUGCAAAUUCGUUAAUUAAUUGUAAUGAUAUCAUUCAUCAUAUCAUACUUAGUGACUUAAAUCUAUGAAAACAAUCAACACGUAUUUAUACAUGUUAAUCUCUGAGGCAAGUGUACAUUAGAAAAAUAAGAUAAUUAGUUCUCCAAUCCAUAAUUUUCCACUACAAUUUACUCUUUUAAAUUCAUUAUUGUCAUGUUAGGAUAAAGUAUUAACCCCUACAAGAAUUUAAAGUGAGAUUAACUAUUGUCUAGUAAAAACACACCAUUUGUGCAAGAGUGGGCCAAUCAUAAGAUCGCUAAAACAAUGGCUUUAGAUCUCAAAUAUGGUCCGUUCGUAAAUAAUAGACUUCAAACUAUUUGUAUUAAUAAUGUUAUUGUUUUAAGACUAGUUGACUACAUAUUUUUCUUAUAACAUAAUAAUUAUAAGACUAUUUAAGUAGGGUAAAUAGAUUUUUUGUAAUCUAAGACUUUAUUAUCUCAUGAAUCCUAUUUUUUCCUAUAAAAAAUACAAUGGAGAAACUUUAAUAAUUAUUGAUGAAUUGAUUGUAAUUAAAAUUGGUGAUUCGCUUUGUCUAAAUGCAUGACAUCUUCAAAAGGGCGGUUUACUGUAUUAUACUAUAGUGAAAUUUGAGAAUAGUAUAUAUAUAUGUAGCCCCAUCUUUAUAAGGGAAUAGGUUAUUUCUAUGACAUUAAGUAUUUGGAUGUGUCUUAAUGUAAUAAUAAAGUUGUUUGUCUUAUAAUUUACAAGUAAAAAAUUCUAUGAAUAAAUUCUUCAGUUACAAGGAUAUGAUAGUAUGUACUUAUCAUCCUCAAAACCUAUUAAAUAGAAAUCCCAUACAUUAGGCUAUCAAAUUUAUUAAAUAAAACUAAUUAAAAUAAUUUAAUUAAUAAAUUUUGACACAAAAAGGAGAAUAUAAAAUUCUAAGUAAUAAACAAAUUUUAAAUUUCUUUUUGUAUUAUGUACAUAUACCGAAGGUUCAUCCUAUUAGGAAGUAAGUACAGCUGGCUCACCUCAUUCUUUUAAUUAGUUUUGAAAUGAUACAUUAAUAUUAUAUCAGAAUGAAAUAAUAACUUAUUUUAUGUUGUUAUUGACUAAAAUAUAUCACUUCGUCAUCGAUCAAAUGUAAGUCUUUCGCCUCAUAUAAUAUAUUUUUAUAAAUGAGACAUGUUGGAAGUAAUUCUCACAUCUCCUCCCUCAUUUUACUAGGCACUAUUCAAAUAGUUAUUGGAUUAUUUCCUUUAUUGCUUAUUGAUUUUGAAAUAUCCCAUUAAUACAUCGACCAAAACCUUCCCAAUUUAUCUCUCUCUUCAAAAUUGACUUUAUUUUACCAUGUUCACAAGAGGGAGGUCGAUCAAUUAUGUUCCAUCAACUUGUGAAUCUCUUGUAGUAGCCACAAGUUUCAAUGAAUGUUAUACUCACUUUUAGAAAUCUCCAUUUUCCAAGUGAAUCCAUCAUAACAAGUCCUUUAGACUUCAGAUGUUGUUAUUAUUGAGUUGAGAACCCAACUCAAAGGGUAGUACUAUCAUAAGGCCUAUAAGGCCUUGCCUCAGUUGGACAUCCCCACACAUGAAAAUGCUUCAGACUUGGCUUUCGCCCAGUCCAAUGCUCAUAAGGUGUUUUAGCAGUUGCCUUAGUUGGUACCCUAUUAAGAAUAUAAGCUGCUGUCUUAAGUGCCUCUCCCCAGAGUGACUCUGGUAAGGUAGAGUGACAAAUCAUACUCCUUACCAUGUCCUUAAGAGUCCGGUUUCGUCUUUCAGACACACCAUUCAUGCUAGGCGAUCCUGGCAUGGUGUACUGUGGGACUAUACCACAUUCCUCUAGGUAUUUGGCAAAAGGCCCUGGACGUUGUUCACCUGAACCGUCAUAUCUACCGUAGUAUUCACCACCACGGUCAGAUCUGACGCACUUAAUCCUUUUGCCGAGUUGAUUUUCAACCUCAGCCUUAAAAGUUUUGAACACGUCCACCGAUUGGGACUUUUCAUGAAUUAGAAAAAUGUAUGCAUAACGAGAAUAAUCGUCUAUGAAUGAUAUGAAAUAUCGUUGACCAUUCCAGGAAGCCGUAGGGAAUGGCCCACAGAUAUCCGUAUGUAUCAAUUCUAAGACGUCCGAAGCUCUAUAUGCACCAUAUUUCGAUUGUUUGGUUUGUUUUCCUUUUAUGCAUUUAACACAAACAUUAAGGUUUGUGAAGUCAAUGGAAUCCAAAAUCCCAUCUGACACAAGACGCUCAAUUCUCUUUUGAGAAAUGUGACCUAGGCGCUUGUGCCAUAAUGCACCUGAAUUAUUAUUUUCAAUCUUACGCUUAGUACCACGUGAUUCCACAUUCAGGGUUUCGCUAUAAUCAGUUAUGAUAUUCAGCAUAUAAAGGUUGUCAUUCAACAUAAGUGAACCAGUUCCAAUAACAUUUGAAUUUAAAGACAAUUGAACCGAAUUGUUUCCAAAUGAACAACAAUAACCAAAUUUGUCCAAAUAUGAAACAGAAAUCAAAUUCCGUCUAAAAGACGGUACAACAAAAGUGUCUUUCAAAUCCAAAUAGAAACCAGUACAUAAUAACAACCUAAAAUGCCCUAUAGCUUCCACUUCUACCGAUUUCCCAUCGCCAACAUAUAUGUAUCUUUCAACAUGAUUAGGCUUUCGGUAGCUCAGGCAACCCUGCAUUGAAACACUGAUGUUAGAAGUUGAACCGGAGUCUAACCACCAGGUGUUUCCAGGUACUGAAGUUAAAUUGACCUCAGAACAAACCAAAGCAAGAAAUGUACCUUUCUUAGCACGCCAGGCGUGAUACUUUACACAUUUCUUCUUUUGAUGUCCAGUUGCUUUGCAAAAGAAACAGACAUCAUCCUGCUUCUGUUUCUUUUGCACUGAACCCUUAGCAGCUUCAUUCUUGGGCUCUGAAGUGAUUUUCCUUUUGCCCUUGUCUUUAGAGGUAGUAACAUAAUGGGCACUUUCAGUCCUUUCUCGUUUCAAUCUUUCCUCUUCUUGCACACAAAAUGAAAUGAGCUCAUUAAGAGUCCAUUUCUCCCUUUGACAGUUAUAAGAAAUCUUAAACUGACUGAAUUGUGCAGGAAGAGACAGUAAGACCAAAUGAAUGAGCAAGUCUUCCGACAUGUCAAGCUUAAGGGCCUUAAGUUUUGAAAUGAUGUUGGGCAUUCCCAUAAUGUAUUCCCUUAUGUUUCCCUUGCCUUGAUACCUCAUGGAAAUCAAGUUCUGUAACAGAGUACUUGUUUCCGCCUUAUCGCUCUUUGCAAAGCGCUUUUCAAUCUCAGCAAGGAAAUCUUUGGCACUAUUUAUCUCAUCCGAGAUAGUACCCCUAAAGACUUCUGGAAUGCCGCGCUUAAUGAUCAUUAGACUCAUGCGAUUAGAGCGAUCCCACUUCUCAUAAUCCUUCCUCUCUUCAGAGGCACUGGAUUCCAAAGGAGAAGGGGGUUGCUCUACCCUUAAUGCAUAGUCCAGAUCCAUGCAGCCAAGAACAAUUUCCAUGUUCUCUUUCCAAUCCUUAAAAUUUUCACCAUUAAGGACCGGAACCGAAUUCAAAUUCGCAGAUAUAGAAGCAAUUGAUGUAGCUGAUUGAAACAAAAGACAAAAUACUAAAUAUGCUCACAACCCAAAAUUAUCAAUGUGCUUAAAACAAUGUAUAUCCAAAUCAAGAUACCUAGUGCACCAUGAAUAUCAAGUCUUUGGACAGUAAUAUCAACUGCAAGUGGUACUCUUGUUGUAAUGAGCAAACAUUCAUAAGAAGACAUGUCAACUGACGAAUCCCUCUUUGGAUUGAUUCAUCAGUCACACGUAUAAAACUUUAGAAUUAUGACAUGUUUAUCAUCACAAGUGUGUAUGAUCUUCGGCCAAAUAUUAACUUUCCUUUGGGCCAGCUAAUAUCCGCAUGAAUGACCAUACACACUUACAUCCAUUAUUCCUCAUGAGUUAUAUCCAUGAAAGAGGUCACUUUGGCGACAUUUCACUUCAUUUGGCUCAUUUGAAAUAACAGACAACCUUAAUGGACAUACAAAUAACAAUUAAAAUCAAUGCACAAAGAUACUGAAGCCCAAAAAAACAAAAAAAAAUUUAAUUUUUUUUUUGUUUUUUCUUCGCUCGGGCGAGCAAAAUCUCGCCCGGGCGAGCCAAAUCUCGCUUGAGCCCCAUUUAAGGCGAUUUGCCUCUGUUAUCCUCUCGCUUGAGCGAGAGCACUGCAGUAGAACAUGAAANNNNNNNNNNNNNNNNNNNNNNNNNNNNNNNNNNNNNNNNNNNNNNNNNNNNNNNNNNNNNNNNNNNNNNNNNNNNNNNNNNNNNNNNNNNNNNNNNNNNAAACAGCAGAAAACAACAUUCAAUCAUUUCAAAUCGUUUUGUUUCAUAUUGAAAAGCAUAACUAUUUUCAUAAUCGAUUCAUAACAUAAACAAAACACCAAACCCUAAAUCAAACCAGAUUUGGGGAAGAACAUGAAAACCUAAUUUCACCCAUGAAUCAAUUUGGGGUGGCUCUGAUACCACUUGUGGGAGAAAUUCCUUCUCCAUCCGAAAUCCUUAGAGUGAAUGCGGAAGUCCUUAUGACCAUGGCUUUGUUCCCACAACCUAAUGUGUAUGACCAUACAUACACCCGAAUGGAACAUCCAUGGUCCAGACCGAAGAAACCCCAAAUGAGUUCAUGGUGAAGAAGAAGAACAUACCUUGUUGAGCCAUUUCCGGAAUCUCGAAGGUAUGAGGGUGCGAUGAUCUUCCAGANNNNNNNNNNNNNNNNNNNNNNNNNNNNNNNNNNNNNNNNNNNNNNNNNNNNNNNNNNNNNNNNNNNNNNNNNNNNNNNNNNNNNNNNNNNNNNNNNNNNCUUUUAGUGUAUGUCCUAAAAUGGUAGAAUCAUAAACACUUAUAUUCAUCACUUAAACAAUACUACGACCAUAAAAGAGAUUAGGUUGUCACGCCCUAACCAUUGGUGACUCCAAAGUUUAUUUGCUAAGUGUUUGAGACAAAUAAUUUUUACUUGAAAUCAUUUUUUAGGUGAUCAAUCUAAAAAGAGCAUUAAGCACUUCUCAAACAAAUAAUAUUAACCAAAGCACAAACUUGAAUGAUUAAAAUUCAAACUUUUGUAAAUUUAAGAAGAAGUAGAAAAUUACAUAACCUUGUUCAAAGGAAAAUGUUAACCAAAGAUUGGAUGCUUUUGAGUUCCAAAUGAGAGUACAAAAUUGAUUUUUGCAUCUAUUACAAUCUGUUUUGCUCGAAGGAAAUGGCCUCUAUUUAUAGGCUUCAGAUCCUGACCGCUGAGCUGCUGAGCUGGACUGCUCAGCAGCUGACCAAACCCUUCAGCAUGGGUUUGGUCCCUUGACCAAGUAGCUUAGUCACCUUUGUGUAUGACUCACCAAAGCUAGUUGUGGGCUAUGAAACCAGCUAUUGUGAGCUACUUCUGAAAAGCCUAUGGUGGGCUACUUGAGGUGAGGUCAUGGAUGACUUCAUGGUUUGCUUGAUGGUUAAGUUAAGUCUGGUAAGCACCACCCAGCGCACCUGCUUCACCGUUGAGCUGCUUGUUCAGCAGCUUCUGACCGUGUUGACUAGGACGUGGCUUGGUGCUUGAUGAUCUGGCCAGGAGUCUGGUUCUCCGUUGAGCAGCUUGGUUUGAACGCUGAGCAGCUUGUUUAGCAGCUUGGCUUUGCCAAGCUCGUGUCUGACCGUGUCAAGCAUAUUUCUGCCCGUGCCAGGCCUUGUCUGAUGCUAGGCUGAGCGGGGCUUGUUCCAUGCUCAGCUGCCUGGUUGAGCACCCUGAUUUUCUUGACUUUUGUUGCUUUUUGACCAUGAAUCUUUUCUCUUCUUUUCUUCAUUUUAUUUCCUACAAAAUACAUAAAAAGGCAAUACAAACACAAAUAUACGAAAUUGUGAUAUUUUAUACAAAAAGUAUUGUUUUAAGUUGGUUUUUCUCAAUUAUGCUUAAGGUAAGUGCCAUAAAAGUGUAUGAUUUUUAGGUAUGUUUGGCACUUAUCAGGUUUAAAACAAUAUCAUAGAGUGUGAUAUGAUUGGUUAAACAAUUAUCCUUGUUAAAAAGAUUUCGAAAAGGGUAAGGUCAACACUACACUAUUCAUAAAACAAAAUUGAUCAACAUUAUUUACUUGUGUAAAUUUAUGUUGAUGAUAUCAUUUUCAUUUCUACUAACGAGUCUUUGUGUUGUUAAUUUAAUAAUAUCGCAAUGAUUUGUUGAAAAUAUUCAAUAUUGAUGAAUGCAAAGCAAUAUUCACUUCCACAAGUUCAAACACAUAUGUUAAUAAUGAUGUGGUCGGAAAUCCUGUAAAUAUUACCAAGCAUUGAGGUACGAUAGGAUCUCUACUUUAACUCACUACAAGUAGACCAAAUAUUAUGUUUAAUGUCUACUUAAGUGCUAGGUAUCAAUCCAAAUCAAAGGAAUCACAUCUAGUUGUUGUUAAAAGAAUUUGAAAUAUCUUAAGGCUUUGUUUGGUAGUCUUGUUUCAGUGGAGGAGAGAUGAAAGAUAUGACUUUGGAAAGAGAAUCCCUUGUUCGGGGGAGUUAAGGGAUGUAUAGUGAAGGGCUUUGGAGUUUUACUGAGGCCCUCUAAAACUCUCAACAUGCCUAUUUCCAUGGUUCCACUAAUUUGGGGUUUAUCUAGAGAUAAACAUGUCAAAUUAUCUAGAUGCCUUUAGAAAAAAAAUAUAAUUAUAUUUUUUUUACAUUUCCCAUUAUUAAUGAGAUGUUUAAAGGAAAAAUAAAAAAAAUCAUACAUUCUCAUUACUUUCGCCUUCUCCCAUGUAAUUUCGCUCUCUCAAACAAGAGAGAGGUUGGUCUUCCUUUACCCUUCCCAUCCUCUCCUAUCUCUGUCCCUUGAUCUCUAUCCUUCCCUUGUCUUCAUAACACCCAAAGGAACAACAAAUGUAGGCUUACGGUAUCCUAAGGGAAGUAUAUGUGUCAUGGUAUGAUAUUCUAAUUCAAAUUGUGUUGGAUGCAAAAUUAAAAGGAAAAGUACUAGUGAAACUUGUCACAUACUAGGAAAUACCCUAGUCACUUGGUCCUGUAUUGCAGCAUGUAGUUUUUAUGUACAAGUGUUGUGUUUCAAACAACAACUAUGUGACUAUGAUCUACAUUUAGGAUGUAUUCCUAUUAGAUAUAAUAACACCAUGCUAUUAACUUCACUAAGAAUCAAGUCAUGCAUUAUAGAACCAAACACAUAGGCAUAAGACAUUAUUUCAUAAGGGACUAUUUGCUUAAAAAUAAUGUGCAAUUAGAAUUUGGAGGUACAAAUGUGCUUAAAAAGGAUGUGAAAUUUCCUGAACUCAUUAAGCAUCAAAAUCUUAGAGAUUUUUGUAUAGAGAAAAUUGGUUAUUACCCUGAACUUGUGCGAGUAUUUUUUUGCAAUUUGUCACUAAGGAACAAUAGGGUACACUACUAUGUUAAAGGAAAGGAUAUCAUUCUUGAACGUACCGCCUUUGACAAUGAUUGCUUAAAAAAUACUCACUAAAGGAACAUAAAUUGGCUUUUGGUUACCUUGUCCAUGGGAUGAGUUCAUCGAAAGAAUUUCUACUACUCUAUGUGUAUAUUCCCAAAAGUGGAAAUUGUGAGUAAGAAGCAAUGCAUAGUGGCUGAAUCCUCUAAGCAUAAAGUUACCCUUUUUGUAGGAGAUCUCAAUAUAGAUGAUCGUCUAUUGUAUUACGUUAUCAGCUAUAUUGUCAUUCCAAAGUUUUCAAAUCACUCUCAAAUAAAUGAUUUGGAAUUACAAUUGAUGUUUGCCUUCAAAACUUUUAAAUUUGUUAAUCGGGAAUUCAUCAUCAUGCAACGUAUGAAUUAUCUUAGGGAGAAGAAUGACACACUAUCAUAUGCUAUCCUAGUAACUACCAUACCACAUAAUUUUGGAAUUUCGACUGUUGGAGAGUCAAAAGUUGAACUUCACUCUUGGGACAAUAAGAUACACUUAGAUGUUAUCCAUAAGAUGGGUUCUACCAAAAUCAAGUUGACCUAAGUUUCAAGCAUAUGAAUGAGCAUGUUGAACCCUCUAAACCUCGUACUUCUAAACCAAAACCACCCAAUAACAUGAUAAUGGAUGAACUUGUUAAUAUUGCAAGAGGAGUCAAAGUUUACAAGUCUGAUCUUCUACACAGUUUUGAUAAAGACAAAGAUUUCAGGAAAGCUUGAAUAUUGAUUCAACUCAACAAACAACAAGCCGAAGACUCAAGGUCAUAUAGAAUUAGGAAAUUCUUUUAUAUUUUUUUAGAGUUCUAAGAUGAUUACUUAGUUUGAGUCUAGUUUAGGUAAACCAAUGAUGAGAAUCUCACAAAGCUAAAAUUUAGUAAAACUUAAAAUAAGAGAGUCCUUCAUCUAUUCAUAAUGGAUAGUAUGCAUUGAUUUUAUUAAACAAAAAUAUCACUGAUUUUGAAAUCAUACUUUUCAUAUUCAUACAUCUCAUAGAAGGUUUUAUGUUGCAUCAGAAAAUCACUUUUCACACUUUUAAUCGAUUAAGAAAGAAGUUAAUCGAUUAUGUAAAGUUCCGGUUACUGUUGAUUAAGGUUGAUGAACUUAUAUAAUUGAUUAAACAUUUCAGUAUUCGAUUAAUGCUUUAUGUCCAACAAAAUUAAAACUAUUUUCACAUAUGUUAAUCGAUUAACUGAAUAGAUAAUCGAUUAAGGGCAGUUAAUAUUGGUUUUAUAUAUAAGGUUGUGUUUUAACACAUGAGUAAGAAUUAGGCAUUCAAAAAUUUCACAUCAUACUCCUAUCAUACGAAAAUUCUCUGCAUUAAUUUUCAAGCGAAAAAGUUUUAAGUUCUUGAGUGAUUGUCAAAGAGAAUAGGGAACUUGAUUCACAAAGUAUUUUCAAAGAGUGAUUUACAUUUUCAUACACAAAACCCCCCAUAGUAUUUCACCAAUUUUAGUGCAUCUUUGUGAGAUUCUUGUGUUAGGUUUUGUAGGUGAUCAUUAGAGUGAUCUAAUUGUACUUAGUGAGUGCAUCACAUCUAAUUGUGGUUCGGACACUGCUUAUACAAGGGUAUUAUUGAAAAGAAGCAAGAAUCGGCUAGGACAGAUUCAUGAGUAACAGGGGUUUCCAAAAGAGGCAAGAGAAGGUCCAACUAUAUUGCAUGGCUAAGAGUUCAAGAAAGGAGCGCUUGUAGAAGUGUGAAAUUGGAAGUUUGUUUGUAAUUGACAAUUAAAGUUUCUAGUGAAGAAAAAUCUCCCAAACCAGAUGGGAGGACUGGAUGUAGUUUGCAAGUGGCCCCACAAACGAACCAAGAUAAAAUUCUUCGGCUUCAUCUUCUCUUCUCUUAUAUCGUUUAUUUUACGCCAUUACAUUCCUUGAAUUGUCUAAAGAUUAGUUUUAUUAAUUCAUUGCCUGCUCAUUAAUUGAUAACUGCAUGGAGCAUUCUGUGAACUAAUCAAUUUUGUAAGGAAUUAAUUUCUAGGAUCUCGGUUGUGAAAUAAUUGUUUUUAAGAGUAUCAAGAAUUGUUAAGAUAAUUGAUUAAGAUUGUUGUUAAUCGAUUAAGACAUCACUAUAUUUAAUCGAUUAAAACCCCUGAUAAUCAAUUAUACUAGAUAUUUUUCAGAAAGUUAAAUUAACCGUAAAAGUGGUAAUCUUGUAGCCCGAUACAUAUUCACCCCCUCUAGGUGUGUUUAUACUCUGAUCGUAUCCAACAAGUGAUAUCAGAGCUAGUACGAAAGUGUUAGCUCGACCGUUUACUUCGUUGAUCCAAGUGAUAUUACGAUGGGUUCUACCAACCCUUUCGGCGGUGAUGGUGCAUCCAUCAAUCGUCCUCUGGUUUUCAGUGGCGAGGUGUACGCCUAUUGGAAGGUUCAAAUGAGAUUCUUUAUCAAGGCCAUUGAAACAUAAAUUUGGCAGGCCUUGGUCAAUGGACCUUACAUUCCACUCCAUUUAGUAAAGGAGAAACCAAAGAAAACUCAUAAAGCCUUUGGAGUGAUGAUGAGAAAAGAAAGGUUCAACACAUUUUAAAAGCGAAAAAUAUUAUCACUUCGACAUUAUCUUAUGACAAGUUUUUAGGGUUUCUCAAUGUUAUAGUGCCAAGGAUAUGUGGGACACUUUACAAGUUACCCACAAAUGCACAAGCGAAGUAAAACGUGCGCGACUAAAUUCUUUGAUGCAUGAAUAUGAGUUGUUUAGAAUGUUUCCUAAUGAAUCUAUUAGCGAUAUGCAAAAGUGCUUUAUUCAUAUCAUAAAUAAUUUAGUUGCAUUGGAUAAAUUAUAUUCCAAAGAUGAACUAACUAAUAAAGUAUUGAGAUAUCUUGAUAGGAACUGACAGCCAAAAGUGACCGCCAUUAUGGAGUCUAAGUAUCUCGAUUUGAUGCCUUUAACAACCCUAUUUGGAAAGCUUCAUGAACACGAGAUGGAGUUAGGGCAUUUGACUUUGCACGAGGUAUCACACAAGCACCAGAAAGAAAUUUUUCUUAAUGCUUCAAUAUCAUAUAUUCAAGAGGAAAAAUGCGAUGAAGAUUUUGACUCCAAUAUAGAUGAUGAGACCUUAACCUUCUUAGUCAGAAAAUUCAAUAAGUUUUUGAAACGAAAAGGAGGGAUAAAGAGGUUUCAACGAAAGGAAGGAAAAGACUCAACCCGUAGAAGCAAUGCUCCCAAAGAAUGUCCUACUUGCUUUUAAUGUGAAAAUUUAGGGCACAUGAAGUUCCAAUGCCCAACCUAUUUGCAAAAAGGUUGAGGGUAAGAAGAACACCUCAAGGGACUUUAAGUCAAAGGAAUCAUACAUAUGGGAUGUUCUCGAGGAAGAAUUGACAUCAACCAUAUGAGAUGAAGAGGAGACAACAAAACUAUGUCUUAUGGUUCACACACCAGAUUCCACAAACUUAUCAGAUAAAAGAGAAUCUAGUGAGGUACAAUCCCUUCAUUCUAGUUCAUGUUUGGAGAAUUCUGAAAACAUUCUUGAUUAUGAUGAACUGUAUGCUCCUUUUGUCGAAUUGCAUAAGGAACUUAAGAAACUUGCUAGGAUAAAUGCAGAUCGUAAAAUGGUAUUACUAUUGAAUGAGAAAAAAAUAAUUGAAAUGAAGACUUUGAUUGCUGAACUUAAACUUGAAAAUAAAGCCUUAGAUCUUAUCUAUGUAUGUAGCUCAUGUAAAAGUUCUUCUAAAUUACGUGAGACUUAUAUUUGUGAAAGUUGCGAAUAGUUAGAAUAUGAGAAUUCUGUUUUAAAAGAAAAACUCGCAAAGUUCACAAAUAGUCGUCAAAAUCUUGACAAUUUACUUGAAAACACAAGAAACAUUGGUAAUUAUGUUGGAAUUGGAUUCAUUCAUGCUAAAAAUAAGAAACCACUUAGAAAACAUGUAGCUCAAAAUAAAUAUAUGCACAAUCUUAAAAUGCCUACAUGCUUUUAUUGCGGUAUUCAUGGUCAUAAUUCUACUUCAUGUUAUAUUCGUAAGGGACCCAACAUAAAUUGGGUACCUGAGAGAAAUAAGUAAAUCUGAUUUUCAGGUAUGCCUUCGAACACUUGGACCAACAUUGGUACUUAGACAGUGGAUGUUCGAAGUAUAUAACUGGAGAUAGAUUCAAAUUCCUCAAACUAUCGUUAAAAGAUAAAGGGUAUGUGACUUAUGGAGACAACAAUCAUGGGAAAAGACUUAGAGUUGGAAAAGUUGGAAUUACCUCUCAUACUAUCAUUAAUAAUGUUCUCUAUGUCGAGGGACUUAAGCAUAAUCUGUUGAGUAUCAACCAACUUUGUGAUAGAAGUAUCAAUGUAUUUUUUAAUCUGAUUGUUGUGUUAUUCGUGAUAACAUAGAUAAUAAGGUUAAGUAUAUAGGUCAUAGGAUAAGCAAUAUCGAUAUGACUAAUUUGGAUGAAAUCACGUCUCUGUUUUCAAACUGUUUUAUCUAUAAGGAUAAUGAUAUAUGGGUUUAGCAUAGGAGAGUCUCUCAUAUACAUUUAAAACAUUUAGAAAAAGUGUCGAAAAAGAAACAUGUGGUAGGGCUACCUAAACAAAAUUUCAAAAGUAAUAAUAUUUGUGACACCUGUCAAAGGUGUAAGCAAAUUAGAAAUUUAUUUUCUUCAAAAUCUAUGAUAUCCACAACAAGGCCAUUGAAGCUUCUUCAUAUGGACUUGUUUCGACCAUCACAGGUCAUGAGUUUUGAAGGUAGCUAUUAUGCACUAGUUAUUGUUGAUGCUUUUUCUAGAUUCACUUGGACACUAUUUCUUGUGUUAAAAAGCGAUGCAUUUAAUUCUUUCAAAAACCUUACCAAACAAAUACAAAACCAGUUCAAUCAUAAAAUAGUGUUCAUCCGUAGCGAUCAUGGUCGUGAGUUUGAGAACCACCAAUUUGAAACUUUUUGCGAGAAAAACGGUAUCCUACGCAAAUUCUCGGCUCCUCGCACCCUUGAACAAAAUGGAUUGGUUGAGAGGAAAAAUCGAGUCUUGGAGGCGUUAGCAAGAACUAUGCUUAAUGAAAUCAAAGUUCCAAAAUAUUUUUAGGCUAACACGGUUCACACUGCAUGUUAUGUUAUUACCCAAAUAUUGGUUAGACCCGCACUCUCUAAAACACCUUAUGAACAAUUAAGGGGUCGUAAACCGAACAUAUCUCAUCUUCAUGAUUUUGGGUGUAAAUGUUUUAUAUUGAAUAAUGGAAAAGAUAAUUCUGGAAAAUUGGACUCAAAAGCAAAUGAAGGAAUAUUCUAAGGUUACUCGUUACAUAGUAAAACCUAUCGAGUCUAUAAUAAGCAUACAAUUAAUGUAAAAGAAUCUACGCACACAUUUUAAUGAAUCUUAUUCAAAAGAGAAGAGGAAUGUUGUAUUUGAUGAUGUUUCAGGUGCAAUAGAGGAUGUAUAUACAAAGAAAUUUGAAAUGGAAAAGGCAUCACACAGAGCUAACCAAUUUCUUGAAUUAAAUGGUAACAUUUACCCAUAUUUUUUUAGAGAAUUCUAUAGCAAUUUUCAGUUAGGGAGGGAUUGCAUAUGAUUAUGGUUAUAGGGAAAUUAAUCAAUUUGGAUGAAAGGCUGUUUAUGGAAGUAGGAGAUUUGUCUAGUACUGGAUUGCCCUUAGGUAGUUGCGAUGAUAGUGCCUGGGAAACUUUUGAUGUUAUUAAGAUGUACAAAUCAUGCUUAAGGAGUCCUCAAUACUACGUGCAAGGUGAGCUACUCAAAGUUGGGUCUCUCAUUGUAGAAAAUCGUCUUCUUCAUUACUUAAUUACCUAUAUCAUUGUUCAAAGGAACACCAAUCAUGCUCAACAAAAAAUGAAUGACUUGAAGUUUAUGUUUACCAUUAAGGAGGGAAUAAUGGUAAACCGGUCUGCUGAAAUCUUCAACGUUAUGCUUCAGAUUGCGUCUUCUUCUUCAAGUCUACUGCCAUAUGAGAUCUUUGUUUACCGAAUUUUCAGUCAUCUAGGCAUUGAUACCUCUACUAAGAAGACUAUAAGUAUGAAUUGCCACAUGCACUUCAAACGUGAAAAUCUUAUUCAUAAGUUGGGAAUUCAUAAAUUCAAUGCAGGAUGAAUGUAUGAGUAUGACUACAAUUUGGUAGUCGGUUUUGUUCCUAUUGAAGAAGAUGACUCAGAUGACACUAUAAGCCCAGACAUAGAUUGGGCUAAAUUUCUCUCUUUGGUCGAAGCACCCGAAUUACCACCAUCACCACCGCCACCUGAAGAAUAGUUUAGCUUAGGAUUAUCUAAGUUAGAUUAGCAUUUAGUGUGAGUGUGAGUGUUUUGCUUCUAUAUUUGGUAUUUCUUUUUUCUUGACUCGUUUUAUAUUUUCGGUUUGUAAUAUUUUGGAUAUAUUGCUUUCUCGUACUUCAAUAUGUAACUUGUUAUGAACAUGUUCAACUUUAUUUGCAAUGUACAUUAACUUCUUGACAUAUCAUGCGUGUCUGGUGCUUAAAUUGUGUACGAAACAAUAUGUGCAAAUGAUUGUUCUAAAUGUAUGUUCAUUACGUUGUUGAAAAACUAUAUAUUUUAUGUCUUUUAAUAUAUCAUAUGCAACACUUAAUCAAUUAACGGUAGGUUGUGUGCAUUUUUUCAAUUUUCUUGACUGAGUUUAAUCAAUUAUAUACUCCCUUAAUCGAUUAACAUCAGUAAAAUAUGUUAUAUCUUUCCUAGCUUUUGGCUCAUUUUAUCAUAUUAUAUCAUAUAUAUUUAUUGAUAAUGCCAAAAGGGGGAAAAGUUAUUGUUUGAAGAAUUGCAGGUUGCGAUGCUUCCUUAUCUACUCCAAGGAGGAAAAAAAGCUUCCUGCACUACCAUCAUUGAUGAAAUGAGGGGGAGCAGCACACAAAAUUUUCAACCUUGCAAAGGUAAUUGUUGAUCAAGCAAAUCAACCUUCAAAACAUAUGGUGUUUGUCAUCAUCAAAAAGGGGGAGAUUUAUAUUACAAGAGGAGUAAAAGUUUACAAGUCUGAUCUUCUACGGAAUUUUGAUGAACACAAAGAUUAUAGGAAAGCUUGAAGAUUGAUUCAACUCAACAAAUAACAAGUCGAAGACUCAAGGCCAUCUAGAAUUAGGAAAUUAUUUUAUAUCUGUUUAGAGUUCUAGGAUGAUUUCUUAGUUUGAGUCUAGGUUAGGUAAAUUAAGGAUGAGAAUCUCACAAAGCUAAAAUUAAGUAAAACUUAAAAUAAGAGACUCUUUCAUACAUUCAAAAUGGGUAGUAUGCAUUGAUUUCAUUGCAUAAAAAUAUCACUUAUUUUGAAAUCAUACUUUUCAUAUUCAUACAUCUCAUAGAAGGUUUUACCUUGCAUCAGAAAAUCAUUUUUCAUACUAUUAAUCGAUUAAGCAAGAAGUUAAUUGAUUUAGUAAAGUUCUAGAGACUAUCGAUUAAGUUUGAUGAACUUAGAUAAUUGAUUAAACAUUUCAGUAAUCCAUUAAGGCUUUAUGUCCAACAGAAUUGAAGCUAUUUUCACAUACAUUAAUCAAGGAGCAUUAAUUUAAAAUGAAUUAAACCAUGAUUAAGGGACGUUUAAUGGGAUUAGUAAUACUGACUUCGUAAAGUGAGAAAUAAAACUCAAUACUUAACUUAUCUAAACAUUUAAAACCAUGGGAAUAUGGAACAAAAAAGUAAAUCCACGUAGAUGUAAACACAUAAGCAUGACUUGGACGAGCACAUACCAAGCAUUUAAAUGGUAUACAAUUGUUUCAUUGGAUGAUUCAAAUAAAAAAAAUUAAUAUGCAAUGAACGAGACUACAAUCCACUUAAAGUGAAAAUUACUAGACACGACGGAUAUCCAAUAUUGAACAUGAUUAGUACUGAAGGACUAAGUGAGUAGUCCAUCAUUUCACAUAAAUCAUAUUCAAAAUUUUCAGAAUAAAAAUGAAUUGAUCAUCUGAUAAAGAUUAUGUUAAUAUGUAUGCCCAAUGAUGAUUAGUGACAAUAAAAAGAAUAUGAAUUAUGCUUUUCUAAGCAUGAUCUUUCAUGAAAUGGUGUUUAAUUUCUAUAUGCUUAACCCUAGAAAGCAAAAUUGGAUUCUUCGGAACAUUAAAAGCAACAUUAUUAUCACACAUUAAAUGAUUUUGGCUUACAAAGAUGUUAAAAUCCUAUUGUUGAUGCUUGAUCUGUAGUGAUUAACAACAGCAAAUAACAGCAUACACAUAUUAAGCUUCAACUGCUGAUAAUGCAACAAUACUCUGCCUCCUGCUAGACCACGAGAUAAUGAAGUGACAUCCUUUAUUAGCAUUGUUUCUAUCAACUUUAUCUCCAUUAUAGACAAUAUCGUAGAAUAAAACUAAUUUAUGCUUAUCAUUUUUCUCUGUAUACCUUGUUGUCUAUGUUUUUAUAUUUUCCGUCCCUGUUCAGAAUAGAUGUAGGGUGCAUUGGAGUGCUCAUCAGUUUAGAAUCAUCCAUCUUAAACUUCUUCAUAAGCUGUAUUGUGUAUUUCGUCUGAUGGGUGUAUAAAAAGCUUUAGCUCCCCCAUCAUGCUCAUUUCGAGUUCUUUCUAUUCUGGCUUAGAAAAUUCUUGACAUAGAGAAUCAUCAAUUCAACCAAAAAAAAUAUCAUCCAUAUAUAUAUAUGUACAACAAUGAAGUAUUCAUCAUAUAAUUUGCUAAAAUGGUUGUGUUAACCUUUCCUGUCUCAAAACAUUCAUCAUCACAAGUGAAUCGAGCCUCACAUACUAAGUUGUCGGUGGUUGUUUGCGACCAUAUAAAGCUUUUUUUAGCUUAUGUACGUGAUCUAGAUUAGUAACAUCUUCGAUGCCUAUGGGUUGUAACACAUAUAUUCUUCAUUUAUUAAUUCAUUCUAGAAUUCAAUUUCACAUCCAUUUGAUAAAGAAUAAUAUAAUGAUGGACAUCAAAAGAUAGUAAGAUAUUAAAUAAAAAAUAUUAUGAUGAGCAUCAAAAGAUAAUAAGAUUUGAAUUUUUUCUAGUCUUUUUACCGCUACAAUGAUUUCAGAAACAUCAAUACCUUGUUCUAGAGAGUAAUUGUGUGCAGUGAAUCUAGCUUUAGCUAUUACAAUGUUAUCUUCCUUGUGAAGUUUAUUCUUGAAAAACAAUUUUUUUCAUUAUCUGACAUAUAUUCGAGUAAGGGUACGAGUGUUCAAACAUCACUCCUAUAGAACAUGUUAAACUCUUCUGGCAUCGCUUAAAUCUAGCCUUCAUGAAGUAGAACAUCAUCUACAUUCCUUGAUCCUAUUCAAGAUAUCAAUGUAGAAUGUUCUAGCUCUAUGAAACUUGAUGGUGUCAUGAUCCUAUCACUGGAGUUUUUAUUGAUGAUUUAUUGAGAGUAAAAAAAAUACUUACGUUAUUCUCUAUAUCCCUUAUCUCUUUACUCAUUUCAUUUAUACAAAGUGUGGGUAUUUGAACUUGUUGUAAGUUAAUCUUUUGGAAUUUAUUAAUUCUUGCACUCACCAUAUAAUUGUGUGCCCAAAGUUUUUCAUAGCAAAUUGUUUGAUAAGAUCUUAACAGAUACAAUUAAACACCCACACAUGUGCUUGCAUGUGAGGACUAAAUCAUCGUUUGUAGGAAGGUUGUGGUAGGCUUAUAAUCCUUCAUAUUUGGAUCAACUAAAUCUAGAUGGAUAGAUUUAGCUCUCUGGUCUCUAUUCGGGAACAUGUAUUAAUAUCUAUUAUGUCCUUUUUCACUAUAAUAAUAGCAUAUUAUUGACUUUUGCGAUAUUGAGAAGGAUAUUUGAUUUUGUUUUCAAUUAUUCCACGAGAUCUAUUCAUCCCAUGAUUUUUAGUUUUUCCUCAUCUCUCCACAAUGUUUGCUUGAGAAGGGUAGGAUGUACAACGUUAUUUCCUUAUGGAUUAUUCAUUCAAUAGACUUUUUAAAACAAUAUCUAUUGAGACCAUCACAUUUGAGACUGAGUUGUUGUCUUGUUGAGUGUGAACACCCAUGUGUGCCAAAUUUCGGGCAAUGAUUUGAGUUGUAGAAGUGCUUGACACUAGUCUUCUAUCUUCAUAUCUAUCUAUGUCAAUUGAUUAACAAGGCCAUUGAAUGAACUCAAGUUCUUUGUCAUAUAUUGAUCAUCUUUGUAAUCGAGUUUCACUAGGCUUCUGACAACAGAUGUGUUUUUCUAGGCCUUCCCUAUGAAUCAUAGAUUCAUAGUUCUACAUCUACUAAUAAGCAUUUAUGUAUGUAGAAACAUGUUCAAACAACCUUCUAUCAAUAUUAUGACAAAUAAUGACAACAAAUUUUCAAUUCGAAUGUUCCCAUUCUUUAGAAGUUUUACCUUUUGUCUUGUCUGCAAGAAAUGGGCUCAUGCAUGUCAUUACGGUAUAAUUGAUCCUUCAUUAUGGGCUUUUAUUAUGAAUAUUUGUUUGUUGUGAAUUUGAACAUGUAUCCAUUAAGUGAGAUGGUAUAUGCUUAUUUCCUCUUGGAUCACAAAGGCUAUAUUCUCGAGCUGAAUUUGAGCUUUAAUACCAUUGUUUGAAGAAAAAAUCAUUUUAGCUCCAAUGUGUGACGAAAUGGCAAGUAUAUAAAUAAAAUAGAGUAAAGUUAGAUGAAUAACAUCGAGAGUUUUAAUAUGUAAAACAUCCUCAAAUUGAGAAAUAAAAAAACAUAGGACCUAACCUAUAAAUAUCUUGACUAUAAAAAGUAGGAUUAUAGUAUUUAUUUCUCUCAUUUUAAAAGGAUAACAAUCAACCAUAGAUAUCAAUUAUCUCACUUAUUCUCUAUGUUGGUUUUCUCAAUUGCUUGUGUUAUUUCUCUUCUCACUAUGUCCCUUUAUAUAGUGAAUGAGAGGAAGACUUCUUCAUGAAGAGAUAAUUAAUAAUUAACAUUAGACACGUUGAAAAUAUAUCAUUAACUUUUUAGGUUGGACUAAAUAGUCUUGAAGUGUCAAUGAGUAAUUCCAAGACUUUAUAAUAUUUUCAAGACACUUUAAAAAUUCUAUAUUUAAUUUUGUAUAUUGUACUUCAUAGUCUUCGACAGUCAAGAAAUAGUUCUAAUAUUUUGAAAAGACCAUAAUUCAAUACAUCAAUGGUUCACCUACUAAAAUUAAAUGGUCAUUAAAUCUCAUUAAUCAAGUAGAGAUUCCCACAUGAACCAUUAUAGAUUGAACUUGACUGAUAAAGAUAUAAAUAUAAAUUUUGCAAUGUGCAUGACUAUGCACAACACUAGUUUUGAGGUAUGCGUGUAUACUUUAUGCAUGGGAUACUCUAGAGCAUUUCGCAAGGUGUGCUUGGGUCCUUAAGUGUGCAUAGGGUGUGCUUCAACUGAAUCUUGGCUAAGCAACUUCCUUCAUUUUCUUACCAGAUGUAGCUCCUUUGGUUUGAAUUUCAUAUUUUCAUGCUCAAGUCUCUAUUCUACACAAACAAACAAAAUUGGGGUACUUGUUAGUAUAAGAGAAUCAAACGCAAAAUAAAGUUAUCCAAUUUUCUUUCAUAAAAUAAUUUCAAAAUUGGCUAGUUGGAUCUAAGAAUAUUAUCUCAAAGGGACUAACAUAUGGCAGUUUGAAUGCAAGUCUAAUGCAUCUAGCAAUUGGAGAGUGUUCUUUGGUGUGGAGGAACCUGAGCUGGAACUCUAGAAUUCAGGCAAGAUGAGGUCUGGUUGCACUUGAGUGGUUACCUGAAAAGACACUCUGACGCUCAAUUUAGUAUAUGAAGAAGUGUGUAGAGAAAAUAAGAUGGAAGAGUGUAAGACAGGGUAUUAGGUUUUAACUUCAUUAUGAGGGAUCUCCUCUACUUCUAGAGGAAAUAGACAUGGAAUAUUCUCUAGUGGAUGUUGUCGGGAAACCCUGACAUGCACAUACUUUUGGCUAGUACAAUGUUAUACUGAAGGUGUGUUGUUUUGUCGAAUGUCCCAAUUGUCAUAGUCGUAUGUUAGGCUUGUCCUCUCUACAUGACAAAGGGUGGUACAUGGUUUAGAAGGCAUGUUCUACUCUAUAGCAGAGGUUUGUAUUGUUCAAGCGGUGUGACAGUAAUGUUCAGACGGCUUGACAAUCCUGUACAUUGUUGACUAGUUCUUGUCGUCUCACUAUCGUCCUUUAUCUCGUUAGGUUGACUAUCAGAGCACGACUGAUAGCUGCAUGAUUCGGAUCAUACUUGUCCGACAUUUGGGCAUGACAUGUGUAGAUUUGGACGGUCAUGGCAUUUCCUAGAACCAGGGGGGAUAUAUUAUGCUUGUUGCGACAAGGUGUUUGGCUCCACAUCGUUUUUGGUCUGAUGGUUGAGAAAGGAUGGUCAUGGUUUUGGUUUUGUUGAGUGUUGAUUUGUAGGUAGGGCGAGAUUCACCACUAAACUCAACCUCGUAGGCAUUAGGGGCUGGUCUUGGUGGUAUGUAGCUAGUAUCAGUUUUGGACUAUCAGAGCGCAUUCAACAAAUGGGCUUGUUGUUGGAUGAGAUGUUGCUAUCUUUCAAUCAUUUGAAUGUGUUGUUGGGUGGUUGGUUGUGAUGGUUUGGCAAUUGUAUCAUGGGUUUUUUUGGCUUGAUCAGAUGGUUGUAUGUGAGAUUGAAGGUUUAAUGAUGGAUUUUUACGGUUUUGGGGCAUGUUUAUAGGUAUUGCUUUGACGUGGCUUGCAUGCUUUCUCAUGGUUAGAAUGGUGAAGGAAAGACAUAGAUGGCGACAAUAUUAUUUGGUUUGGAGGAAGUCGGGCUGAAACUCUAGAAUUCAGGCAAGAUGAGGUUUGGAUGUGCCUAAAUUAGUACCUGAAAAGAUACACCAACACUCAAGUAUACCAACCCAAAGGAAAAUAGGAUACGAGUUAACCCGCUUGCCCGAGUCCGAGUUGACGAGGUGAAAGAGUUCAGACUAGGACAGUUCAGGCCGGUGGAAGCCAAUGAAAGGGAGAAGCGUUCAACCACUAGAGCAGAAGCCGAGUAUAAGAUCGCCCUUAUCGUCUAUGAUUUGGCCGUGAAAGAAGCCCACUUCACCAUUUCUCUUGGGAUGGGAAAGAUCAAAUGAAGCAAGCCCUCCUCAAAGCCUUUUUCAAGCUUCGAGGGAAAGUAGCCCUUAUUCUAUAUCACAUUCUUCAGAUAAAAUAACUUUCCUUCCCUGACCUACUUUGAGUCUCACUAACGUAGGGAAACCGGCCUGGCAAGGAGGCUAGAGGAAGGAAACUGCUCAAGUGAGCUUGAAGCAACAAGGGUUGUGGGUUAAGUUCCCACGUGGGGAAGAAAGUUAAUAAUAAUAAGUAGAGCUGCUCCUGGUGUUCCAGGGAGAGAAUGUCUUUUCUAAUCUGUUCUCAAAAGCAAGAUGAGCUAUGAUAAAGAGAAAGAACCCGGAGCGAUUGGACUAUCUUUGUAGCUCCAUAAUCUUUCAGUUUAUGCUCCUACCUACUAUUUGGAUAUACCAAGAAAGAUGUACGGUCUAAUGAGGCUACUACGAAAUAUGUACUCAUGGGUGGGGCCUUAUAUUCUGGUUCAUGGUUUAUCUUGGCUAUAUGGUUCAUCCAGGGGAGAGAUCAAGCUUCAAGAAAUAGUGAAUGGUCUUAUCAAUACACAAAUGUAUAACUCCCCAGGAAUUUCAAUUGCGCUUAUAUUAAUCACUAUAGGAAUUGGGUUCAAGCUUGCCCCAACCCCUUCUCAUCAAUGGAAUCCUGACGUAUACGAAGGAGUGUGGUUCGUUCGAUAAAUUCCUACCUUAUCUCUCUAUCUAUUUCUGAGAUGUUUGGAUUUUUCAAAACUCCAUGGACAUGCAGAAGAGAAAUGCUAUUCCCAUUCGGACCAAGACAUAACUUUACUUGUUCAAAUAACAAUUAAGGUGAAGCAAAGUCAGGAACAAAAAAUCCCUUUAUGAUAAACAAAUUCAUUUUUCAAUUUCGUUAUUACGGGUAAUUCCUACAAAGGAUCAGACUAAUGACAUAUACAAUACUUGAAUUAUCGAUGAAGAUGCUACAUAGUUGGUUCUCAUCCUUUAGAGACUACGAGUAUAAUAAAUAGGAGCAUCCGUCGACAAAAGGAUCACCCUAAGAUGAUCAUCUCGUGGCUAUUGAGAACGAAUCAAAUCAGAUGGUUCUACUUCUCAAUCUUUUUUACCUUAGUUCCGUAGGAGCAAGUCAUAAAGAUUGAGAAAAAUCGGUCACUCACAACCACUGAUGAAGGAUUCCUCGAAAAGUUAACGAUGACUAAUCCUUUUGAAAAUUUAAAAUAGAAUGGAUUAGGUCUUAUACAUACGCGAGGAAGGUAAUAAAAAACUAAAUAAGAUAAAUUGGGCCAUGUUUCCCGAGGGAGGCCGCCUUCUCUCAGGCCAGCAGUCUUCUACUUCUAGUCGACUGCUCUAUGACGGGCUUCCCUGUAUCUUGGGCUCUACUCGCUCGUCUAUGCUCCGACCCAACAAGUAAUAUAAUAAAAAACGAUGUAUAUGAAGAAGCGUGUAAAGAAAACAAGAUGCAAGAGCGUAAGAGAGAGUAUUAGAGAUCUCUAAUAUUUAUGGAGGAAAUUGGCAUAAAUUAUUAUCUGGUGAAUGUCAUUGGCAUGCCAGACUUUCCUUUUCUAUCAGGCCUACCUAAAACAAGCAGGGAUUACUUUGUCCAUGUCUAGCGAUCCUCACAUGCACGUGCCCUGGCUAGUUGAGUGCUUUACAUAGGGUGGGUCGUUUUGUCUCAUGUUCGAGUUGUCAUAGUCGUAUGUUCGGUUUGUCUUUACCGCAUGGUAGAGGGUGGUACAUGGAACAAAUGACAUAUUUAGAUCUGUUUAGGCAGCGUGAUAGUUCUGUUCAAACGACAUGAGAGGCUUGUAUAUUGAUGACUAAGCCUUGUCCUAUCAUUGUCCUCCUUUACCUGGAUAUGUCAGCUAUUUGGGCAUGAUCGACAGCUGCAUGAGCCAGACCUUACUUGCCCAAUGUUUAGUCAUGACAUGUGCGUAUAUGGUUGAUCGUGAUGUUUCGUGGAACUAGGAUGGAAUAAACAGAACUAGUUGGAGUAAAGAUAGAUUACAGUGGUCUUCCGUGGAUCGUCAGGGAGAAACUACAAAGGUGGUUGUAAGUAUUAGAUGGAAACAAAGAGGGGGAGGGUGAAUUAGUUGUAUGUGGUAAUGGUCAAUUUUUCUGCUAAGAUAUCAAAGUGUUUAUGCAGUGGAAAUAUUACAGAAAGAUUCCAAAUUGAUAACUUAAAAAUAAAGAGACAAAGUAGAGAGAAUAAAGAAAGAACACGACGUUUUUAUACUGGUUCACUUUCUUGUCCACCUAAGGCUACAUCCAAUACUCUUGCAGCACAAGAGAUUUAUUUACUAGAUAUUAUAAUUUGUAAUUAUAAUCUCUCUCCUUGAGACCCUUUUACCUUACGCACUCACAAAUACCUCACCCUUGGAAAACAACCAUUCCAAGUACUCUCUUCCCCCUUCUCACCACAUCCUUGUGAUGACAAGUUUACAACAAUUUUGAAGAAUGAAUUCUAUGGCAAGAUUGCCUUUAAAAGAUAUAACAAUUCUAUUCUUGCAAUCCUUAGACUUAACAGACUUAGUAUAUAAUUCUCUUGAAAGAAUUAAGUAUGAAAACUUUAGGACUUUGCACUUGGGGCAACUUUAGAUUUUUUUUGAAAGAUUAGAACUAAAUUUGCAAGAAAAAGUGCAGAGAAUUAUAUAUGUAAUUGUGUAUAAUUUGUGUGUAUUGAUUGUGUUUCAAAUGCAGUGUUAAUGCCUUUAAAUAGGAUUCCAAUCAGCCAAUAUACCCUUCCAUGAAGUUGGGACGCGAUUGGAAUGAAACCCAUUGAGUUUGAAUGAAAGUUGUUCAGUUUGGAUUUGAAAAUCUGGUUGUAACAACUCUGUGUAAUUGGUUACACCAUGAUUUAAUUGAUUACUUAAACUAUUUGUCUAGAGAUGUAAUCGAUUAAUCAUUGAUUUUAUCGGUUACUUUUUGUCAAUUAUGAUGGGUAACUAUUUACUACGUUAGGUAACAUGUUACCAACUGUCACACAGUUCUGGUAAUCUGUUACCAAGGUCUAGUAACCUAUUACUCAGGUCAAGUAACCUGCUACUUAGCUUCUUAAAAUUUUAUUUAAAUUUUUCUAAGAGUUUUCAAUUACUUUUCAAAAUAGCUUUUCACUUUCAUUUGAGAAUCACUUACUAUUUAUAUUGGAGUGUAAAUGAUAUAAGUACCUUUUGAAGACUUAGACUCUAAUUGAAGCUUGAUCUAAAUGUAUCUUCAAUGUCUUCUUCCUUUUUUCUUGUUUUUGUGUGAUCUCGGUGUCUUCAUCAAAGCUGUGUCAAGGUCAGGAGCAUGAUCUUCUUCACAAUCUCCCCUUUUUUGAUGAUGACAAAACAACACCUUUUGAAAUUGGAGUUUUUCUAAAAUCAGCAUACUUCAUGAGAUAUGACAUGUUUUGAUUUUAAGUAUGUUCCCCUUUGUUUUUAAGUUUUGUUCCUGAAAUAAACGUUGGGGAAAAAAAUACAUACUCCAACUUUUCUCCCCCCUUUGACUUCAUCAAAUAGAAGGAAAAUCUAGGUUUCUAGCACAAUAUAUCUAUACUAUAUAUAAAGCCAAAACUUGAAAUAACUUCCCUCAUGGUAUAAUUUUCAUUUCCUAUAUUGCCCUUAACAUUAUUUAAUUUUUACAAAAAAACUAUAUAAUCCUAAGCAACUACCACCAAUACAUUAAUUAAUCAUAUGUCUCACCUUAAAUUAAACAUUAUCGUAAAAACAAAAAAAAUAAUAUAAAGUACACCGAACACAAAAAUACAUUUUAAUUCAAAAAAAUGAAAUAUAUAAAAAUUGAAUAUGUAGUAUCACAAUAUUCACUAGUAGUCACGAAGUGCCUGUACACACUAGUAUAUAUAAUAUAUAUACAAAAAAGGUAACAAAAUAUAUUUUGACUUUAUUUAAAAGCUAAGGUCAAAAUAAAUGAGAUGAACUCAAUUUUGGGAAAUGCAAUAAGAUAAUUAAAUAACUUGAAAUACCAUAGCAUUAUAACAUAGUAAAGCAUAGUAACUUCAUACAUAAAUAGUAAAUAAAUGUUCAAACCAAGUACUUAACAAACAAUAAUAGAAAAUCCGAACAAGUUCAAUAACAACAUCAAAGAAACAGAUAAACUACACAAAUCCUAAUCACAUCUACUCUAAGAAUCAGGCCCAAGCUAAUCAAUUUGUUCAAUAUCCAAAUCCAUGUAGUCCAAUCGAUCAGAUAGUCGACGAAGUUUUGUUUAGACUUGUUGAUUCACAUCAUCAAGAGCAUCCAUCCUAGUAGUGAUGUAGCCUUGAAGUGAGAAUAACUCAUCCAUAUCCAUUUGACUAGAUGGCAUAGAACCAGACGAUGAUGACUCAGCAUGAAAUGAAGAAGGUUGUUGAGUAGGAGGUCAGUAGAGGGGUUUUCAGCUUGAGCAGUUUGAUGAUCACCAUGAUGCUUAUAGAUCAUAUCAGUGGUAUCCCGAAAGAAUCAUAUUUUGUGGAUGUCAUCCACAUCAAUCUUAUUUUCUCAAGCAUCGAGAACGACCUUUGACUCUCUAGCAAGAGAUACACCCAAAUGCUAAAAAAUGACAGUUAUGAUGAUAUCAUAAGGUAAGGGACCCAAAUCACCUCUAAAGGCCCACAUUUGUCUCAUUACCAUCAAUGUCCAAUUUAUCGGGACAUUUUGCUUAAGAGCAUACAUCAAUUGUAGUUCCAUAUCAUUGAGUUGAGAAUGAUUUGAAAUUUUCGGAACUAUGAUGUAACUAAGAAAGUAAUGAAGCAAACAAUCAUCUAGGUUUAAAUUUCCAGCAUAAAGGAUAUUUCUACUUUUUAUAGUAUCACCUAUGGUCCUUUGCCUAUGCAAUUCAAUUUCCUUCUUGGAAUAUCUACACAUAGAGUAGUAGAAAUCAUGUUUGACAUAUCCUUCUAUGUCAUCACAGUGUAAGCCCAAUUCUACUAUAGUCCCUAUGUAAGGUAUGUUACCGCAAAUUGAACUUAAAGUUCAAAAAUCAAUGGCAAGUUGCUUGCCUUUGACAAAAGAAAAGAGUUUGUUCAUCAUAAAAAUCAAAUUUUAGUAAAAUACCCUUCCUAGUUCUAGGUAGUAGGCAUAGUGCAUUUCACAGAGAUUAAGCAAUUUUUGUUGUAAAAAAAGGGUGGGGAAAAUGAAAUCGUCAGACUCAAAUGAGUAUAACUUACCAAAUUUUGGAGCAAAACUAGGCCUCUACAUGAAAUUCUCGUUAACACCUUGCGUUGUUCUUCGUUUUCCAGAAUUCGAGCCAAUUCCAAAGGAUUUGUCUAUGAGGAUGUUUGUUGCCUCCUUGGAGCCACAUUGGUUCAGUGCUUCUUAGUUCUUGAAGAUGAAGCCAAAAAUUUGAAGGUCUCAGAUAUUGGGUUUUUUUAUUUAAGCCACCAAACACGAAAAUGAGGAUUGUAAAGUGUUUGGAAAUGAUAAUGUGAUAUGAAUGGCUUCAAAAAUUAGUCAAAACGAUUGAAAAUGGAGGUUUUUCGAAGUUAUCAGUUUUCAUAGUAGAGUAAUCGGUUAUAUCAAGUGUAUUUUCCCUGUUUUCAGAAUUAUAGACAGUGUAAUUGGUUACUCUCCAUUCGCAAUCAGUUACAGUUUGCUCUUGUCUAAGAAAUUAGUCGGUUACAUAGUAGUGUAAUCGGUUAUAUACUCCAGAAAAUGAAAUUUUUAGCAUUUUUAAGCGAAGAUAAACACAUGUAGGCAUGGGAUACACAUAAUGAAGCACACAUAGAAAUAUAAAAGCAAGUUUAGCAUAAGUAAGCUUCAUCGAGAAUACCUAAUUCUUAUAUAAUCUUAUAAAAAUGUUCUUUAACCAGAUGUUUAGUAAAGAUGUCCGCUAAUUGGUCAUGUGUAUCAACAAAUUCCAAGAAUAUAUCUUUUUUGGACAUGUUCCCUAAGGAAGUGAUUCCUUAUAUCAAUGUGUUUGGUUCAGGACUAUAUCACUAAAUUUGUUGUGAGGUUUAUAGCAUUGGUACUGUCAUAUUUUAAGCGAAAGCAACCCAAGUCUAAUCCAUAAUCUCUCAAUUGUUGCUUGAGCCAUAAUAUUUAGACACAAUAACUUCCUACUGCUAUAUAUUCUGCCUUAACAAUAUUUAGAGCCACAUAGGCUUAUUUCGUACAAGACUAUGAGACUAGAGCAUUUCCUAGAAUAUGAUAAGUACCACUAGUACUCUUCCUCUCAAAUUUGCAUCCAACAAAAUAUAAAUAUGAAUAUCCCACCAAGUCACAUAGACUUCCUUUUGGAUACCAUAGUCCAACAUCAAGUGUGCCUUUAAGAUAUUUCAUAAUUUUUUUAACGACUUUAAGAUGUGACUCUUUAGGUUUUGACUAAUAAGAUACACAGAUAGACACUAAACAUUAUAUUAGGUAUACUUGCAGUAAGGUAAAGUAGAGAACUGAUCAUACAUCGAUACUUAGAAAUAUGAACACAUUUUCCAGCUUCAUUAGUAUCUAUGUAUGUUCUAGAAUCCACAUGAGUGACAAUUGGUUUGUAGUCAUCCAUUUCAAAGCGCUUUAGCAGAUCCCCACAAUAUUCAGAUUGACUAACAAAGAAACCACCUUUGAGUUGUUGGAUUUGUAGUCCAAGAAAAUAGUUCAACUUUCCCAUUAUGGACAUCUCAAACUCCCCUUGCAUCAUUUUACUAAAAUCACUACACAAGAAAAUAGUUCGACAUAUACCUCUUCUUGAAUAUAACCAUUCAAAUAUACACUCAUUACUCCCAUUUAAUGUAACUGAAAAUCCAAAGAACAUGCAUAUGCUAUCAAUAAUCUAAUGGCUUCAAGUCUAGCAAUUUUAUCAAUUCCUGAUUGUAUCCUUGGGCUACUAGUCUUGUUUUGUUUCUUACGAUAAUACAAUUUUCAUCUGAUUUAUUUCAAAAGACCCAACGUGUUCCUAUGUCAUGCCUAUCAUGACGUCUAGGAAGAAGUUCCUAAACUUCGUUUCUCUUAAACUGGUUAAGUUCUUCUUGCAUAGCAAGAAUCUAGUGCUCGUCUUUGCUUGCAUCAUCAAUCAUGGAUGGUUCCACUUGAGAUGUGAAGGCCAUGUUUAGGCAAGAAUCAUUUAACUUAAGUCUAGUGAUAACUCUCUUUCUUAUAUCACCAAUGAUGUUGUCAAUAGGAUAAUAUCGAUGGGUUCUCCAUUCAUUUGGUAAAUCAGAAUGAAUAUUUUCUUCUUGUGAAGGUAAGGCACCAUCUAUUUUCAAAUGCUCCGUGUUGGUUGUGGUUUCACAAAUGGAUUUCUCUAAGGAUAAACUAGGUAAGUCAUCAUCAUCUAUAAUGGACUUUUCUUCCAUAGAAGAGUUAGUCUCAUCAAAAGUUACAUGAACAAAAUCUUCCAUGGCUAAAGUUCUCUUAUUAAAAAUUCUAAAAGCUUUGCUUGUAAGAGAAUAGACUAGAAAAAUUCUUUCAUACACUUUUGCAUCAAACUUACCCAAGUUAUAAUUACCAUUAUUUAGCACAAAAAAUCUACAACCAAACAUAUGAAAGUGAGAAAUAUUUGGUUUUCUACCUUUCAAGAGCUCAUAGGGGGUUUUCUUUAGAAUUGGUCUUAUAAGAACUCGAUUGGAGACAUAAUAAGUCGUACUAACUGCAUCAGCCCAAAAGUACUUUGGGAGAUUAGUUUCAUUUAAUAUGGUAUGAGAAAGUUCCUCCAAAGACCUAUUCUUUCUCUUUACAAGACCAUUUAGUUGAGGAGUUCUAGGAGAAGAGAAAUUGUGAGUGAUACCAAUAUCAUCAUAGAAUUCCUCAAAACAAGCAUUUUGAAAUUCUUCCAUGAUCACUUCUUAUAGCAACAAUUUUCAAGGAUUUUUCAUUUUGAACUCUUUUAACAUAUUUGUUAAAGGAAUUGAAUGCCUCAUUGUUGCGUACCAAGAAUAGAGUCAAUGUGUAUCUUGAAAAAUCAUCUACUAUCAUAAGAGUAUAGUAGUAACCACCAAAAUGUUUUGUCCAAGAGGGACCAAAUAAGUCCAUAUGUAGUAACCGCAAUGGUCUAUCAGAAGAAACUAUAUGCUUUGGUAUGAAAUAAGUCUUUUUUUGUUUACCCUUUUGUCAAACACUACAUAGUUUAUCUUUAACAAACUUCAUGUUAGGUAAACCAACAACUAAAUCUUUCUUGAUUAGUUUACUCAAAUGAUCCAUAUGAAUAUGAGAAAUUCUCCUAUUCCAUAGCCAUGAGUCAUGUUCAUUAAUAGCUAAGCAUUUAAUGGGAAGAAAAUAGUUAUUUAAAGCAAUCAUAUAGAUAUUAUUAAUUCUCUUACGAAUAAGUUUAGAGUUUCCGGAUACCUUGUUGUUUUGUUCAAUUGAUUUGUUAUUCUUUGACAAUAAACUUAAGACUUUUAUCAUUGAUAAUUCUUCAAAAGAAAUCAAUAAUUUGUCAUAGAAGUUGGUUGAAAGUGGAAGACACGGUAUUUACCCAUUAGUUUAUAUUCUUCUGAAACUAGCAAUGACUUUGCCUGUGGUCAUGGCAACUAUAGAAAGAGCUUUUUCACCUAUGAAGAUUGCAUAAAUUAGGUUGCAUAAUUUAAUGGUAGAUGCAUCGAUAAAUAAUUGUCUACUAACUUAUAUUGAGCGAGAUGUGUUCAACAACAUUAACAGUGGGUUGAUCAUUCAAUGAUUUUAAAAUAUGAAGUCACAUAGAUAUCAAUUAUGAAGUAUUUAAUUUAUUUGAUUAGCUAUAUUUAAAUUUUGUGAUUUUGACAUCAAUAUUUUAUCCUUUAAUACAUAAUGAUAUUUAUUAUUUUAAUUUUUAACAUAUGUUGUACACCCUAUUAUCGGGUCUUGGCUCUGUUACUAGGUUGAUAGUAGAUAAAAACUCAUUUAGCUUUGAUAUAACUAAAUCUAACUUUUGAACUUUAUGUCCUACUAAAAUAUAUUGUUGUGUGUCAAUAUAUUAUGCACAUGCUUUUUAUUGUCGAAAAUAUCAUUAAUUCUCUAAUUUUUUAUAGUAUAUACAUGAUUAACUAUAUAUGUACAUAUAUUAUUUUAUAUGUCAAAUUACAUAUCCAUACUAAUAAGUAAUAAUGAGAAUACUUUAUCUAAACUAAGUACGUAUUAUAUUUAAUUGGGUCUAGGACUGGGUCCAGGUCCAAAGGCUGACUUGAUUGACAUUUAGGGUCGGAUUAUCUUCGGGUCUAGAGUCGGGUCCGAAUUCAAAAAAUGAAUCGACCAACAUUUAGGACCGGACAAUGGACAAACCUUUACCCGUGGUUACAUAUAAAGAUUGACACUUAAUCAGAAAUAAUAAUAGGAACAUGGGUUCAUACACUAGUUAUACAUAAUUUUCAACAUUUUAUGGAGACAAUUUCAGGCAUAAGAAAACAAAACUUCUCUUAUAGUAAAGACGCAUUUAUUUCUCUAUUCUCUCCCCUACUCCUUGACUUUCUGAGUAGGGAUGACAAUGAAAAAUGAACUCAUAGGUAUCCGUCCAAACCCAACCUGAAUUUAAUAGGUUAAACCUCUUGUUAUUGGGUUUAGGUUCGAGUUCGGGUUUUAGCCGAUAUUAAUUUUCAGGUUCGAGUUUGGUAUAUGUGGUACCCUACCCUGAACCAGUCCCAAUUAAUAAAUUGAAUAAAUUAAUAUUUUAAUAUAUCUUUUUCUAAUCCUAGUUUUGUAUUAAAAUUAGAAACAAAGAGAAGUGAGGAACGACAAAGAGAAGUUCCAAUAGGGAACCAUCUUCUAACCCUACUCCAUUUGUUUUCGUCUUCCUGUCUUCCUCUUUUCUGAAGGCAAAGGAAAAACCAUCUUGAUAUUCUCCAUUCGUCUUCCUCUUCUCAGGUAGCCUUUUUUUUUCCUCUUCUCCGAUAAAUCUUUGUCCUUUAUUUCCCCAUUGGUUCAAAAUUAGAGAUUUUGAUUCUUUCUUCUGGAUUUAGAUAACGAUUUAUGAUUUGGGUCUUAAACUUAACCAAUUUCCUGGAAACUAUAGAGAUAUGUUUAUGUGAUUUUGCUACUUUUCUUCAUAUUAUGAUAUUAGUCAUGGUGAAUGGUUGUUUUCUUCUUUUUUAUUUGUGAAUAAAACUGAAGUCUUAGUGAUAAUUUGAUUUUUUUUACCUUUGUUGUUUGGCUAAUGGUACUUAAUUUGUUUGCUGCUGAUGAUUAGAUUUUACUCAUAGGAAAAAGUUAAGAGCUAGUUAUUAAGCUUGAUAAUCUGAUUUGAGUGGAAAAAUGUGAUUCUCAUUCAUUAAUUAAGCGUUUGCAUUUAGAUGAUAAUAGGCCAUAUGUAGUAUUAGCUUAGUUAACUUUGGAAGUUUUCCUCAGAAUUAUAUUAGAAUUUAUUUUGAGAAGAGGCAACAACUAAAUACAUGAAAGAAGAUAUAGAAACUCGAGUAGUAUUAUUUUGAGAACCAAUGUAUGCUAAAGUUGAAAGGCUUUAGAUGCCGAUAUUCCCAUCUAUUUAUGUGUAAGUUGUGAGUAUUGAGUAGCUAUAUUGAUUUUCUUUUAUUCACUGAUUACUCAUAAUAUUAAGAUAAAAAUUGUGGAUAUGUAAAGCCAUGAUUGAGGUAUGAUUAAGAUAAAUCUGACGUCAAGAACAAAUGGGUUAAUGUGAGAAAUAAAUUGGUGAAAAGGAUGAAUGAAUUGCAAGUCUGUGGUCUAUGUAUGCAGUUAAGGGUGGAAACAGACCAGGCUAGGCCAGGCUUUGCCUUAAACAUACCCAACCUAUAUAGCAUAUAGGAGCCUGAGCCUGGCCUGUUAGCUUGUUUAAAAAAAAAAUUCAAAGCCUGAGUCUGGUCUGUUUAAAAGCCUGGUCUGACCUGUUAGUCUGUUUAAAGGCCUAUUAUACUAUAUAGUCAUGAAAUAGGCUACUAUGUCUACAUUUAAAUGGGUUUAUAGGCCUACUUUUAGUUAGGCCCAUCUAAUUCUAAUAAUUAAAUUAUAUUUUUGUAUACAUUUUUAUAUUAAUAUUACAUAUAUAAUAAUAUUAUUUAUAUUAAAAUAGUAUAAAUUCAACAUUCAUAUAUAAUAUAACUAAAUAGGCCGGCCUGUUAGGCUUAAUAUGCCUUUUAGGUGGCCUAAAGCCUGGCCUAUUAAGCUAAAUAGGCUUUUUAGAAAGCCUGAGCCUGAUCUGUUAAUGAAAAAAGCCUGGCCUGGCCUAGCCUAUUAUAGGCCAGGUAAUAGGCCCCUGAUAGGCGGCCUGGCCUGUUUACACAUAUGAAGUGUACUUUGUUGUAUGGUUUUGUCUAUCUUUGUCGAAAUCAAUGUAGAACAUGCAUUUAUUGGAGAAUUGUCAUCUUCAAUCUUAAAUUGUACCAAUCAAACAUGGUAGCUUAUAUAUAAUGGCAAUGCACUUUUCACUUAAUCAAUCUUCAUCUAUAAAUAAAUGAGUUUGGUCAUUAAUACUCUAUGACAAGUUCAUGUUUGUCAUAUCCGUGCAGUUAGAGAAUCAAUCAUCAAUCCCCUAAUUCUUGGAUCCUAUGAUCAAGGACGAACAUGAGUAUAAUGUUAUGAAUAAGUCAAUCCCUAUAGUUAAGCUAUUAUGUGAUCAUACUACCUUAAUGUAAUCAAUAUUAUUAGUCAUUGUAAUCCUCAUAGGAUCAUUGCUAUAAGUAUCAUGAUUAUAGGAUCAACACCUGUUGUUAUUGUUGUAUAUAUUCAUGUACUCGUCUAUGUAACAAAACACAGAAGCUAAUAUACAAUCUUCAUUUUUCUAACUUGGCAUCAGAGCACUUAAGCCUUGAAGGCUCUUGAUCCAAAAAACAAACCAUGUCAUCUGCUACCUACCACAAAAAUGAUCUUCCGUCCAGUGUAUCUGUCAAGCUGGACCAAGACAACUUUCCACUAUGGAAAUCACUGGUGUUACCUCUCAUUAGAGGUGCCAGACUCGAUGGCUACAUGCUAGGGAAAAAGGAGUGCCUUGAAGAAUUCAUCACUACUGUAGAUUCAAGCAGAAGUUCCAAUUCUGACUUUGAAGAAUGGCAAGCAUAUGAUCAACAACUCCUUGGUUGGUUGAUAAAUUCAAUGGUUGCUGACAUAGCAACACAAUUAUUACACUGUGAAAUAUCAAAACAACUUUGAGACGAAGCUCAAAGUUUAGCCGAUGCUCACACAAGGUCACGAGUUACUUACCUCAAAUCUGAGUUCCAUAGCACCAGAAAAGGAGGCAUGAAAAUGGAAGAUUAUCUAAUCAAAAUGAAGAAUUUGGCUGAUAAACUUAAACUUGCAGGCAAUCAUAUCUCAAAUUCUGAUCCAAUCAUUCGAACUCUGAAUGGUUUGGACUCUGAAUAUAAUCAUGUAGUUGUUAAACUAUCUAAUCAAUACAUUCAGUUGGGUCGAUCUACAUGCUCAAUUGCUAACCUUUGAAAGUAGAAUUGAGCAGCUAAACAACCUCCCCAACCUAACCCUCAAUGCAAUAUCAAAUGUUGUUAACAAAGUUGAUAAACUUAAACUUGCAGGCAAUCAUAUCUCAAAUUCUGAUCCAAUGAUUCGAACUCUGAAUGGUUUGGACUCUGAAUAUAAUCAUGUAGUUGUUAAACUAUCUAAUCAAUACAUUCAGUUGGGUCGAUCUACAUGCUCAAUUGCUAACCUUUGAAAGUAGAAUUGAGCAGCUAAACAACCUCCCCAACCUAACCCUCAAUGCAAUAUCAAAUGUUGUUAACAAAGUUGAUCACAAGGGCAAUAGGUUCAAUACAAACAAUUUCAGAGGUUGGAGAGGAGGCAGAGGAAGAGUUAGAACAUCUAAGCCAACAUGUCAGGUCUGUAACAAGAUUGGACACACAACAAUGCACUACUACUACACGUUUGAUAAAGCCUACUCAAGCUCUAAUCGUUCAACAGAAAAUGACAAAGAAGAACCUCACGAUGCCUUCAUAGUUUCUCGAAACUCAAUUCAAGAUUAUGACUGGUACUUUGAUAGUGGUGUACGCAAUCAUGUAUUGCACCAAACUGAUAUGUUUCAAGAUCUAACGGAGCAUCAUGGUAAGAAUUCUCUAGUAGUUGGAAAUGGUGAAAAGUUAGAGAUUGUUGGAACAGGCUCCUCAAAACUAAAUUUAAUCAACUUACAUGAUGUUUUAUAUGUGCCUAAUAUUACCAAAAACCUAUUGAGUGUGUCUAAAUUAGCUACUGAUAAUAAUAUUGUUGUUGAGUUUGAUGCAAAAUCUUGUUUUGUGAAGGACAAGCUGACAGGGAAGGAUAUUCUAAAAGGGAGACUUAAGAAUGGCCUAUAUUAGCUCCCAGGAGUAGAAAGAGAUUCAUGUGCUUAUGUAUCUGUCCAGGAGGGCUGGCAUAGGAAACUUGGACACCCUAAUAAUAAAAUCUUAGACAAAGUCUUAAAAGACUAUAAUAUGAAAUUAUCACCUAGUGAUCAUCUCAGUUUUUGUGCGGCUUGUCAGUAUGGCAAGAUGAAUUUUUCACCUUUUUAAACCUCUUCCUCUCAUGCUCAGGAAAUCCACACUGAUGUAUGGGGUCCUGCACCAAUAAUAUCAUCAUAUCAUUUUAUAUAUUAUGUUCAUUUCAUUGAUGAUUUCACUAGGUCUACAUGGAUUUACCCUUUAAAACAAAAAUUAGAUAUUGCACAUGUCUUCAUUCAAUUAAAAAACAUGGUAGAAAAGCAGUUCAACAAAAAGGAUUAAAAUAAUUCAGUGUGGUGGUGGUGAAUAUAAAGUUGUUCAGAAGCAUGCUAUAGAAUCAAGAAUACAAUUCAGAAUGUCAUGUCCAUAUACAUCACAACAAAAUGGCAGGGCUGAAAGAAAACACAGGCACACUAUAGAACUUGGGUAGACACUAUUAGCACAAGCUAAAAUGCCUCUAAAUUACUGGUGGGAAGCAUUCUCCACUGCAACUUUCUUUAUAAACAGGUUGCCUUCACUAGUCACUCAAAAUAAAAUUCCUUAUUAUGUACUACAUAAAAAGGAACCUGAUUACAACAACUUGAAAACCUUUGGAUGUACCUGCUACCCUUGUCUCAUGCCUUACAAUCAACACAAGUUGCAGUUUCACACAACUAGAUGUGUGUUCUUGGGCUACACCAACUCUCCCAAAAGCUAUAAAUGUGUUAAUUCUCAUGGAAGAAUCUUCAUAUCAAGACAUGUAGUCUUCAAUGAAGAUCAUUUCUCAUUCCAUGAUGGCUUUCUUAAUACAAGAGUCCCUCCAAAAACAUUAAUUGAUAGUCCAUCUAUCCUUUUUCCACUGCAUGUUACAGGUACACCACUUAGAGAAGAUAUUGUUCCAGCUAACUACAACUCAAAUAUUGAACAAGAACCAAUUGAGAAAUCACAAGCUUCCAAUGAACAAGUUCAAGAUAAUGCUAUUGAACAUGCUGAACCAGACACAAUCACAGGCCCUACCAAACAAGUUCAAGAUAAUGAUACGAACCUGCUGAACAAGACACAAUCCCAGACCCUACUGAGGUAGGAACAAGCAACAACACUCACAGGAUGCGUACCAGGAGCAAAGAUGGGAUCCACAAGCCAAAGCUACCAUAUACCGGAUUAGCUGAAAAUUGUAUAGAAGAAAAUGAACCAGAAAAUGCAAAAGAAGCUCUCACAAGACCAUAGUGGAAAGAAGCCAUGCACAAGGAAAUUCAGGCACUAAUAAUAAAUCAGACUUGGACACUAGUACCCUAUCAAGACCAAGAAAGCAUCAUUGACUCCAAGUGAGUUUUCAAAACCAAAUACAAAGCAAAUGGCACAAUUGAAAGCAGAAAAGCCAGAUUAGUUGCAAAAGGAUUUCAACAAACAUCUGGAUUAGAUUAUGAAGAAACCUUCGGUCUUGAUGUCAAGGUCUUGAAAGAGUUUUCUCGCUUUCUUUAUUGAGCCAAGUUUCUAAUUAAUUUAUUUAAUGACAUGUUGAUUCUUUGCUCGCCAUCUCGGUUUUUUUGGAAUAAAUUCACACGCCGAUAUAAUGGUUUCAAGAAUGUUCCUUUAAUAAAAAACAUAGCUUUAUUGAAAUAUUAUCAUACCAUCUCGAUUUUGUUGGAUUAAUUCCCACGCCGGUAUAAUGGUAUGAAUAUAGCAUUUUAAUACAAGUGGUAAUGAGUAAUAUUUAUUUUUUUUUCCUUUAUUAAACAAAAAUACAUGACAGAAAGUAAAAGUUAGUAGUUAGAUCACUCAUUACGACUGUGUAUUUUUCAUUAUCAGAAAGAUACAAUUUAUGAAUUAAAUUGCACUUUGAUUCAAGGUUUCUUUCUUUGUCAACAAAUAAAAUUUAUAAGUUAACUCUUUACUAUUUUACAUUUGCAUAUCUUUCAAGAUUCAAUUCUAGUAUAGUAAUAGGGUUAUGUCAAAGCACAAAGAAUUGCCUAAUAGAUCAUUAUUAAACAUGUUAUAUUACUAAUAAUGUAUAAACAUCUUUUUAUUUGGUUUUGUUUAUGAAAUAUUAACAAGUAAGUAGACAUAACUAACUAAUAUGAACAAAUUCUUGAGGAGAAAAUUGGUUGGAAAUAUGGAAUUAUUUCGCUACUUAAUUCAUUUUGAAAACAUUACAAGUUAUGUGUUAUACUUUUGGUUAAUUCCACACCUCAUUUUUAAAUCCUUCAUCUAGUGUCCUAGACUGAUAAGAUGAUUUUCAAACCUUAUGUAAUGCACUAAAUAAUAAUUAAGUGUUACUCGUCUGAGUAGGUUGUCACACUCUACUUCAGGCUUCAUUAACUUUAUUUAGCCUUGAACAUAAGUUUCUUAAAAUAGAUGCUUGAUGUGGCAAAUGAACUAAGGUGUUGGUUAUACUUUUUAGUUCACUUAUCAACACUUUAAUAAGAAGCAUUUUUGGAUCUUUAAAUCAAGGUUUAGGUAAUCAAGCUAAAACCGCAUUAAGAACUUCAUAAAGAAUCAAAACUUUACCAAAAGUAAUAACUUGAAAUGAAUUGAAUUUCAAAAGAUGAUAAAUUAACAGAAGAAAUUACACCAUAAUCCAAGUCAAUUUGUUGGGGCAUGAGCCAUCUAUCUAAGGAUGAUAGGCUUUUUGGACAAAAAUGAGAUUACAAAAUUCUGUUUUUGUAUCUCAUUUGCCAUCUCCUUUCUCCUCUUGAAUGAAGAAAAAACUACAAAAUAAAAUUACCUAAACUACUUCGGAGUAGAAAUUCUCCAAGAAAAUUACAAGAAGAAGAAGAGAAGAAUUUGGUUUAGAGAGAGUGUGAGGAAUGGAAGUGUUUGCGAAUAUGAAUGAAUGAAUGUCUUUUGCCUUUGAGGUGCUUCCUAUUUAUAGGAGGUUCUACCAACGGCCAAGCUCCUCUCUUUGACUGUCAAGCUGCUGACCAAACCCUUCAGCAUGGGUUUGGUAAUGACCAAGCAGCUUAGUCACCUACUUUGGGCUGAGUCAUCCAAGUUAGUUGUGAGCUACUGGCCCAGUUAUUGUGAGCUACCUCUACAAAACAUAUGGAGGCUACAUGGAGUGAGGUCAUACAUGAGUUAAUGGUUGCUUGAUGGCUACAUCAACUUGACCAAGUUGUUGAGUGCACACCGCCAAGCUCUCAUAUGGCACCGCUAAGUUGUAUGCUUGAGCAGCUUUGACCAUGUUGAUGGUGAUGUGGCUUGGUGCUUGCUGAUCUGGUCAGGUGUGUGGUUCCAAGCUGGGCGAUCCACGUACUCCACUAAGCUGUCUGCUUGAGGAGGUUGGCUUGUGCCAGGCUUGUGUUCUGACCGUGCCAGGUUGGGUCUAACCAUGCUAGGUUGGUGUCCAAGUCAGCUAGACGUGGGCUUGGUCCAAGCUAAGCUACUUAAUGAGCAGCUUCAAGUUGACUCCAUAUUUUUCCAUAUAGGCCAAGUCUUGUUGAGUCAUGCUUAAGUCUAAGCACAUAGCUUGCCAUGUCAAACUUAAGCAUGUCAUUUGUGGAUCAUUUUGGCCUAUUUUAAGCAAUUUGCUUGUAUUUGAUUAAUUCUUCUCUUUUCUACCUAAAUCCUACAAAAUAUAAUACAAAAGAAAUAAACAAAGCAUAUAUACAAGAUUGUGAUAUCAAAUUCCCCCAACUUAACACUUUGUUUGUCCUCAAACAAGUUCAUCCAAAAUCAAAACUUUGCUAAUUUUUAAGAUAUGAUUAUCAUGAUCUAAAAUUUGCUUAAGCAUGAUCAAAAAAUGUUUUCAAUGAGAUUUUUCAUGAUUUGUGAAUUUUUUACACAUUAUGCUUCAAACAUGAAAUGUAUGCUUUUGUUCAUCAAAAGUGUGUAAGAAUUUACCUAAGCAAAUAUUUUUCAAUCAAAAAGUGUUUUUGCACACAAGUUCAAAAAUGAAACUUUAAAGGGGUAAGUGUUUCACUCAAUUUUUCAACCAUUUGAUUGUAGUAAUUUGAACUUGUUUUUUGUAUCACCUAUCCUCUUAAAUAGCAUAAACAAUCAAGGAUCACUAAGGUCUUGUUUUUUGUUGUAAUGAGGCUUGGUUAGAUUAUCAUGGUUUUUCUAGGUAAUGAGGUUAAGUUCAAGUAAAAAGAGAGCACUUUACUCUACUUUUUUUCAUAAUUUUAUUUUCCAACCUCUUAGCUUUUGAACAUUGGCUUUUCUUUGUCUUUCUCCUUUAAAAAUUAAUGCUCUCUUUUUAGAACAUUGUUUUCAAUUUCGGAUUUCAUGGGAUAAUUCGAAAAAUUGUUUUACUUUGUUUGUCUCAAAGAGGCUUAUCAAAGGAUAAUCCUAAUUUUUUGGUUAGACAUUUUGGCCAUUUGGUUCAACUAAAAAUUAACAUGCCUUGAUCAGUUCCUAUAAAUCUUAUGCAAUUAAGAGAUUUAAAGACUCAAACAAGUUUAAUUAGACAAAUUAAAUGGUGAUUUAACUUUUAUCCUCACAUGUUUGGCUCACUCCUUCAUGAAAGUGAAGUGCAUCAUUGGAUAUUGAUCUAUGUUUUGAUGAAGACAAACAUGAAGACCAACAUGAAGACAAGCUUGAAGAUCAUUCAAAAAACAACAUGCCGAUGACGCAAGUGGUGACUAAUUAGACUUAGGUUAUAAUUGUUUAUUAUCUUUUUAGAAGUCUAAGAUGCUUGCCAUAGAUAUUGAAUCUAGGUUAGGUAAACCUAGGUGUGAGUCUCACAAGACUUAUUAAAGUAAUUUAUCCACUAAAAUGAUAUAUCAUAUAGAAAUAUAUGAUAAUUAGGUUCAUGCAUUUGAAUACAUUGAUUUUGUGCAUUAAAGGUAUUACAUUUGGAAAUCAUGUAUUGCAUGAGCAUAUAUCACAUAGGUAGUUCACCAUGCAUUAACAAGUUGAUUUUACACUGUUUAAUGGAUUAUGAAUUCUGUCAAUCCAUUAACAGACACUGUUUAAUCGGCUAUGAAUAGUGUUAAUCGAUUAACAGAAUCACAGUUUCAACAGAAAAUUGAAAAACUGAAAACAAUUAUUAUCAACAACUCGUUAAUCGAUUAAAUGGGUACUUAAUCGAUUAACUGGGACUUUAGACAGUUUUCUAUUUAACCUGAAAUCUCAGAAAAUGAGGCAUAAGAAUCCAUACAUUUUUACAUCAUUUUCUCUGCAUAUUUUCGAGUUACUCAUUGUCGUAUCUAGGAGAAAAUAUUGCAUGUUGCAUUAGGAGAAACAUUAGAUCAUGCUAAGGCUUUAAGUUUCAUAUUCAUAUUGAAUGUUCUUUGAAAAUCUUUCUUGCAUCAUUCUUGUGUUUCUUGGAAAUAAAAGAGAUAGUUUUUAAUAAUUGCAUAAUUUUAGAAACCUCGUGCAUGUACAUUCAUAUUAGACUAGGAAUUCAUGUGAGUUCUUGCUUAGGUUUUAGUAUUUGAUCUUUAUUGUUAAAUUCGAGUAUUAAGUACUCAUUCAUAACUUAAAGCAUUGUAAUUCAAGGAUUAGGAAAAUCCUAGCUGCGGUUAGUUAAGGUGUUCUUCACAAAGAUUUGGAGGUCUUGGGAUAAACAACGAUACCUUGGCUGGUGCCGAAUCGCGGUAAGAAAGGUUUUCUUGGGAGGCGAUUUCACAAAAGGUCAAACCAAGGGUGACGAAGUUCUUUGGGUUCCAAGAAAGGAGCAUUUGACUCUUGUAAUUGGAAGCGUGUUUUAACGAUACAUUGUGUUCUAUAGUGAAGAAGAAAAUCUCCCAAGAUCAGAAGGGGAGGCCUGAAUGUAGUUUUACAGUGGACCGCAAAACGAACCAGGAUAAAAUCCUUGCACAAUCUUUUCUAUCCCUUUCUCUUUUACAUUUCAAGUUGUAAUAUUGCAUGAUAUAACAUGAUAAUUUUUAUACUGGUUUUGUGCUAUAACUAGUUUAAUUUUGUGUAAAAAUAUAUGUUAUACCAUUGCCUCAUUUUCUAGUAACCUGCCAUGCAAGAGAGCUGUUAAAUGAGAUUUUCUGAUUUUCUGUUUUUACUGUGUUUAAUCGAUUAUGAACAAUGCUUAAUCGAUUAACUGGGCAUUUUUCAGCAAGUGUGUAAAAAAACCAAAAAGCGGAACUUGAGCUCCGCUACAUCUAUUCAACCCCCCCUUCUAGGUGUGCUCUGUCCACUGAUACCUAACACCUCACUUGCUUUGGAUUUACACUUCUUGAUUUUAAAAAAAAUGUUUGCAAAGAUCAUCUUACACAAAUUUAAUUUCCAUUUGCGAAACAUUUCAAGUUAUGACAUUAUGUGAUGUUUUCACAAAAAGUUUAGCACAUAUCUCAUUUUGCUCAAUCAAAGCUUAAGUCAAGAUAUGCUGAGCAAUUUCUAAUCAUGUAAUCAUGUCACAAUUUUUUUUCAUCUAGCCACUUUGAUUCCGGUUUUGAAUUUAUUUUGAGUUUUAAGAACAAUCAAAUUAUUUUUUAAAUAACUAUACAAUCUUAUAUACACUAUUAACUUUCUUUUAAAAAAAUUCAUAUGCAUUAAAUUAUGUUCCCCCUCUUUAAAUGAUGGAUUGUCCUCAAGCUAAUGGAAAUAUUGGUUUUAAAGAGAUAUUUGAUGCAUAUGAAAUUUUUUAAAAGAAAAAUAACAUAUUACUAAACACAAACUUAAUUAAACAUAAAUUAAAAAGAAAUUCAAAAACUAACCAACUAUUGAGUUGCCUCCCAGCAAGCGCUCGUUUAACGUCAAUAGUUUGACACCUGUUCUAGCUGUAGAGGUUAUUCUGAUGCAAUUUCGAUGAUGGAGCCUAAGUCAUUGCCCAAGUAUGGUUUUAACCUUUACCCAUUCACUGUCCAAGUCGUUUGAGGCUUUGGAUCUUCUAAUUCAACUGCUCCAUAUUUUUUAACAUUUUUUAUUACAAAUGGCCCGGACCAUAUGGUCUUCAAUUUUCCCAGAAGCAAUUUUAAUCUUGAAUCAAAUAAGAGUACCUUAUGACCUUUAUAGAAAUAUUUUCUUAGGAUUUUGGAGUCAUGACACUUUUUAGCCUUUUCUUUAUACAAUCUUGAAGAUUUAUAGGCUUGGAACCUCAUUUCCUCUAAUUGGUGUAAUUGUUUCCUUCGUUUUGUUCCUCCAUCUUUCAAGUCAAAAUUUACAAACUUAAGUGCCUAAUAGGCUUUAUGCUUCAAUUCAACUGGUAAAUGACAAGCUUUGUCAUAAAUUAGUUGGAAUGGAGUUUGGCCUAUUGGUGAUUUAAAUGCAGUUCUAUAUGCCCUUAAAGUAUCAUCCAACUUAUAUGACCAAUCUUUCCUUGAGGAAGAGACUAUUUUUUUUUCUAAAAUUCUUUCUAAUUCUAUGUUGGAUACUUUUGCCAGCCCAUUGUUUUGUGAGUGAUAAGGUGCUGCUACCUUAUGUUUAACAUUAUCAAAUUCCAAAACCUUGUGUAAUUUGGAGUUUACAAAAUGAGAUCCUCCAUCACUUAUGAGUACUCUUGCGGGUAAAAAAAAUUUAUAAUUGUUUUUCCAUCUGCUUCUGGUGUUGCUAAUGCUUCUACCUAUCUAGAAACAUAGUCAUCAACGACCAAGAUAUAUUCAUUUGAAAAUGAUGAUGGGAAAGAACCCAUGAAAUCAAUGCCCUAAUAAUCAAAAAUUUCUAUUUCCAAAAUAUUUUGCAAGGGCAUUUCAUUUCUUUUUCCAAUUCCUCGAGAUCUUUGGCAUGCAUCACAUUUUUGAACAAAAUUUUUGGCAUCUUUAAAAAUAGGGAGCUAGAAAAAACCAGACUAGAGAACUUUUGUAGCUGUUCUUUCUCCAUUGUAGUUUCCACUAUAAGCAGAAUUAUGCAAGUGCCAUAAAAUUUUCUGAGCCUCCUUUGAAUCAACACACCUUCGAAUUAUGUUGUCAGUUCCUUCUUUGAAUAAGUAUGGCUCGUCCCAAACGUAAUGGUUGACAUCCUUGAGAAAAUUCUAUUUUUGCUGAUAGUUGAAAUGAUCAUGAAUAAUUCUUGAGGCUUUGUAGUUGGCUAUAUCAGCAAACCAUGGUCUUUCUUGAAGGAUAAAUAGCUUUUCAUCAGGAAAUGCUUCAGCUAUUUCUCUCUCUCCUUUCAUGACUUCUUCAUUGAUUAAUCGUGACAAAUGAUUGGCCACGAGAUUAUCUUUUUCGUUUUGUUACAGAUUUCCAAGUUAAAUUCCUAUAAAAGUAGCACCCAUCGUAUUAACUGUAGCUUGAACUCAAGUUUCUUUAAGAGGUAUUUGAUUGCGGCAUGAUCAGUAAAAACAAUAUUUUGGCCUCAAUCAAAUAACGUCUAAAUUUUUCCAAUGCGAAUACAAUAGUUAGCAAUUAUUUUUCUAUUGUGACGUAGUUAACUUGUGCCUCAUUUAAAACUUUGCUGACAUAAUGUAUUACAUGAAACACAUUCUCCCUCCUCUGUCCUAAAACUGCACCAACUGCGUAAUCACUAGCGUCACACAUUAGUUCAAAAGUUUGGUGCAAUUAUAACAGGGGUUGUUACCAAGAAGUUUUUUCAAAGUUUUGAAUGCUUCUAAACAUGAUUCUUCAAAAUUAAAAGUAGAAUCUUUAAGGAAAAGAUUGCAAAGGGGUUUAUCGGUUUUGGAGAAGUAUUUGAUAAAGCAUUGGUAGAAUCCAACAUGUCCUAGAAAGCUUCUGAUCCCUCUAAGAAUUGUUGGUGGUGGAAUCUUCUCUAUGACUUCUACUUUUGCCUUAUCAACUUCUACCCCUUUUCUUGAAAUCUUGUGCCUCAAAAUAAUGCCUUUGGUGACCAUGAAAUGACAUUUUUCCCAAUUUAGUACCAGGUUGGUCUCAACACAUCUUUCAAAUACUGUCUCUAGGUUUUGUAGGCAUAAAUUGAAAAAAUCUCCAAAUACUGAAAAAUCAUCCAUGAAGACCUCGAUGCAUCUUUGCACCAAGUCAGCGAAAAUAGCCAGCAUGCAUCUUUAAAAAGUAGUUGGGGCAUUGCAUAAUUCAAAUGGCAUUUUUCUGUAUGCGUAGACACCAAAAAGGACAAGUAAAUGUCGUCUUUUCUUGAUAUUGUGGAUCUACAACAAUUUCGUUGUAUCCCGAAUAAUCAUCUAGGAAACAGUAGAAGGUCCAUCCUAAUAAUCUUUCCAGCAUCUUGUCCAUGAAGGACAGGAGAAAAUGGUCUUUUCUAGUGGUUGCAUUGAGUUUGCAGUAAUCUAUAUAUACCCUCCAACCAGUAACAGCUCUAGUUGGAAUGAGCUCGUUGUCGUCGUUUUGGAUUACCAUCAUUCAUCCUUUCUUCGGCACCACUUGAAAAGAACUUACCCAUUUUCUAUCUGAAAUGGGGUAAAUCAUUCCAGCUUCUAACAUUUUCACCACUUCCUUCCGAACAACUUCUUUCAUUGUCGGAUUGAGCCUCCUUUGUGGUUGAGCUACUGGUUAGAAAUUAUCCUCCAUCAUGAUGUUGUGCAUGCAAUAGGAUGGAUUGAUUCCUUUUAGAUCUUUCGAAGUCCAACCAAUCGCCUGUUGGUGCUUCUCCAAGACUUGUAUCAGCUUGUUUUCUUCCAAGGUGGAGAGCAAUUUGAUGGUGAUAACUAGUUUGUUGGAGUCACCUUUUAAAACUACAUACUUCAAAUGCGAUGGUAACUCCUUUAAUUCUAGUUCUGGUUCUUUUUUAUCAUCUCCACCUUGGUUAAUUUCAGGAGAAAUUUGAUUAUCAGAAAAGUUUCUGAUCAGUUGUUCUUUUUCUACAUCCUCGAGAUUAAGUUCUUGCAUCUCCCAAGAAUUAUUAGGUUGACGCUGUUCUGAGCAGAUUUCUUCAAGAAUAUCUAUCUGGAAACAUUGCCCUUUAUCUCUUUGGUGAUGCAUUGCUUUGAAAAUGUCAAACUGAAUUUCAUCAUUUUCUACUCGAACUAUCAGUUUGCUAUUUUCCAUGCCUAUCCCCAUUUUUUAUGUUCUCAUGAAUGGACGUCCCAGAAUGAGUGGGAUUUCCACAUCUUCGGAGAUGUCAAUUACAAAAAAAUCUACAUGGAGCGGGAGUUUAUCCAUUCUUACCAACACAUCUUCUGCAACUCCUUCCUGAUAUUUAAUGGAUCUUUCAGCUAGUUGUAAGGCUAUUCUGGUUGGUUUUAGUUGCAACCCUCCUAUUCUCCUCAUCAUUGAAAGUGGCAUUAGGCUAACACUUUCCCCGAGAUCGACAAGUGCUUUGCCUAUGGAAACUUCCCCAAUUGUGACUGGAAUAGUCACAGUUCUUGGAUCUUUCAGGUUAUGAGGGAUGUCAGUUUGAUGGAUUGCACUACAAGUCGUAUUGAGUUGGAUAACUUCUUCUCUUGAUGGCUCCUCUUCUUUAAUAGCAGUUCUUUCAUAAACUUAGAAUAGGUAGGCAUUUCUUCCAAGGCUUCGGAGAAUUGAAUACUGAUUUAUAACGAUUUUAUUAUUUCCAUAAACCGAGCAAACUGCUCUUCCUUCUUGGCUUUUGAUGGAGCUGUGGGGUAGGGUAUUUUUCUGAACUAGUGGGUAUUAUUUUCUUCCUUUUGUUCCCCACUAGUUUCAUGUACAUCUAAUUUUUUACGUACAUCUAAUUUUUCAAUAACCACUAGACGUUUUUGUUAGGUAUCAGUGGUUACAAUACACCUAGAAGGGGGGGGGGGUUGAAUAGGUGUCGCGGUUAGAACUACCGCUUUUCAAAAAUCAACACUUAAUGCUGAAUCAACCCUAUUUAAUCGAUUAAUGAAGGAAGAUAAUCGAUUAUUUGAACAAUCUUAAUCGAUUAACAAAAAGACAGUUGUAAUCAAUUAACAGAAACAAUUUUAAUCGAUUAACAAAAACAGGAUAAUCGAUUAACACAACAAUAUUAAUCGAUUAAACAGAAGCAGUAAGCAAUUACAGAAACGAUUAAAUGCAGAACAGUUAACCGAUAAUAGAACGAAUACAGAGCUUACAGAUUUGUAUAUUAGAAUAGCAUCCAGUACAGCAAAUGAACAAAAUGUAUCAAUUGAAUUCAAUAUACAAAUUAAUCGAUUGAAAACAGUAAAGAGAGAGAGAGAAAACAAAACCUGCAACGCGAAUUUUUAUCCUGGUUCGUUUGCUGUCCACUGCAAACUACAUCCAGGCCUCCCGGCUGACUUGGGAGAUUUCCUUCACUAUAAUCGAAUCAAUGUAAUUUACAAACACAUUAUCCAAUUACAACACUUAGCAAAUGACAAGAAAUCAAAGAAACUAUCCAAUGGUUUGACUCCCUUCCUACCGAUAAAGAAAACGUUUCUUUCGGCGUAGCCCCAGCCAAAGAAUCUCUCGUUCUUUCCUUUUCUUACACUCUAAGCUAUGAAGAAACACACAAUCUCUACUGGUGAUACGACACCAAGAGAUUCCCUUUACAACAAUUUAUUCAAGAAUUACAAGAGUAAAAUUAAGCUAUACCUAAGCUCAAAUACAACAAGAAGGCUUUACUCUAAUGCACAUCUAACACAAACUCAUGUGAAAUGACAAGUAUUAGUUAUGAAAACAGAAGUUACAGAAUCAUAAACUUCAUGAAAAACGCAUCAAAAUAUGCAUGAACAUGUGAGGGAAAACAUGAGAAAUUAUAACAUGAAAUGCACUCAAUCCUAAAGCAAGGAAUCUCUCAUUUCUAAACUCACUAAUGCACUUAACAAAUAGAUGCAACAAUUAACACGUAGAAUGCUCUAACUCUCUAAUAAAUGCAACAUGCAACUUAUGAGAUUAAUUCUGAAAACGCAGUUUAUAAAGAAUCAGUCCAGAACCCCAGAUAAUCGAUUAAAUACCUUCUUAAUCGAUUAACGGGACUAAAAAUCAUAACUGAUUCUGUUUUUCAGUUUUUCAGUUUCAACAACUUAAAAAUCAGUUAGGUUAAUCGAUUAACGUAAACCUUUAAUCGAUUAACUGCAUUACAAAAACGUGUUCCAGUGGCAACCACUUUACACAGCAGUUGGGUUAAUCGAUUAAAGGUAUGGUUAAUCGAUUAACACUAAAUAAAAUAUGUAUUUUCAAAUAGAAAACAUCAAAUAUGUUAUGCACUUAGAUAAUACAUGUUUGACACUUAGUUUUAUGCCUAGAAUGCAUAUAUACAUGUAUUUAUGUAAUGCAUGAACAUAUUAUCAAAUGAACAUAUCUCAUGGAUGAAAUGAUUUAAAAGAUAAAUGCAUGUGAGACAUGUAUUAGGUGCCCUAAGCCUUCGACUCAACUUAAACUAGAAUCUAGUCUAAGCCUAGUACCAAAUAAAAGACUCAAGCACGUUGGAUUGUUGGUUAUCUUCAAGCACUUUUAGGCACACGUUGUCCUCAUCAAAACCAUGACGUUCAAGGAGAGCUUUCCAAAGUGUUCCUCUUGACAUGCACACUUUCAAUCUCCCCCUUUUUGAUGAUGACAAACUCUACAUCAAGUUCAUCAAUUUUAAAGUAACAAUUGCUUGAUGAAUAAGCUUGAAGAUUGUGUUGGCAAGGUUGAUGGAAUGCGCACAUUUAUCGGAAGCUGUUAUAACGAUCAACCUGCACAAUUGAGAAGCAACAAAACAACCUUUCUCCCCCUUUUGACAUUAAUCAUAAAACAAAGUUAAUGAAUUAAUUUGGGUUUUAACAAAUUAACUUGUUUCAUUUUUCGGUAUAUUGAACAAAUGCGCUUGAUUUGACAAAAAAAUAGCUAAUAGGAAAUGAGAAUGGCAUAAAAGAUUGAAUCAAAUAUUAAGCAAUGUUAGCAACAUCAAAUCUUAAAUGAUCAAGACCCAUUCACUAAGGCAAAUAAGCUAUUUUGACAUAAUUAUAGCAAAAACAAAAACAUUUGCAUAGCAUAAAGAGUAAAGAAAGUCAUGAAAUAGUACAGGCCAUAAAGUCAAAUAAAAGACAAAUAGCAAAAUACGAAUCAGUUCUGAAAGCAACAACGAUAACUAAAUCCAGAAGGUGCCACAAGAUAAAAAUAAACCUAAGGAUAGGAUAACCUAGGUCUAAGGUCAGCUAAACUAAGGUUGAGGCGGAGGAUAGUCAGGCUGAUCAUCAGGCACAGUAGUGUUCUGAUUUCCCUGGAUAAGCACAGACAGCUUCUGAAAUUCUGAGCAGAACAUGGCAUUCUGAGCCUCAGCGGUAGAUUGAAUCACGUUCCUCAACUCCUGAAAUUUGUUUUCGGUGUAGGCAAUCUGACGUUCUUCAUAUUGCUCCAUGCCUGCAAAAUAAGAGUCCUUCAGCCCUUGGAAGUGCAGAUCCAUGCGGUUGUUAAGUCGUUGUUCCAUGGCUUCCAUCUGAGCUAAACCAAACACAGAGCUCUGAGGUGCUGUUCCAGACGACUCCCCCUGAUUAGUUGCAUUCUGAUUACCCAAAUCCUCCUGAUGCUCAUUAUCCGACAAGUCCAGAUCAAAGGUGGUAUAGUCCUCCUGAUACUGCCAUGUAGUACCAUACUUGUAAAUUCCCAUCUUAUGAAUGAGACUCUCACCCACCAAGUGAUCUUUAUCAGUGUACUCAGUAAUGAUGGUAUCAGAAAUGUCAAUGCGCAAAUAAUCAACAAUGCGGGAUAUGAAAAUGCUAUACGGGAGCAGCUUGGACUGAGACAAUGAAACGCUGUUCAUGAUUUUCAGAAUCUCCUCAGGCCAAUUGAUCAUCACGUUAUUCUUUACAGCGUACAUGAAACGCAAAUCAUUCACAGUAGGCUGUGCAUGAUUAGUGUUCCGCUGCACUAAUAUGUAAGCAAUAACAUAAUGCAAUAACCUGUUCUCAACAGAAAGUGACCCUGCCUUGGUCAGUUGACCCUGAAUAUACAGAUGAGGGCCCCGAAGGAAUGACUUGUACACAUCAACGGGAUCAAAAUUGUCCUUGACCCAAGAACAAUCCCCUAUUCCAAAACCAGACGAUGAUAAACCUCCAACAUUCAGAAACAAAUCAUUACUCAGCUCAAACUGACUACCAGAAAUUAUUGACCAAUACUUUCCAUCCUUGUAUCUAAAAUUAGCGUAAAACUCCCUAACUAGAGCAGGGUGGACACGUCCCUUUAAUUCCAAAAGCUGAACGGCUCCUUGAGCCUCCAUGUCAUGCGGAAAACUAAAGUUUUGUUCCGCUAACCAGGUUAAGUCGGCAUACCUGAUGUAUGUAGGCUUGCGGCCUUGAAAUUUUGCCAACCGGGUCUCUUGCAAAAUGAGGGAAUAAUAGGGGUCACCGCGGUCCCGAGUGGAGGGUGAGCCGGUUUCCCUUCUUCGAAUGCGCGUUGCUGUAGUCUUGACCCGCUUUGGACGACUCUGCUCCAUUGAAGAUGAUGAACUCGAAACUGAGAUUGAUGAACAGAGGGGCAAAGCCUAACCUAGGGUUUGGAUUGGAUGAUUCGGAAUUGAGUGGAUUUGGAUGAAAUAGAGCGAUUUCGGAAGGUUUGAGAGGUUUAGGAUGAGGUUUACUUAAUCCUAUUGCACCUGGAUUAGUAUUGUUGCUGUUUCAGAAAAUCAAGGCACAAAGAGGUUGCGAAAAUGUAAAAAAAAGUGCAAAACCGAGACACUGUUUGCCUUUAACGUACUGGUUUUAAUCGAUUAACGGGAUGGUUUAAUCGAUUAAAACAAUGUAAAAUUUGAAUUUUCAAAAACAAUUGCCCAAGUAAUCGAUUAACGGGCUGUUUAAUCGAUUAAUCGAUUAAAAUUUUAAAAAAUUUGAAUUUUCCAGAAAUGAAGCCUAGGUAAUCGAUUAACCAUUGGCAUAAUCGAUGAAAUCAGAGAAAAUUUUGUUUUUAGGCAGCAGAGUGGGGUCGAAGUUUCCACAAAUUCAAGAACACAGUCACCUUUUUGUACAUGGUCACGCAAAAAAUGAUGUCUAAUUUCUAUAUGCUUUGUUCUAGAAUGCAAAACGGGAUUCUUGGAUAGGUUAAUGGCACUUGUAUUAUCGCAUUUUAUUGGGAUCUUUUCAAGUUUAAGACCAAAGUCCUUAAGUUGCUGCUUCAUCCAAAGGAUUUGAGCGCAACACACACCAGCGGCAAUGUAUUCCGCUUCAGCGGUGGACAAAGCAACACAGGCUUGCUUCUUGCUGUGCCAUGCUACUAAUGAACUGCCCAAUAGGUGGCAAGUACCACUAGUGCUUUUCCGAUCCAACUUACAUCCGGCGAAAUCGGAAUCGGAAUAACCCACCAAGGAUAGUGAGGCAUCCCGAGGAUACCAUAAUCCCAUGUUAAUAGUUCCUUUUAGAUAUCUCAUGAUUCUUUUAACAGUUAUAUAGUGUGAUUCUCUAGGUGAUGAUUGAUAUCUCGCACACAUGCAUACACUGAACAUGAUAUCAGGUCUACUUGCAGUUAAGUAAAGUAAAGACCCAAUCAUACCACGAUACUUCGUUACCUCGAUUGCUUUUCCUUUCUCAUCUUUGUCUAAGUAGCAAGCAGAUGCCAUAGGUGUGGAAGCUUCCUUACAUUUGUCCAUUUCAAAUUUCUUGAGUAGCUCUUUGCAGUAUUUCGCCUGAUGGAUGAAUAUCCCACUUUCUAGCUGCUUUAUCUGCAAUCCUAGAAAGAAUGUGAGUUCUCCCAUCAUAGACAUUUCGAACUCCCCCUGCAUCAUCUCAGAAAAUUCUCUACACAAGAUAUCAUUAGUAGAUCCAAAUAUUAUGUCAUCUACAUAGAUUUGUACAAGCAGAACAUGAUUUUCUGAUUUUCUAAUAAAAAGCGUUGUGUCAACCAAGCCUCUCUCGAACCCUUUUUCUAAAAGAAAGGUACUAAGUCUGUCAUACCAAGCUCUAGGAGCUUGUUUGAGACCAUAUAGUGCCUUUUUAAGUUUGUAAACAUGGUUCGGAUAUUUAAAAUUUUCAAAACCAGGCGGUUGGUCAACAUAAACUUCUUCUUGAAUGUAUCCAUUCAGGAAGGCGCUUUUUACAUCCAUUUGAAAGAGUUUGAAGUUCAUUAAAGAUGCAAAGGAAAGAAGCAUUCUGAUGGCCUCUAGUCUGGCUACAGGAGCGUAGGUUUCGUCAUAAUCGAUACCCUCCUCCUGGUUGUAGCCUUUGGCCACCAAACGUGCUUUAUUUCGAAUUAUUAAGCCAGAUUCAUCAAGUUUAUUUCUGAAGACCCAUCGAGUACCAAUUACGGGAUGAUCAUUAGGUUUGGGGACCAAGUCCCACACAUGAUUGCGCUCAAACUGGUUUAGCUCUUCUUGCAUAGCUAUACCCCAGUGUACAUCCUCAAUGGCCUCAUCAACGGUCUUAGGCUCAAUUUGCGAUACAAAAGCUACAAAAUUACAGAAAUUUCGUAAGGAACUACGGGUUACCACUCCCGUAGAUAUGUCACCUAUAACUUUAUCAAUUGGGUGAGCUUUCUUUGUUUUCCACACGGUAGGCAUGUCUGAGUGCUCUUGAGGUUCGAUUUGACCUUCAUCAUUGGCUCCUUUUUCAUUAUCCAUGUCCUUGGAGUAUGCUUCUUCCAAAGCACCUGCAACAUCAUCAGAAACGACCUUUCUCUUCUCUUUUGGAGAAGAUUCGUCAAACUGUACAUGGAUAGACUCUUCAACUUGCAUUAAAUAUUUGUUAAAGACUCUGAACGCUUUGCUAUGAAUCGAGUAUCCCAAAAAUAUUCCCUCAUCGGCUUUAGAGUCGAAUUUCCCUAAGGCCCGCUUUCCAUUAUUUAAUAUAAAACAUUUGCAACCGAAAGCGUGAAGAUGGGAUAUAUUUGGUUUGCGGCCUUUUAAAAGUUCAUAAGGAGUUUUGUUCAAGUUUGGCCUUAAGAGUACUCGAUUUAUAACAUAGCAUGCAGUAUGAACUGCAUCAGCCCAGAAGUACUUGGGGGUAUUACUUUCGUUAAGCAUGGUUCUCGCUAAUUCUUCUAAAACACGAUUUUUCCUCUCUACAACUCCAUUUUGUUGUGGAGUGCGAGGAGCAGAGAACUGAUGCAAAAUGCCAUGCUUAUCACAGAAUUUGUCGAACUGAAAGUUCUCAAAUUCUCCCCCGUGAUCACUUCGUAUAUAUAUUAUUUUUAGGUUAAGUUGGUUUUGGAUUUGCUUGGCAAGAUUUUUAAAAUUUUUGAACGCGUCGCUUUUUGAUGAUAAAAACAAUGUCCAUGUAAAUCUAGAGAAAUCAUCAACAAUAACUAGAGCGUAGUAACUACCACCAAAACUCAUGAUUUGUGAUGGUCCAAACAAGUCCAUAUGGAGUAGCUCCAAAGGUCUUGAGGUGGAUAUCACAUUUUUAUUUUUAAAAGAGUUUUUGGUUUGUUUACACUUUUGACAAGUGUCACAAAUUUCUUUAGUUUUAAAAUUCAAUUUUGGUAGCCCCUCAACUAGUUCGUUUGAUGAUAAUUUAUCUAGAUGCUUUAUAUGGAUAUGUGCAACACGUCUAUGCCAUAGCCAGAUGUCAUCUUCUUUAGAAAUAAGGCAUUUUGAAAAUAAUGUAGUGACAUCGUCCAAAUUAACCAUGUAAAUAUUAUUUAUACGGUGACCAACAAAUUUAACGUUAUUAGAUAAAAUAUCACGAAUGACACAACAAUCAGAAUCGAAGGAUACACGAUUACCUUUAUCGCAGAGUUGGCUUAUACUCAACAAGUUAUGUUCUAGUCCUUCAACAUAAAGGACAUUAUCAAUCAGAGUUUGGGAUGAGUUACCAACUGUUCCUGUGCCGAGUAUCUUUCCCUUGUUGUUGUCUCCAUAAGUGACGUAUCCUUUUCCUUUAAGUGAGAGAUCCAGGAAAUUUGAUCUAUCACCUGUCAUAUGCCUCGAACACCCACUAUCUAAGUACCAUUUUUGUCCAUGUGUUCGGAGACAUACCUGCAAAAUAGAUUACUUACUUUUCUCAGGUACCCAAUUGGUGUUGGGUCCUUUUCUGUUAGUGAUUAGGGAAUUAUCUCCCUUCUUUUUCCAUACAUAAACUCCGCUAGGUAUACCAUACUUUUUGAUAUAGCAUGAAUGAUAAGUAUGACCAUAUGUGUUACAAUAAAAACAAGUAGGAGAAUGCUUAUGAUAUUUGUUUUUAGCUUGAGCUACCGGUUUUCUAUAUGGUCGCUUCUUUUUAGCAGUGCGAGUAUAACCUAGACCAGUUCGAUCACCAACAUUUCUAGUUUGAUUAAGCAGGUUAUCUAAUUGCAGUUUACUGUUUGUGAGACGUGUGAGUUUUUCAUUUAGUUUAAAAUUGUCCUCUUGCAAAGUCUCGCAAGUCUCACAGACAGGUUUUUGACAUAAGUUACUAGCAGAGCAGUUACAUGAACUACAAGAAUAGAUGAGAUCUAAAGUUUCAUUUUCCAGUUUUAAUUCAUCUAAUUCUUUUUGUAAUUGGCUUAUUUUUUGUUCGUUUAUCAGGAUUAUUCUUUUCCUAUCAAUGUUAAUUCUAGCCAAUUUCUUUAAUUCAUCAUGCAACUCGACAUAAGCAUCAUACAAUACAUCAUAAGGAGGUGAAUCAUUCGAAGUGGAUGAGGUGUCAGAAUAUACCUCAUCAUUGCCCUUGCAUGAGUCUGAAUUUGUAUUGAUGUCAGAUCUGGCCAUCAGACACAGCUUUGCUGACUCCUCCUCACUAUAGGUGCUCGAUGUCGAUUCCUCCUCAGGUACAUCCCAAACGAUGUAAGCUUUCUUGGAUUUGAAGUCCCUGGGAGUGCUCUUCUCUGAAUCAACCUUCUUUAGGUAGGUUGGACACUGAAACCUCAUGUGCCCUACCUUUCCACACUCAUGGCAAGUGAAGCGAUCCUUGUUAUUCUUGCCUUUACUGGUUGACUCUUUCGCUUCCUUCUUUUGAAACUUUUUGAGUCCUCCUUUUCUUUUAAUGAAUUUGCUAAAUUUUCGGACUAGGAGACCCAUAGUUUCAUCAUCUAGAUCGGAAUCAGAUUCAUCAUCAAUUUUCUCUUCUUUGUCUUUGGAGGUCGUGGCCUUCAAAGUGAUGCUCUUCUUCUUCCGGUCUGAUUCUUCAUUCAUGGUCAAGCGACCCAACUCCAUUUCAUGCUCUUGAAGUUUUCCAAAUAAAGUAGCUAAAGGCAUAGAAUCUAAAUCUUUAGACUCAACAAUUGCAGUCACCUUUGGUUGCCAUCUCCUGUCAAGACAACGCAAAACUUUAUUAGUUAGUUCACCUCUAGCAAAUGAUUUAUCGAGAGCAACUAAAUGGUUGACAAUAUGAGUGAAUCGCUUUUGCAUAUCACAUAUUGAUUCGCUUGGUAACAUGCGAAACAACUCAUAUUCGUGGGUCAGCGCGUUCAGUCUUGCGCGCUUGACUUCGCUAGUGCCUUCGUGAGUCACUUGUAAAGUGUCCCACAUUUCUUUCGCAUUAUGGCACUGCGAGACCCUAAAGAAUUCAUCAUAUGAUAGGGCCGAUGUGAUGAUGUUUUUGGCGCGCAGGUUAUGCUGGACCUUUUUGCGCUCAUCAUCGGUCCAUAAACUUUUCGGUUUAUCUUUAGGUUGAUCGUCCACAAGAUGUUGUGGAACGUAAGGGCCGUUGACUACGGAUUCCCAAAUAUCCGAGUCUAUGGCCUCAAUAAAAAUUUGCAUGCGCACUUUCCAGUAGGCAUACCCUUCACCACUGAAUAUUGGUGGUCGAUUAAUGGAUGACCCAUCACCACCAAAUGGAUUUGAAGAACCCAUUCCUUUUCCCUUUAGGAUCACGAAUACGCGGUUGAGCUAGCACUUCGUACUAGCUCUGAUACCACUUGUUAGGUAUCAGUGGUUACAAUACACCUAGAAGGGGGGGGUUGAAUAGGUGUCGCGGUUAGAAUUACCGCUUUUCGCAAAUCAACACUUAAUGCUGAAUCAACCCUAUUUAAUCGAUUAAGGAGAAAAGGAUAAUCGAUUAUAAGCACAGUCUUAAUCGAUUAACACAAAAACAGUUUUAAAACAGAAACUAUUUUAAUCGAUUAAUAGAAACAGUAUAAUCGAUUAACACAGGAAUAUUAAUCGAUUAAACAGAACCAGUAAGCAAUUACAGAAACGAUUAAAUGCAGAACAGAUAACCGAUAACAGAACGAAUACAGAGCUUACAAAUUUGUAUAUCAGAAUAGCUUGCAGUACAACAAAUGAACAGAAUGUAUUAGUUGAAUCAGAUAUACAAAUUAAUCGAUUGAAAACAGUAAAGAGAGAGAGAGAAAACAAAUCCUGCAACGCGAAUUUUUAUCCUGGUUCGUUUGCUGUCCACUGCAAACUACAUCCAGGCCUCCCGGCUGACUUGGGAGAUUUCCUUCACUAUAAUCGAAUCAAUGUAAUUUACAAACACAUUAUCCAAUUACAACACUUAGCAAAUGACAAGAAAUCAAAGAAACUAUUCAAUGGUUUGACUCCCUUCCUACCGAUAAAGAAAACGUUUCUUUCGGCGUAGCCCCAGCCAAAGAAUCUCUCGUUCUUUCCUUUUCUUACACUCUAAGCUAUGAAGAAACACACAAUCUCUACUGGUGAUACGACACCAAGAGAUUCCCUUUACAACAAUUAUUCAAGAAUUACAAGAGUAAAAUUAAGCUAUUCCUAAGCUCAAAUACAACAUGAAGGCUUUACUCUAAUGCACAUCUAACACAAACUCAUGUGAAAUGACAAGUAUUAGUUAUGAAAACAGAAGUUACAGAAUCAUAAAACUUCAUGAAAAAUGCAUCAAAAUAUGCAUGAACAUGUGAGGGAAAACAUGAGAGAUUAUAACAUGAAAUGCACUCAAUCCUAAAGCAAGGAAUCUCUCAUUUCUAAACUCACUAAUGCACUUAACAAAUAGAUGCAACAAUUAACACGUAAAAUGCUCUAACUCUCUAAUAAAUGCAACAUGCAACUUAUGAGAUUAAUUCUGAAAACGCAGUUUAUAAAGAAUCAGUCCAGAACCCCAGAUAAUCGAUUAAAUGCCAUCUUAAUCGAUUAACGUGAUUUAAAAUUAUAACUGAUUCUGUUUUUCAGUUCCAACAACUUAACAAACAGUCAGGUUAAUCGAUUAACGUGAUGCCUUAAUCGAUUAACAGCAUUUAAAAACGUGUUCCAGUAGCAACCACUUUUCACAACAGUUGGGUUAAUCGUUGGGUUAAUCGAUUAAAUGAUUGGUUAAUCGAUUAACAGUAAUUAAAAUGUGUAUUUUUAAAUACAAAGCAUCAAAUACGUUAUGCACUUAGAUGAUACAUGUUUAACACUUAGUUUUAUGCCUAGAAUGCACAUAUACAUGUAUUUAUGUAAUGCAUGAACAUAUUAUGAAUGACAUAUCUCAUGGAUGAAAUGAUUUAAAAGAUAUAUGCAUAUGAGACAUGUAUUAGGUGCCCUAAGCCUUCGACUCAACUUAAACUAGAAUCUAGUCUAAGCCUAGUACCAAAAUAAAGACUUGAGCACGUUGAUUUGUUGGUGAUCUUCAAGCUCUUUUAGGCACAAGUUGUCCUCAUCAAAACCAUGACAUAUAAGGAUAGGAUUCCAAAGUGUUCCUCUUGACAUGCACACUUUCAGUUUUUCCGCUUCUGGUUGUGAUACUUUUGCAAUGCUCUAAAAUUGCUGAGUGAUGUUCAAUUAUGCGUCUGAUUUGAUUCUCCAUAUUCUUAAUAGUAACAUUUGUGAUUUGUUGAUGCAUGGCGAUUGUCUACAUGAAUUGCUCUAGUAUUUCUUCUAGUUUAUUUUAAUAUUGGUGAGAUGCUUAGUGGUUAUUGACGAAACAGACUGACUGUUGAUUGGCACAACCAUGACACCAUAAAUGUUGUUCCUCCAAUUGUUUUGGUAGUUUUUGUAACUUAUAGUGCACUUUGUUGAGCUUUGUUGAGCUUUUGUUGAAACUCCUUUAUGAAAUUGUUUAUUUCAAUUUGCAUGUUGAUAUGUUGAACUAUUUUCCUGAAAUAAAACAAUAAAAAGGAAAUUUGUCUAUUUCCGAAGAAAGAUUAGUAAGAAAAGGACAUGAAUUUAAUGAGUUUGUAACUUAUAUUUUUGUACAAAUUGAAAUUAAUUUGUACAAAAGUGAAGAAAAAUAUUUUUAUACAAGAUUAUUAGUAAUAUAGUAUAGUAAACAAUAAUUUCUAUUAUUAGUAAUUCUCCGCCAGCGGCGCCAAUUUGUUGAAAGAGUUUUCUCGCUUGCUUUAUUGAGGCAAGUUUCUGAUUGAUUUAUUUAAUGACAGGUCGAUUCUUUGCUCGUCAUCUCGAAUUUGUUGGAAUAAAUUCUAACGCUGGUAUAAUGGUUUCAAGAAUGUCCCUUUAAUAAAAAACUUAGCUUUAUUGAAUUAUUAAUAUUUUCAUACCAUCUCGAUUGUGUUGGCUUAAUUCCAACGCUGGUAUAAUGUUAUGAAUUUAGCAAUUUAAUACAAGUGAUAAUGACAGAAAAUAAAUGUUAGUUGUGAAAUAAAGGAGAAAAAGUAAAAGUUAGUAGUUAGAUCACCUAUGAAUGUGUAUUUUUCAUUUUCACAAAGAUACAAUUUAUGAAUUAAAUUUCACUUUGAUUCAAAGUUUCUUUCUUUGACAACAAAUGCAAUUUAUAAGUUAACUCUUUACUAUUUUACAUUUCCAUCUCUUUCAAGAUUCAAUUGUAGUAUAGUAAUAGGGUUAUGUCCAAGCACAAGGAAUUUCAUAAUAGAUCAUUAUUAAACAUGUUAUAUUACUAAUAAUGUUUAAACAUCUUUUUAUUUGGUUUUGUUUAUGAAAUAUUAACAAAUAAGUAAACAUAAAUAACUAAUAUGAACAAAUUCUUGAGGAGAAAAUUAGUUGGAACUAUGGAAUUAUUUCUCUACUUAAUUGAUUUUGAAAACAUUACAAGUUAUGUGUUAUACUUUUGGUUAAUUCCACGCAUCAUUUCUAAAUCCUUCAUCUAGUGUCCUAAAAUGAUCAGAUGAUUUUCAAACCUUAUGUAAUGCACUAAAUAAUAAUUAAGUGUCACACGUCGGAGUAGGUUGUCACACCCUACUUUAGGCUCCAUUAACUUUAUUUAGCCUUGAACAUAAGUUGCUUAAAAUAGAUGCUUAAUGUGGCAAGAAGGUGUAGAUUAUACUUUUUAGUUCGCUUGUCAACACUUUAAGAAGAAGCAUUUUUGAAUCUUUAAAUCAAGUUUUAGGUGAUCAAGCUAAAACCGCAUUAAGAACUUCAUAAAGAAUCAAAACUUAACCAAAAGUAAUAACUUGAAAUGAAUUGAAUUCAAAAGAUGAUAAAUUAAGGACAAUAAAUUACACCAUAAUCCAAGUCAAUUUAUUGGAGCAUGAGCCAUCUAUCCAAGGAUGAGAUGCUUUUUGCACCGAAAUGAGAGUAUAAAAUUAUGUUUUUGUAUCUCAUUUGCCAUCUCCUUUCUCCUCUUGAAUUAAUAAAAAACUACAAAAUAAAGUUACCUAAACUACUUUGGAGUAGAAAUUCUCCAAGAAAAUUACAAGAAGAAGAAGAGAAGAAUUUGGUUUAGAGAGAGUGUGAGGAAUGGAAGUCUUUGAGAAUGUGAAUGAAUGAAUGUCUUUGCCUUUGAGGUGCCUCCUAUUUAUAGGAGUUUCUACCAACCGCCAAGCUCCUCUCUUUGACCACCAAGCUGCUGACCGAACCCAUUAGCAUGGGUUUGGUCAUGGCCAAGCAGCUUAGUCACCUGCUUGGGGCUGAGUCACCCAAGCUAGUUGUGAGCUACUAGUCCAGCUAUUGUGAGCUUCCUCUGAAAAGCCUAUGGAUACUACUUGGAGUGAGGUCAUGCAUGAGGUCAUGGUUGCUUGAUGGCUAAGUCAACAUGACCAAGUUGUUGGGUGCACACUACCAAGCUCUUAUGUGGCACCGCUAAGUUAUCUGCUUGAGCAGCUUUGACCGUUCUAAUGGUGAUGUGACUUGGUGCUUGCUGAUCUGGUCAGGUGUGUGGUUCCAAGCUAGGCGGUCCACAUGCUCUGCUAUGUUGUCUGCUAAUAUACAAUAUGCACUUUUCUAACUCGUGUUUGUUGUGUUUCUUUUGUUAUGUAGAAUUGAUCUAGUGAAUACAACAAAUAUGAAUGUUGCUAGUACCAAACAAGUUUCACAAGAAAGUUUGCAUCAAGUAAAUGUGGAAAGUACUUCUAAUCCUACACAUGAGCCUUCUUAAUCUCAUGUUGGACAAGAUGAUAAUACAGAAUCAACAACACAACCACCACCAAAGAAACAUAGAAGUAUAAUGUGGGAGCAUUUUCAAAAGAUUAAAGUGAAUGGAGUUGACAAGGUUGAAUGCAAAUAUUGUAAUAAACAACUAGGCGAAAGUUGAAGGAAUGCAACAAAACACUUGCACAACCAUAUGGAGUUUUGUGUUCAAAAAUAUAUUAUGACGAGAGGUCAUGACAAAGGGAAGUCAUUAAUAAUGCCUAAAGCCUCACAAAGUGAGCAAGAGUUGGGAGUUGGAACUUAUUAUGCGGAAAAUACAAAAAGGGAGCUUGCGAAUGCAAUUCUUAUCAAUAGUGGAUCACGUUGGUUUUAUGAGGUACUCGGCUUCCCUCCAAUCAUUGUUUAAAGUUCCUUCUCAAAAGAAUAUAAAGAAGGAGAUAUUCAAAGUAUAUGAUUUUGAGAGAAAAGUACAAUGCAAAUGCUAGAUAAUCAUGAAGGAAGAGUAGCUAUUACCUCAAAUAUGUGGACUUCAAGGAAUCAAAAGAGGGGGUAUAUGGCGGUCACAACUCACUAUAUUGAUUUCUCUUGGACUCUACAAAGUUGAGUAUUGAGGUAAUUAUAUUUUAUAACUCAAUAUUGUGUUAUAUUACAAAUAUUGUAUUUUAUAUUUUGCUCUUGAACUUUGCCAUUGAAUGUGAGUAUUGUUAUUUUAGGGUUAUUUAUGUUCCUGCCCCUCAUACUAGUGAUAUACGUUCUCAUGCGCUGGUAGAAUGCUUUAUGGAUUGGAACAUUCGUCAACUAUUACUCUAGAUAAUUGUAGUACAAAUGGUGUUAUGAUUCCAAAAAUCAAGGAUAAGUAGCGAUUGGAAAAUUUGUUGAGGAGACUACUAAACAAUUGCAAGUUCUUUACACUAGAAGUUUAAGGAUGUAUUUAAUCGGUUAAGAUAGUGUGACACUUAAUACAUUUGUUUUCGAAGUAAUUCACAAUGGCAAUUUGCAGAGGAUGUUUUUGAGCGAAUACAAUUGUUUAAUUCCAUAACUGAGAUAAUUUCUGGUAUUAAAUAUCCAGCUGCCAACAUAUAUUUUCCUAAGAUUUAUCAUGUUAAGUUAUAAAUAAGAUAAUGGAGGAACUCCUCAAAUGAGUUCAUUAAAAGGAUGGCAAAGAAGAUGAUGGGUAAAUUUGAAAGGUUAUGGAGUCUGAUUCAUGAUAUUAUGGGAGUUGCUAAAGUUUUGGAUCCUAGAUAUAAAAUGACAUUUCUUGAAUUUAAUUUUUAUAAGUUGUAUAACCAUGAGGUAUGUACACAAGUUAGCAAAAUCUGAGAGUUGUGUUAUGAUUUGGUGUUUGAUUAUCAACAAAGUAAAAUAUCUAGUGAAAGAUCUCUAUUGUUAGAUAGAACUGUACUAAUGAUGAAUCUUUGGAUGAAUAUGAUGUUUUUAUUGAGAAGAGAAGAGAAACUAGAAGCUUAAAUGUUAAAUCUGAGUUGGAUCAUUACUUGGAGGAGGAUAUUAUAAAAAGGACACAAGAUUUUCAUAUUUUAAAUUGGUGGAAGACAAAUGGAAUCAUGUAUCCAACACUUCAAGCAAUUGCAAAAGAUUUGUUAGCUAUUCCUAUUUCUAUUGUACCUUCUUAAUCUACCUUCGAUACAAGUGGUCAAAUAUUGGGCCCUCGUCAUAUUCGACUUAAUUGGACUACGUUUGAAGUUUGGUGUGUGCUAAAAGUUGGUUAUGAUCUACUGAGAAUGCUGGUAAAGUUUUAAGAUGUUAAAGUGUUAAUUCAUAUUUAAUAUCUUAUACCAUGUAAUGUAUUUUAUGGUAUCAUUUUUUUUUUUUUGAAUAUUUUUAGGAAAUAUGAAUUCAUGUCUCGCACAAUAAAUGCUACUAUUUUGAAUGAAAUGGAGUCUGACGAUGAAGGUAUUUCAUACUUCAUUUGUUUUAAAUUCUUUAUCUUAUGAGUAUAUUUCAUUUCAGAUUAAAUUUUAUUAUAGCUGAAGUGAUGAACAAUAAUUUGAGUUAUCAUAUUGAAGAUUAAUAGUUGCUACCUAUUACAUCCAGAUAUUGAAGAAGACUUGUUAAUGAAUUUUAAUCCCCUCAGAAAAACCCCCAUUCACUUCUAAUCCCCUUAGAGAAAUCCUCCUCCACUUCUAAUCCCCUCAGAAAAACCCACAUUCACUUCUAAUCCCCUCAGAUAACCCCACAUUCACUUCUCAUUCAAUCAUCACUUCUUAGCUCUCCUUCAUUUCUCAUUCAAUCAUCACUUCUUAGCUCUCCUUCAUUUCUCAUUCAUUCAUAUUCAAUUGAUGACUCACAAUCAGAAUCAAAAUUUUCACUUUCAGCUCGAGGAGUUGGGAUCCAAGCUCCACACUCCCCUCUUCUAAAGCUUUCGUUUUAUAUCAUUAUUAUUCGUUUUUAUUACUUCUUUUCCCGAAUUCUCCAUCUCCCACCACCUUUUUCUUAAUCAUUCUAAUAAACCAAAACCAAUUUUAUGUUUAUAUUUCAUAGAAUUUACUUCCCCCAUGAACCUCAAAUUUUGAAUAGUAAAGCCAUCCAAAAAAGGUAAGGUUUUAAUUGAAACUUGAAAGGGAAUAGCAUAGUGCUGCACUUGAUGAAAGAAGAUCACAAAAAAUACAUUUUUGAGAAAUGAUGGGCAAGGCUUUAAUGGGUAAUAAAAUUUAUUUACUUCACACUCAAAUUUUGUAACUGGCUUAGAAAUUUUGUAAAAACUUCACUUCUUCAAUAAUUGCAAAAGAAUAAAUAUUAUUGAUGAGGAUCCAAAUGAAAAAACAAAGAAUGAGAGUGGAAAUAAUACCUUAUUUGAGAAAAAAAGAGACUAGUUGAGGAGUGAAGAUGCAAGCGUACAUCAAUGAGCAGAUUAUGUAUGCAAGCAUGCCUCACAUAGAUUUUGAUGAAUACAAAGGUUGAUAAAAGAUAGAGUUUGAUAAAGACAAAUAUCGACAACAAAGCUUGUAUAUCAAGGACAAGCUUGAAGGGUUGAACAAAUCAACAAACAACAAAGUCAACAACAAAGUCAAGACUCAAGUUCGCACAAGCUAAAGCAUUCAAGAUGAUUUAGAGGCUUAGUGUUUUUAUAUCUGUAUUAGAUCUUAAGAUUUUUUCUUAGGAAGAGUCCAUUCUAGGAUGAAAUCUAAUGUCAAUCAUAACUAAAAUGAGACUUAUAUGCAUACAUACAUGAUCAUACGAUUCUAUUGUGGUUAAAAGGAGUUUUAAAUCAUAUAUCAUUCAAAGGCAUGCAUCAUACUUUUACAAAUCAUGUAGAAGGUUCAUAUCUUUUUGAGAAACCUUUAAUCGAUUAAGAGAUAUUUUAAUCGAUUAAGCAUUGAAAUCUUGGAAAUCCGUUAAUCGAUUAAGUAUGGGAUUAAUCGAUUAAAGGUUGUUACAAUUUCUGGUUUCUAGUAUUUUAAAGAAUUGUUAAUCGAUUAAAUUUAUUGAUAAUCGAUUAAUUGCAAACAAAAUUAUAUAUUAACCCAUGUUUUUCAUAUUGCUCAAUAACAUACAUGAACAUAUUUUCAUAGAAGUUAGAACAGAUACAUAAAAAACAGAUUUCACAUUGUUCUAAAAAUCAUUGCUCUUUCACUUUCAUAUCGUUAGAGAGAUUUCCAAAGUGUUCUUUUGAAGAAGAGAAAAGGGAGAAUCUUUAGAAAGAUCUCAAAAGAGCUUCAUUGUCAAAUGUUUUGUAAAAAGAAACCUUGCAUCUCACAUUUUCUGUAUUCUGAGUUGUGAGAUUUGUAGAGGGUUCUUAGAUUCAAGAAGAGUGAUUAUUCUGCACAUAUAGGUGCAUCAAUAACUUGAAAUAUUUUUAGGCAAAGCAUAAACAUAUUCUCUUGUUGUGUUUAGUAUCACCAUUGAAAGAGAAUCAGUGUAGGAAAACCUAGAUGUGGUUAGGUAAGUGUCUUCACGAGGGUAAGAGGUCUUAGUUCGAGGGAAACAGAGACUGGGGCUAGAGUUGCAAAAGGUGUGAGUAUCUGAGUAAGCAAGUUGAGUAGUCAAUCAAACCAAAGUGAGAGGCUCAUAGGUUCCAAGAAAGGAGUGUCUUGUUUCUUAAUAUUGGAAUUUUGUUUGUAAAAUAACAUAUAAUUUCCAUAGUGAAAAAAUCUCACAAGAUAAAAAAGGGAGGCUUGGAGGUAGUUUGCAAGUGGACUUGCAAACAAACCAUGGUAAAACUUCUUUUGAUGAAUACAAAGGUUGAUAAAAGAUAGAGUUUGAUAAAGACAAAUAUCGACAACAAAGCUUGUAUAUCAAGGACAAGCUUGAAGGGUUGAACAAAUCAACAAACAACAAAGUCAACAACAAAGUCAAGACUCAAGUUCGCACAAGCUAAAGCAUUCAAGAUGAUUUAGAGGCUUAGUGUUUUUAUAUCUGUAUUAGAUCUUAAGAUUUUUUCUUAGGAAGAGUCCAUUCUAGGAUGAAAUCUAAUGUCAAUCAUAACUAAAAUGAGACUUAUAUGCAUACAUACAUGAUCAUACGAUUCUAUUGUGGUUAAAAGGAGUUUUAAAUCAUAUAUCAUUCAAAGGCAUGCAUCAUACUUUUACAAAUCAUGUAGAAGGUUCAUAUCUUUUUGAGAAACCUUUAAUCGAUUAAGAGAUAUUUUAAUCGAUUAAGCAUUGAAAUCUUGGAAAUCCGUUAAUCGAUUAAGUAUGGGAUUAAUCGAUUAAAGGUUGUUACAAUUUCUGGUUUCUAGUAUUUUAAAGAAUUGUUAAUCGAUUAAAUUUAUUGAUAAUCGAUUAAUUGCAAACAAAAUUAUAUAUUAACCCAUGUUUUUCAUAUUGCUCAAUAACAUACAUGAACAUAUUUUCAUAGAAGUUAGAACAGAUACAUAAAAAACAGAUUUCACAUUGUUCUAAAAAUCAUUGCUCUUUCACUUUCAUAUCGUUAGAGAGAUUUCCAAAGUGUUCUUUUGAAGAAGAGAAAAGGGAGAAUCUUUAGAAAGAUCUCAAAAGAGCUUCAUUGUCAAAUGUUUUGUAAAAAGAAACCUUGCAUCUCACAUUUUCUGUAUUCUGAGUUGUGAGAUUUGUAGAGGGUUCUUAGAUUCAAGAAGAGUGAUUAUUCUGCACAUAUAGGUGCAUCAAUAACUUGAAAUAUUUUUAGGCAAAGCAUAAACAUAUUCUCUUGUUGUGUUUAGUAUCACCAUUGAAAGAGAAUCAGUGUAGGAAAACCUAGAUGUGGUUAGGUAAGUGUCUUCACGAGGGUAAGAGGUCUUAGUUCGAGGGAAACAGAGACUGGGGCUAGAGUUGCAAAAGGUGUGAGUAUCUGAGUAAGCAAGUUGAGUAGUCAAUCAAACCAAAGUGAGAGGCUCAUAGGUUCCAAGAAAGGAGUGUCUUGUUUCUUAAUAUUGGAAUUUUGUUUGUAAAAUAACAUAUAAUUUCCAUAGUGAAAAAAUCUCACAAGAUAAAAAAGGGAGGCUUGGAGGUAGUUUGCAAGUGGACUUGCAAACAAACCAUGGUAAAACUUCUGUCUCAUUCUUCUCAACCCUUAACUCUUUACAUUUCCGUAUUACAUGAUUUACUUCACUUGAACAUGCAUACCAUUAUGAGUUAUUUGCAUAUUUUGUUUUGUGCAUUUACUGUUCUUUAUCAUCUAAAAGAAGUGCAUAUAAGUUUAGUUGAAUCUUGGUAAUUUUGGAGAUAAAAGAAAAUUGUUUUCAUAGGACAAGAACUGAAUUAUCAAUUAGGUUGUUUAGAUAAUCGAUUAUCUGUAGGACGAGUUAAUCGUUUAUAACUGGUGUUAAUUGAUUAAACAGUGAGUGAAUUUGUAUAAUUUGUUUUCUUAACGAGCAACAAUAAUUGUGUACCAUAUCACCUAUUCACUACCCUCUAGGUGAGUUACAAAGCCCUGUGGGACCCAAUAAGGAGAUAGAAGAAGAAAUGUCACUAUGUAAGAAUAUGAUAGAAUGAAUGAACAAGAUUCAUGAAAACCAUGUUUCUGGUGGGAGAAGAAAAUAACUGUUGAAAUGUUCAGAAAAGCAAAAGAUAAAGAAUGAAAACUUAAAAUAUUAAAAUGAGGGACAUGUGUUAGUAUCUAAUUGGUUUAAGUAGAUGAGUUAUCUCCUCAUACUAUGAGAUAUUUUAUUCCCAUAACUAUAAUGCAUGACAAUAAUUAGAAUGAAUAUAAGAUACUCUUUACUAUUUGUUCCUUACUAUUAAGAGUGGAUGAUCGGAAGUUGAUGAUGGAUGGUCAGAAGCUGAAGAUGGAUGGUCGGUAGAAUGUAGGAGAUCAGGUAACUUGGUCGGAUUGUCAUCUAGACCCGUAGAGGGAGGUACCCAAAAAGGUUCUCCGAUGCUCAAGUCAGUAGAGUAUUUUAGAGAGAUAAGGGAGUAAAUAAGAGAGAAGUUAGAGCAAUAAGUGUAGAAAUAAAUGAGAGAAUGAGAAUUAAUUAUAAUCUAUGUUUGGUCUCUUCUAUUUAUAGAGCUUAAGAAGUGUUGAAAUGGCAUCUGGUCAUUGGCUAGCUUUAAAUGGGUACCAGGAACAUACUCUGGUUGUCCUUGCUUGACCUGCGGAUCUCCCGUUGUCGAUAUGUCAGGGUCAGGUAGAAUGUUCAAGCGGAGUGACAGGUGGUUUGUUUCCUGACAUUGAUGGCGAGUCAGUGGCGCAUUAAAUGAUAUGUCAAUAGUGCAUUAAAUAGUAUGCAUGAGGUACAUUAAAUAGCAUGUUAAAGGUCUUAAUAUCGUGUCAGGAGCAUUUAUUGCAUCUUCCAUUGGUGGACCCAUCUGGGCGAACGAAGGGGACAUGUAGAGUACUCCAUGGGAUACUCGGGAAGAAGGGGGUAGCCCGGGGAUACCGGACUCACAACGCGGGUAUGAUGGGACUGGAAUUGUUGCCUCCAGUCUACUAGGCCGAUCAGAGACGACCGGGCUAGUAGACUCUAUGGGGUUAGUAGUGUGGGUAUAACCGGGAUGGAACAGUUGCCUCCAGUCUACUAGGCCGGUCAGAUACGACCGCGCUAGUAGAUUCUAUGGGGUUGGCAGCGUGGGUAUAACCGGGCUGGAAUAGUUGCCACCAGUCUACUAGGCCGGUUAGAGACGACCAUCUAGUAGAGUCUAUGGGGUUGGCAACGCGGGUAUAACGGGACUGAUAGACUUGGAUCAUAAUGUUCUAAUUUGGCGCGAUGGGAUAGAGGUACGACUUCUAGGUAGGUAUAGGGGUAGGUCGUGAUGGAUUGGGGUUUUUUAUUAGACACGUGCAGGGAUGUUUGGCGUUUCGUCUGAAACUGGAACGAUAGAUCGACGCGUCUGUUCGUUUCAGUUAUGUUGCCUAGGUUUCUAUGUCACUAUUAGAUUGUCCUCGAGUGAUUUUGAACAGGUGGAUGGCCCUUGGGGAGGUCUGGGCUUUGGUCCCUCUCUAUAAAUAGGGGUUCCCUUCUUCAUUCUUCUUCACUUUGCCUUCUAAGAAAUUGUCUCCUGCCGAGCAUACGCAUUGUUUGAAUUUGACCUUCGAUUUUCUUCAAGAAUCUUUUACUUCCAUUAACUCAGUAACUUUUUUCUCUCUUUUGCUUUUUUUAAUAACAUUCUAAGCAGUUAUGGCAUCGUUAGGCGGGGAUUCAAUCCCUGAUGAGGUGGAGGUCUUAUCUGGGCCUCCACCUAGUUUUACUAACAUAACUCGUCGCUGUCGCCAACGAGCCCAGUGCGUUGCCGCCCUGGUUAGUAGUCAUUCCUCUUGGUAGUGAUGUAACUAGCUAUCCCUGUCGGCCUUGCUGCGCGAUCUAAGGGAGAAAAAGGCCGAGCAUGGGGCCGCCUUGAUUGACCGGGCGACUUUCUCAGAGAAGUGUUGUCCGAUCUUGGAUAAUAUGUCCAGCUCAGAUUCUGAAACUACUUCUGAUGACAAGUCUACUAUGGGGCAAAAUUUUGCUGAUCGGGCAGAUCAGUUUAUGAUCCUGGAGCACAUGACGGGUACUGAGUGCUGCUGUUAGUGGGUCGAUCAAGAGGUUUGGGGAACCCCAUCUUAUUUCCCAUUAGAUGUACGUCCAGUGAUAGAGGUGCUGACACGACCGAAUAAUGAUAUCCAGUGGUACGCUCCCAAUACUCAAGAGCGAGUUUGUCGGGACAUCAUAUUUAAGACAUAAAAUAGGUGAAGUUUUUACAUGUACGAGCAAGUCUGACGCUAGAUAGGGGUGAAAAUCCCCUUUGAGGGGUGGUACACUGAAGUGUUGCAGCACCUUCAGGUGGCCCCCUCUCAGUUGCACCCCAACUCAUGGGCUUUAUUCGGGCAUUUAAACUUUUCUCUGAGGUCAUGGAGGAGCCUUGCAGGCUCUAGUUAUUCUUUUGGAUGUUCCAGGUGACACAUAGCUCCAAUAAAGAUGAGGCUUAGGUUGGGCGUCGUGAGUGGACGUCUCUUUAGUCCCAGAACAAGCGGGCUCUAUUUCUUCCCUUUGAGGGUUCUGUGAAGAAAUUGAAGGGCGGCUAUUUCGUGUCGAGGCUCGGAGGACCUGUCAUACCUGGGAGUAUGGUCAUGGCAACGUCCCUCUUUUUCCCUUUUCUUGGAAUGGGGGGAUUCAUCAGGUGCCGACCAACUCCUUUGGUUUCUCCUAUGAUCAGUUGGAUGAUUAGGAGAGGAGGGUGGCAGAUGAGAUGUUAGCCUGGCUUGAAGAGGGUCGUUCAAUCCUUUUCUACAAACUGGUUUAGCGCGACCAAGUCUUCGAGGAGGCAGUUAGUGUGUGUCCGACUAUCUAUAUCUUGUUUGCAUUUGUUGGCAUUUAUUUGACUUUUUUCGUUUGUUUCUUUCAGAAGUGGCUUUGGGGGGUCAGGCAGACUGAAGCAGGCUUCUAAAGUGGGCAACUGCUAAGAGGAAGGACGCUGAAAGCAGCAAGUGUCUCAGGCUGAGUCUACCUACCCGGGUUGAGGGUCCCCCUUCUACUCCUCGAAGGGAAACUUCCCAGGCAAGCGGUUCGGAUGGGGCCACUAUGGACUAGCCAACUCCCAUCACAAUGGUGCCUCCUAAAUCUGCCUUUGGUCAAUCGGUUGACCUUACUAAGUAGCCUGAUAGCCCUCAUGAAGCAGCCUCGGAGGAGGGCACACAGUCGGGCAAGUCUUAUGGCAAGGGUAAGUUCAGCCCCCUCCUCCUUAAGACUACUUACAACAUUCCCGGGAUCGUUGAAGAGGGUUUGGUCAACCUGUGGGUGAAGGAUGUUAUGGAUGGGGUACCCCUAGUGGACCUACUGAGGAGGACCUGGGAGGCUGGGGUUAUGCUGGCUUUAGUCGCCAAAUACCUUGAAGGUGAGGGAGUGCUCGCCACCCAGGUCGGGGAAAAUGCUUUGGCCAACCUUCAAAAGCUUCAUUCGGGUGAGCUUCAUGAGUUGAAAGAGAAGCAUGCUGAAGUUGUGCAGAACUUGGAGGCUCAUAACAUUUCGGUUGCUGAGCAACUCUUUACGGUGUCCCUCCUAUUGAAUGAUGCCCCAGAAGCGGAAAUGCUGGCUAAGGUAGACGUGGGUGCCGCUAAAUGGGAGGCGCAAGCUCUGGCUGAGAACGCCCGGGUGCAUAAGGAGCUUGAUGGCCUGAAGGCUGCCUACCUGAAGCUGGAGGAUGAUGUUGAUGGGGCGACUAAUGCUGGCUGGGAUAAUGCCUUUGCCCAGGUCGGCUUAGUUUAUCGUGAUGCUGACUAGUCUUGGACUAGGAUAGAUGCUCGGGUUACCCUAGAGGGCGAGCUCGGUGUUGAUAAGAUGAAGGACUCGUUACCCUUCUAGUUCUGACGAGAGGUGGUCGGCGGAAUUAGGUUUAGUUGUUUUCAUUUUGCUUCUUCACUUGUAAUUUCUCAUUUUCAAUGAAGACCUUUGUUAUUUUAUCUACCAUGUUAUUUCGUUUCUGCACUAGUAAUGUCUUGUUGACCAGAGUAAAUAAAUCGACUAAUCAACCAUUUGGAUAACUAAUCGGUCGGAUAAAAUUAAAUCGACUACCCAACCAUUCGGAUAGCUAAUCAGCCGGAUAAUCAAAUCAACUACCCAACCAUUCGGAUAAAUAAUAUGCCGGAUAAUCAGGAAGAUCUGGCUUACACUCUAAUCGGUGUUGAAGUGAGGGUUGACCGAAUAUCAUUAUUAAGAUAUGGGACUUGAAUGAGAAUGAUAUGUUAACCGAUGAACUGAUAUUAAACUUGAAUGAGAAUGUGGAAUACCCAUUAAGUAACGAUUUCUCGGUUAAAAUGUUGUUAAAUGUGAAUGAGAGUGACAUACCCAUUAAGAAACAGUUGUUUGGUUUAAUAUUUUGCUGAACUUGAAUGAGAAUAACCAGUGAACUGAUAUUAAACUUGAAUGAGAAUGUGGAAUACCCAUUGAGUAACAGUUGCUCGUUUUAAUAUUUUGUUGAACUUGAAUGAGAAUAACCGAUGAACUGAUAUUAAACUUGAAUGAGAAUAUGGAAUACUCAUUAAGUAAUAUUUGAUCGGCUUAAUAUUUUGUUGAACUUGAAUGAGAAUGAAAUACCCAUUAACUAUUGAAAUUGUCGUCAAAGGGGGACUAGCCCAUGCCUCGUAGAGUGAAUAGCUGCUAGAGGGGGACUGGCCCAUGCCUCUAGGGUUACAUUAUUGGCGACCAAGAGGGCUUGGUCCUGGCUUGGGUUUGUAGAGUGAAUUGCCACCAGAGGGGGACUAGCCCACACCUCUGGGGUUAUAUUGUUGGCGACCAAGAGGACUUGCUCCUGCCAUUGGUUUGUAUGGAGAAUCGCCAACAAGGGGGACUGGCCCAUGCCUCUGGGGUGAUAUUGUUGGCGACCAAGAGGACUUGCUCCUGCCUUGGGUUUGUAUGGUGAAUCGCCGCCAGAGGGGGACUGGCCCACACCUCUAGGGUUAUGUUGUUGGCGACCAAGUGGACUUGGUCCUGCCUUGGGUUUGUAUAGUGAAUCGCCGCCAGAGGUGGACUGACCUAUGCCUCUGGGGUUAUAUUGUUGGCGACCAAGAGGACUUGUUAAGACAUUGGAAUAACACCUUGUUAAAGGCCUGACACGAAUUUACGUUUCCAAGCGAAAAAUUGUCGUAGGUUUGUCGCAUUCCAAGUAUGGGGAUUUCUUUCCCUGGUUACUUGGUAUGGCCCUUCCCAAUUGGGUGCUAGUUUGCCUGUUUUUUUCCGAUGUCAGCCAUCCUGAGUAAUAAGCUGCCUAUUUUAAAGUCUCAUGGUACCACCGGUCUAUUGUAUUUUUCGGUGGCUCUUCUUUUGACGAUGGUCUCUCUGAUUCUGGCUCGGUCUCUCUUCUAUUCGAUCCAAUCUAAGUUGUGCCUCAAGAUGGUCGAGUUGGUCAUUUCAUCAAAGUGUACUAUCCGCCAAGUGGGUUCGCCGAUCUCCACUGAGGUCAUAGGCUCGGACCCAUAAGUAAGGUUGAAAGUCGAUUCCCCGGUGGUGGAGUCAAGAGUUGUAUGGUAAGCCCAUAGGACAUGAUGUAACUGUUUCGGCCAUAAUCCCUUGGCUUCUUGUAAUCUUCUUUUUAUCCCACGAAGGAGGACUUUGUUAGCCGCUUCCACCUGACCAUUUGUUAGCCGCUUCCAUCCGGAUGUUGACCGCCAUGAUGUUGGAUAUGGGUUCAGCUUAAAUGCACUUAGUGAAGUAGUCGAUCGCCACUAUCAGAAAUUGAAGUUGUCCGGUUGCUGGUGGAAAUGGUCCCAUAAUGUCCAUACCCCAUCUGGGGUCAUUGUUGUAGUUAGCUCUUCAGGACGGGCCUUGUGGACUUCUUGGUAAACUCAGUGGCAUCUUUGUCCAUGGCCGGCCAAUAAUAUUCGGCUCGGAGUAUCUUCUUGGUAAGUGAUGUUGCGCCGAGGUUAUGACCACAACUCCCUUCUUGGAUUUCUUGGAGGACAUAUCGAGCCUUAUCGGGGUCGAGACUUUUAAGCAUAGGAGUAGAAAAUCCUCGGCGAUAUAACAACCUUUUAUUAUGGUGAACCACGAACUAUACCUGAAGAAUCUUUGUCCAUCCUUCUGAUCCGCUGGGAAAUCGUUGUUGGAUAAGUACCUGAUAUUGGGUCGGUCCAGUCGUCUGGGAUAUGUGUUUGCUCGACGGCUAUGACACUUGGCUGCAGAAUUGUCCCUUGAAUCACUAAUUUGUUGUUACCCGGGUUCUUCGUGCUUGCUAGUUUGGAGAAAAUGUCAGCCCGGAUAUUCUGCUCCCUUUGGACAUGCUGGAUGGAAGCUAUUUCGAGCUUGGCCAUUAAUUCCUUAACCUUGGCGAGGUAUUUCCCGAGUAACACAUCUUUUGUCUGAUAGGCCCCCGUAAUCUGAGAGACUACAAGUUGGAAAUCAUUGCAUAUGGAGACCUUUCUGCCCUGAUUUAUCUGGCCAACUGUAACCCGACAAUGCAUGCUUCAUAUUCUGUUUAUGUCGGAAAUGUGAAUGUUAGUGAGUGCUCAAUGGUCAUCCCCUGGCUGUUUUCUAAUAGGACCCCUACUCCGCUGCCCCGUGGUUUGGAUGAUUCGUCAACAUAGAUAGUCCAUAUUUACUCAGAAUUACCCAAUUGUGUGAUCAAUUCGGCAACGAAAUCAGACAGGACUUGGAUUUUGAUAGUCGUUAUGGGUUCGUACCGUAUAUCAAAUUGCGACAAUUCAAUAGAUUAGGAAAUCAUCUGCCCGACUAGCUCAGGCUUGUAUAAAAUCUGGCAGAUAAGUUGAUUGGUUCUGACCAUCAUGGGGUGGAAUUGAAAAUAUUGUUGUAGCUAUCGUUUUGCCAUCAAGAGGGCGUAGGCGACCUUUUCCAACUUCUGAUACCUGAGCUUUAGGCCUUGUAAUGCCUUGCUGGUGAAGUAUACUGGGUGCUGACCAUCUUCACUCUCUCUAAUUAGAGUGGUUGCUACGGCCCCGUCUGUUACAGCUAAGUAGACAUACAAUGUCUCAACGGGUGUAGGCUUAGAAAGCAUGGGAGGAGGAGUUAGGUAUUGUUUGAAAGUUUGGAAAGCUGCUUCACAAUCUUCCGACCAAGUAAAAGUGUUGCUCAUUUUUAGGAGCUGGAAUAAGGGGAGGGAAUUUUUGGCAGAUGUAGGAAGAAAUCUGGCCAAGGCCGCCAACCGUCCAUUGAGAUGUUGGACUUCCUUCACUAAUCUUGGGUUGCGCAUGUCUAUAACUUCUUGGCACUUUGAUGGGGUGGCUUCAAUACCCCGACUUGUUAACAUAAAUCCCAAGAAAUUGUCGGCUUCGACUCCGAAUGUACACUUUUCUGGGUUGAGGUGCAUAUUAAAAUUGCACAAUCGACCGAAGACGACAUUUAGGAUAGUGACAUGAUCUUUUGUUGGUAAACUCUUGGCGAUCAUGUCGUCCAUAUAGACCUCCAUGUUUCUUCCAAUAUGAUCUCCAAAAAUGGUGUUCAUCAUUCUCUAGUAUGUGGCCCUCGCAUUCUUCAGACUGAAUGGCAUGACUGUGUAACAGUAAGCCGCCUUGGGUGUAAUGAAGGCGGUCUUGUCUUGAUAUGGGGGGUACAUGGGGAUCUUAUUAUAUCCCGUAUAAGCAUCCAUAAAUGACAGAAAUUGGUACCCAUAGAGAUUGCCUACAAGAUGAUCAAUGUUUGGGAGGGGGUAUGGAUCUUUUGAUCACACUUUAUUCAGGUCUGUAUAAUCCACACACAUUCACCACUUUCCAUAUGGUUUUCUGACUAGCACGACGUUGGACAACCAUGUGGUGUAAGCUAUUUCUCGGAUAGAGCCGGCCUCUAGUGGUUUUGAGAUCUUUUGCUUAACCUCAGAUAUUCUUUCAGCGCCCAUCUUUCUUUUUUCUGGACCACUUGUAACACCACGAAUUUUACGAUUUUGAAUUAUAAGAUUUUAUUAAUAUUUUUAUUAAUUAUAUUAUCGAAAAUGAAUUUCUGGGAAUUUUCGGUAAAGAAUUAGACGAAACUCUAGUUGAGUUUUAGUCUUGUAAUUCUAUUUCCAAUUUGGUGGUAAAAAAUUUCAUAAUUUUCGGAGACAGUCGGUUUCGGACCGCUGUCGAUGUCGAAUCUCACCCGGUACGGCUCAAAAAGUAGUUUUUGAGUUCUGUAACUCAGAAUCGAAUUCCGAUCGCGCGGUUGGUUUCGUAAUCACAUUUCGAGUCGAGAUAGACCCUGAGUUGGUCCAUAACUAUUUUCUAAAAUAUUUUCACUCGGAAUGCAGAAAUUCGAAGUUCCAACAGUAAAGUAAAAUCGGGCGAUCAUUUUUGGCUACUCAAAUAUUGACCGACAAUACUCGAGCAUGGUUUUAAUCGCGCACGUUUUUCCGAAGUCGUCGCGUCACAUGAGUCACUUCACAAAAUCUACCUACUAAAUCUUAUAGAUUUCACUCAUUAAUGCUUUGAUUUACUAGCACCAAAUCCCCUAAAUCACUCACUUAACCCAUGAUUCACUCACCCUCUUGGAUUUGCUAGAUUGCCUUGGGAAAUGGGUUUAGAAAUCAGAUUUCUCCCACCCCACAACUCUACAAAUACCCAUGUAUCCUCAUGCACUAACACUUUGCAAAAAUUUGGCAAUUUGAAGAUUUGAGAGUAAGUUACUCUCAUCAUCUUUUCUUCUUCAUUUUCUUCUUCUUGCAAUCUUCAAUCUCUUCACAUUUAACCAAUGGAUGUUGAUGAUAUUGAAGUACGUUGUUCAUGAGUAUGUCAAGAACAUAUUCAACCGUUGAAAUUUUCUAAAACANNNNNNNNNNNNNNNNNNNNNNNNNNNNNNNNNNNNNNNNNNNNNNNNNNNNNNNNNNNNNNNNNNNNNNNNNNNNNNNNNNNNNNNNNNNNNNNNNNNNGUUUUAUUAUGGUAGUUACGAAGAUUUCCGGCAUUUGAACCUUGCACCCCAACCGAACCAUAGUGAUUUCGUAUAGCACGCUUCAUUAAGGUGAGAGAGAACACAUCGUGACAUAGUGGUGUCCGAAUAUGACACCCGGAUCCUCUAAACCAUCUCAAAGGAUUUGGGGUUAACUUGGGUUUUAAGAUAUGUUUUAAUGCUUUUGAAUAUAUAUGAUUGUUGAUGAAAUGUGUUGAACGUUGUUGGGAACUUUUCUGUGUGCAGGUGUUUGAAAAACCAUGUUUAAAUGUGUUUCGGUUGGCGAAAAGGGCAAAAUUGGUAUUUUGUCCAAGUCCCUAUCGCUUGGGCAAGAAACUCUCGCCUGGGCGAGCACAGUCUCGCUUGGGCGAGGGGAAGUUUUGGUUCUGGGAUUCCCUCGCCUGGGUGACAGAAUCUAAGUCCCUCUCGCUUGGGCGAGGGACUUGGCGAGGGGAAGUUUUGGUUAUGGAAUUCCCUCGCCUGGGCGACAGAAUCUCGCUUGGGCUAGAAUGCCCGAGAUUUUAAUGAGCCCUUGGAACUCUCUCGCUUAGGCGAUAGUACCUUCGCCUGAGCGAGGAAGACUUCAGUUUAUUUGAGAUUUAAAGAUGAAUUGUCGCUUGGGCGACUAGUCCCUGCUUUGGUGAGGGACAGUGUGGAAAGAUUGAAAUAAGAUGAUGUUGUGAACAAUGCGAUGAACCCGGGUAGGGUGUGUUGUGAUAUAAAAGUUGUGGAAUGAGAUCGUGGCUCAGAUGAGAAACGUGACUCCACAAAAGUGUGAAAGCAUUGUUUACGUUUAUGCAUUGUUAGGCAAGUACCCGACUUGAGGUCGUGAACUAGGGGGGUACCCUAGUAAGGAUACAUGAUAUCAUGAAACAACGACCGACCGACCGUAAGAGACAUGGUCAUUUGAUCGUCCAGGAUUAUUCGGUGAUGGGUUGUAGUGAAUGAGAUGUUACCUUGAGCAUGUACAGUUGACGUACUAUCGGGUCCCACGAGAAGCAUUCCUUGUCGAGAGAUGGCUUAAGGAUGGGCCGAUCAUGUGUUUGAUUAAUACAUUUGCAUUUGGCAUUGCAUUGUGACCAUGAAGUAGUGGAGAGGAAAUAUACGGGAUGACUUAGAGCACCGUGAUGUAAGUAGGGGCGCCACUGAUUGGACGGUGAUUCACCAACAAUGUCUUGAGGGCAGGGACGGCACUGAUUGGACGGUGAUUUGCCAACAAUGUCUUGAGGGAGAGUCUGGGAGAGACGAGUCCCUUGUAUUCCUGAGGAGGUACCCUGUUGGAUCGGACAGUUCUCACAGGCCAAACUAGGCAAUCUCUGACAACCCCUUGAUUGCAUUCAAGAUCGAUGAGAGGGAUGCCUAGAAAGCAUUUGUACGACCUAGGUCCGGGUAGGACUGUUCCUGAGGGAACCGAUCGAUCUAUUUUUAAUUUCUUGCGAGGAUAUGUUAUUUCGGGUGCGUACAAAGAGCCUUGGUAUGGGACAUGUACUCUCGGUUAUUUCCAAUUAGGAUGUUGGAUGGAUAUUGGUGUAAGGUGGAUAAUCAUGACUUAUCAUGCAUACAUUAUGAUUGUGGAAGUGAAUUCCCACAUGUGAGUUACAAGCAUUGUGUAUUCCUACAUUUAUGCAUGUGAUAUGGUUAUGAGUAGAAUGUUGAUUAUAUUACUUGAUAUAUUGGUAUUGGUGGAAUAAAUGGUAAUUCAUGUAUUUCUUCAUGAUGUAAAUGAUAAAUGAUGAAUUAUAUGUUAAAGUAUAUAUUAUGUCCGAGUGUGAUAUUCUGAGUAAGUCCACGCCGUCAAUGAAUUUAUGUUCAUUAGAUAUUCUGAGUAAGUCCAUGCCGAGUGGCCAGAUUGUUUGGAUGUUCUGUCAUCCAGUAGAGCCAAGAGGAGCAGUGGUCUUGGAGGAGGUCCCUACAAGAAGGCUCCUGUUUUGAGAAUGUCAUCCCCUCCGAAUUAUGCCGAUGGGUUAUGGCAUAAUGAAGUGGAGGAAGAGGAGGAAGAGGAGGAAGAGGAGGAGGAGGACGAGGUCAUUGAGCUCGUCAACGUAGAGUGCUCGGUGGAGGUGAUCGACCUCGUGUCUGACUCGGAAGAGGAGGAGGACGCGAGUGGGGGGUCUAACAUUCCUGGAAUCUUUUGAGUCAGCUUGUGCGCCAGUCGAUGUCCCCUUUUUGUUUUUGGUGGGGGGCUGUGUUUCUUUUGAUUUUGUAUAUGUUAGUUGCGAUGUAGUUUCCGCCUUUGCUGACCUAGUCUGUAUGAAUUGACUAUGACUUAACCGAUUAUAUACAUCGUAUUAUUCAGGAAAUUGUGAAUCAGGUUAAGUUAUCAUUCGAUAACGAUAAGUUGAUUUUCCGCAUUCGAGUUACUUAAAGUGAUGUCCCGGAAAAGGAAUGUUUGAAAAAGAGGCAAUUUUUAUAUAAUUCAUUUCAAAAAAAAAUAUUUACCCAUUUUUCCGCAAUGUUUUUUAGAAGUAUUUUUCGAGACGUUACACCACUGGCCUUGCCUCUGGAUUUGUUGUGAGACGAUGGCAGGCCACUAAGGGGUCAAUGUUAGGCAUAUCCGCGACGGACUAGGCAAAAAGAUCCUUGUUGGUUUUUAAGCACUUGAUCAAUUUGUUCCUUUGAGCUUCGCCGAGAGCACAGCUGACAUAUACCAAAUUUUCCUUUAAGGGGUCGAGUUGUAAGGAGGUUUUUUCUCCUUCUGGUUGAGGCCGUAGGUCUUCUAGUGCUUGUAGUACAUACAACAUUUUGUUCCAAAGUUCCUUAGGGUGAAUCCAUUGAAUGGCUUUUCCAAUUGACCAAUGGUAUGGUUUUUAUUACAAUAUUCUUUAAUUUGUGUAGGGAUAUUGAGUCUAAUCCGAGUACUCAUGGUGUUUGAAUCAAGUAACCAUUCAUACAUAAAGCAGUUGCACACAACAGCAGGUUUUGUGGCUACCUUUUUCAUGUGACCUUUGAAUGACAACAGAGUUUCUGUAAAUAUGAUUGGCCUCAUGUUGACUCUACUUUAUUGAAUUUGAAAAACACAUUGAUUUCUCUUUGGUCCACAAUAUCAUAGAAGAACGAGAAAAGGACCAUGUCAUAUAUGGCUAAUGUAUAUUUAGAUUUAAAGAGUUCCCAAUUUUCUUAUUCAAGCAUUUUAUCAAGUUGUUUUUUCAAGAAGAUAGUCUUCAACCCAUAGUCCUCCUCUUGCUUAAUCGUAUAAGAUAACCCUAGGAAUGCCCCAAUUAGUUAUAUAAAAUCACCACUGACAUCCUCAUUCUCGGUGAACUAACACAACUUGAGUGUCUUUGGUACCCUAAUGUCAAGGAGGAUCUCAAAUUAUUAAUGGUAGGGGGCGCAUAUAGAUUUGGGAAUUCGAAGGUUCUAGUGGUUAUGAUCCAAAAUUGUAUCAUUUUCCUCAUGGCUUUUAAAGCAUCUGGAAAAAAGUCACCAACAAAAUCAUCAAAAAUAAAAUAAUAUUGAAGACUUGAUCUAUGGAAAGAAAACACAUAGGUAGAUAAGAUUUUUUUAUUGAUUUCUAGAGUAAGUCAUAUUCCUUACUAAGUAUAUUACUACUCUAUAUCAUAAAUUAUCUUAGGAAUAAUUUUCAAAAAGUUUUUCACUAACUUAAACGAGGAUGAAAAUGAGUUUCAAAGGUUUAAAAAUAAACUUUUAGAAAACUAAGUAACUAAUAAGUACCAAGAUGUACUUAAUUUUACACCACUUUUCAUGGCCCUUAUCUUAGUGAUAUUGAUUAUUCAUAAGGAUAAACCCAACAUAUAACUUAAUUCUUCAAUAAAAUAUAUAUUUUAGUUAACACCACCUGGUGUCCAUAGUCACUUCAUUUUCAUGGAGUCAAGUACUUAUUUUCAUUUGAAGAGGAGGACAAAGCCAAGUCAUAAGCUAGAAAACAACAAAAUCCAAGUUGGAAGAAUUGUGCACCAACCCGCUAGGCGUGGCAUGCUAUACGCUAGGCCCGUAUGCAUGAGCCAAGGUUGCUUCAGCUUGAAGGAAUAACUUACCCAUUCAUGAAGAAAGCAUGCUAGGCAGUUCGAAAUAGGUGCUAGGUGUGACUCACAACCCAAGGAAGGCCAACCAAGCAUGAUGUGAUCCAUGAGAAAAGCAAGCCAAACUUAAGUAGUAGGUGUCACCAUGAAUACGUGUAGACAGGUAGGCUAGGCAUGUGAGCAGCUUGCCUAGCUCACAACAGGAUGAGCCACAACAGGAGCAGGGUAGCCGCAUGAUGGUCAGACCUGGCCAGCUGAUUGGCCAGACGAGCCAAGCAGCGUAACUUGGAAAAACAGUUGACGCCUGCGAGAGGGCUUAGAGAUUCAGAAAAUAUCUGUAUAAAGGACCCUUUCCGGAUCUUCCUAUGCAUUCUAAUUUCAUCCAAUACUUCCUCAUACACUCUUAUUUUAAAAUUAGCUUUGGUAUUUUACUUCUUCCUUAUGAAAUUCGGAGGGAAUAGGAGUUGGAAAAGGUGUAAUCUAGGAGCUUCUUCUUGGAUCAACAAUUGGAGUCAAAGCAUCCUUCAUGGAAGGCUAAUCAACUUACGACUUUGGACUAUGGUAUAACAUUUCUUAUUCCUUGUAUUCAAUUUGAUUUUACUAUGAAAGUUAUGUAUUUAUAUUCUAUUAUUUCAUUCCAUCUACUCUUAAUGCUUAUUUUAGAUUGAUCAUCUAAAAUAUGUUUUCAAAGAUCCAAAUUCUUUUGUUGCGUGAAAUAACAAAUACUCUCAUGCCACAAUGGUGUACUAGAAUAUUUGCCAUUUCCAAGGAUCUAUUUUAAGCAACUUGUUUUCAAGGGUGCCAAAUAUCUGGGAAUCUGAAAUAAGUGGUGGCAGUCUUAUUUCCUAUGAAGGAUACUUGAUGAGGGUUAAUAUAUUAAACAAGGUUUGAAAAUCAACAAGCCUAACUUGAGAGGGAGGGUGAGUUAAGACAAGAAUAUGGUGGAUUGAAUCACAACAAAAUAGCUUGUAUAAACUAAAAUCAAGUUGAUACUUAUAUGUUAAGAAAAUUUAGAUUCAUAUGUCCAAACCAAUUAUUCUUCUCUUGAAUUUGUAAAUAUGUAGUUCUUUACUUUUCAUGCAUAUUUUUGCACAACAAAAACGAAUCAAUCAACCAAACUAUAUGCUUCAUUGUUUAUGAUUUAAAGAACUAAAUUAUACUUUAAUAAUAAUCUAUGUGGUUUGACAUAACCCUAUAUUAUACUACAUUGAAAUCUUAAAAGAGAUUUAAGAAUUAAUAUAGUAAAGGAAAUUAUAAAUUUUGUUUGUUGAAAACCAAAGAAUAUACUCCAAGAGGCUUACUUCCAAACCUGUCAACAAAAUGGUGUAGUUGCCGGGGAUUUUUUUUAAGUAAACAUAGUUAUGUUUGGUAAUUAUAAACAAGUAUAAAUUUUGUAAACUUUAUAAAUCAUUUUCGGGUUAUGUACAUAUAUAUUAACAUGUUCAUAUUUAAUAUUUUUCAUACUUAUAAAUGAAUUUUUGCCACCUAACUUGAUCGUUGGAAUAGUUUGUCUUUGUAUGCGCCAUAGGAAUUCUUCUUCACCAUUACUUAUUGAUCCUGAUAUAGAAAGGAAAUUGAAGAGGAAGAAAACAAAAGCUAAGAUCAAGCUAUACAAGCAAUUCAACCCAACCAAAGGGAUGACACAAACUAACAACUCACAAAAUUCAAGGGCCAAAGCCAACUCCCUAGAAAUAACUAGAGGCUUCAUCAAUUUAACUCCAUGGAAUAUAAUCAGAAUAGGGAGGCUAGCAAGGACACAAAAGCCUCUAGAAGUGAAAACCAGAUUAGUACAGUUAAUGUAUUCUAACCCUUUUUUGUAAGGCUGGACUAUGAAGAUCCAUACUACCACUUAACUAAAUUGUUUCUUGAUCUCCAUCCUCAUGUCUGAGUUGACAGGAAUCAAGUGGAGGAGAAACUCAUGUAGCGAUACUUUCAUCAUGGAAAGUUUAUGGAUAUGAAAACCAAUAUUUCAACCUUCACCCAAGGAGUGGGAGAAAAUUUAUGUGAAGCAUGGGAUAGAUUUAAAUCUAUGCUCAGGAAAUGCACCAAUCAUGGAUUUGACGCUCAAACACAAAUCCAUAUAUUUGUGAAUGGUCUUCAACAACAACACAAAUGGAUCUCGAAUACAAUAGUUGGGGGGACAUUUAUUAUCAAAGCCGCCUCAUGAGGCUAUUAUAAUAAUCGAGUCUAUGGCCCAGAAUGAUCAGAAGGGUCAACAUCAAUGGGGACCACCAAGAAGAGGAGGAAUCAUGGAAUUGGGCUUAAUGGAUGUUGUGAUAGCCCAAAAUAAGCUCCUACAACAACAAUUGGAUGAGGUAAAAUAAAAACUGAAUGAUUUAUCUAAACAAUUGAUAGACAUACAUGUACACUCUCCUAGGAAACCAGUCUACCGAUGAGAAUAAAAUGAGGAUCAAGUUUGCCAUGUUCCACCCAUGGAAGAGGAGGUGCACUUUGUCAAUAAUCCUCCAAGGCAAAACUAUCAAAAUAAUUACCCAAGGGGGGAGGGGGGUAAUUCAUAUGAAAUUAAUCAACCUUGGAGGCAGAAACAAGGGAACUCUUCAUAGGGGCCACAACAACAACCACCACCAUACUAACGAGACCAAUUUUAACAUCCUAACCAAGACAAAAGUACCAAGCUGGAGGACAUUGUGUAUCAGUUCAUGCAGUUGACCUUGUCUAACUAGAAAAAUGCAUAUGCUUCUCUAAGAAACAUGGAGAUCCAAAUUGUACAACUAGCAAAGCAACUGGCGGAGAAAGGAUCAUUCUCAGCCAAUAUUGAGGUAAACCCAAGAGAGCAUUGUAACGAAAUCCUUAAGCGAAAAGAUGUCGAUAAUUAAGGUGGUUGAAAAGUUGUACGUCAAGCUAUUGACAUAAAAGAAGUGUUUGAUGGGAGGCAACCCGGUAAUGUAUUCCUAUCUAUUUAAUAUUCUAAGUUUCUUAUUAAUUUUCUUUGGGUUUUACUUUUGAGAAAAGAAUAAGUGAAAUAAAUUGUUUUUGAAGAAAUAUUUUUUUAUCACAAAUGUAUAAGAGUAAAAAAUAAAAGCGGAAAGAGCACCAUGCACCAUGAGCCAAGCCUUAUGCGCUAAACAUGUGGCCACACAACCAAAAAAGUUUACUAAAGCCAAGGUUAAGGGCAACACCUAAACUAAGACACACCAUGUAUACAUCAUAUAUGUGCCCAGACCAAAUUCUGGUGCACCUGGUGAUGGACCAAGGUCAUACACCAAGGUCAAUCUUGAUGCACAAAUGUGAAGAGUGAACAUUCGCCAGGAAUACACAGUCAGAGGCCAAACUGAUGCGCCACACUAAUGCACGAAGUGCUAAGCCAUGCGCCUAGCCAACUCAUAACCGCUGGGCAGGAAAUUCUAUCUGCUAAGUGCACUUGGGCAGGUUGGGAUCUUCCCAAGGGAAUCUUAUCCACUUCCGAGUGGAUUUCCCUUAUUCACUAACACACAUCCCCACACCCAUUCAAAUCACUUUGACUGAAGUUCAUCUUUUCUCUCUCAAAGUUCAUCUUCAGCCUUUCACCAACAAGCAACCAGGGAAAAUUACUGGGAUAGUGUAGUUUGACUACACUAUCCCAGCUUUGGGGUAGGUUUUGAAUUAUUUACGGGAUUGNNNNNNNNNNNNNNNNNNNNNNNNNNNNNNNNNNNNNNNNNNNNNNNNNNNNNNNNNNNNNNNNNNNNNNNNNNNNNNNNNNNNNNNNNNNNNNNNNNNNAAAGGGAAAUCGUGGGUCUGGUCCACGACUUUCCCCUGGAGUCGUGCCUGUCAUCCACGACUAUGCCAAAGUCGUGGACCCCAUCCACGACUUUCAAAAAAACUACCCCAAUCCCGUAAUUAUUUGAAAAGGUACCCCAAAGUUGGGAUACUGUAGUUUGACUACCCCAAUCCCGUAAUUUUUCCCAAGCAACCAUGUAAGUACUUAUUCUUUUAUUCUUUCCUUGAAGAAAAACAUCAUUAAACACUAAGAACUUCAAUUAUUUGGGAAAUUUUCCAAGAAAUUUUCAAAAAUCAUGAAACCCCCAAAUAUAAAGUUCUAAGACAUACAAAAAGAGCAAUUGUCCAUGUAUAUUUCAACUUGAGGAAAUUUUUAAUGGAUGAUUUCAUAUUUAUUUGUCAACACAGACAUUCUGGAUUCAUUUAAAAAAAAUGAAUAGGAGCUACUUAAACACAAACUAAAAAGUCUACGUCUACCCAAAGCGUGAAGUUUUUUGACUUGUUUGUACUUUAAACACAUUUUUUGGUUUCUCUAGGAUUCGUAUGAUUGUUAUAUCACUUUGUAUACAUUUUAAAAGUUAUUUAAAGUGUUUUGUUAUCCUUGGAAUUCUGUUUGGAGAAUCAAAGUGGUGAUGUUUUUCAAAAUGAAACAUCUACAUGCAAACUGAAUUAUGUAAGCUAUGUGUUUGUCAAUUUGCUCAAGCUUGGCGUGUGUAAACAUGUACUUGUGCGUAGUUUAAAAUGAUUUUGUUGCUGAUCAAUCCAUUAAAAACAUGAACGGAAAUUCUUCAACACCCAGAGGCAAAAUUGUUAAUAAUAUUUUAACAAGGAUUUGCAAAGAAUUCUUGCCAUGUCUGAAACUGUUUUAAAGGGACUCAUACAUCUUGCUUAGCUAACCUUUGAUUAUGAAUGUUGCACUUGUUAAGCAUCGGGAAGAAAAGACAAGGGCUCAAAAAAUCAAGUGAUGUUCCCAACUAUGAAAGUGAAUAUGAGCAAGGACAGGGGGUGUUCACGGGAAACAAGCAUAAGUCAAGGCUCACCAAGGCCAAAUUUGAAGAAUUGACACCAAGUGGAUCGUUGGUUCUAGAAAAUAUUGUGGACCUUCAAGAGGAUGAAUCCCCACAAUUCAUCUUCGUGAUGGCUAAUUAUGGUUGGCAAAUAUUGGUUCAUCCAUGACAAACUUUUUCAAUGGAUGUGGUGAGUGAAUUUUAUGUUAAUGCAUUUGUUACAAAAGAGGCACAAGAGAACUGAUACACUUGGGUUAAUGGAAUUAAAGUAUUCUAUUAAAAGUUCAUGAUCAAUGAAUACUUAGGUUCCCAUUGUCUAAUCAAUCUGGUGAACACUUGUGCAAAUACCAACAAAGGAUGUUGGUUAGCAAGGAAGGAAAAGAAGGGGUUCAUGAUGAAAUGGAGGUAAGAAAACAAUUUUGUAUUCUCUGCUUGGAACCCAAAAAGAGGCAGCCAUAAGAAGAAGUCCAAUUUUAAUGUUAUGCAUGAGUCAAUUGACUCAAAUAUUUACAACCUAUAUAUUGUCAAACAUUUAGUCUGCCUCUCAUGAUUCUGAUUUGCCAAUUCCAAAAUCAAAGUUUACUUAUUCAGUUUAUAAUGAUGACUUCAUUGAUGUCUCUGUCAUCAUUUCUGAUGCUAUUGUUGAAUGCAUCAACAAAGGGGUAUUGACCAUGUCUCUCCCUCUUUAAUCACUGAUUUAUGCAACUACCAAAAGGUACUUGGGCCUUAUAUGGAAAUAAUGGCACUCAAGUCAAAAAUCAAUGUCUCCUAUAUAAAUAAUUAUUGCAAGGAAAGAAGUUUGGCCUCCAUCAAGGCGGAACUAAGAAGAAGGAAAGGAAAAGAAGGGCACUCCUUACAGACACAAGAACAACCACCACCUCCUCAACAAAGUGAUCCAUCCUUGGCUGCCUACAUGGCACAAAAUGCCUUAGCACCGUUCAACAUGCAAGAAUAAAAUAUAGAGGCUUAUUACCAUGGCAUCUGAGAAGUGUAUUAAGGGCACUAUAAUCAAUGACCAUCUGCUGGAUUUGAUGCACAUAAGAUGUGGCCUAGGGACAGACCACAAGAAGGAGAAGGGGCAGUGUACCCAUGCUCAAUGAGAUGAGCAAUCUUACUUCACGGAUGAGGAUUGAAGUUUCAUGAUAUAUUCUUAGCUUCACUCUUUCCAUUACAUUCUUUUCUCAAAAACUUUGCUAUAAUUUUUCAUUUUAAACAUGAUUUUCUUUGGAC